RNAcentral lists this long non-coding RNA (105725 nucleotides) under Coffea arabica (coffee). RNAcentral's name for it is "long non-coding RNA (CARA_LNC004500)". Lineage: Eukaryota; Viridiplantae; Streptophyta; Magnoliopsida; Gentianales; Rubiaceae. The record is from RNAcentral.
UUUUGUUUUUUUUUUUUUUUGUUAUUUGCACUCUUACCAUUUGUUUUAUCAUAUAAUCUAAUAUAUAAAAAAUUAUAUUAUUAAAAUGAUAACGAGAGUGUGAUAAGCAAAAAAAAAAAUAGAAGUGUAAAUAAUAUUUUUUGCGCAGUAAUUUCUAAUUAGUUCUAUUCAACAUAUAGUACAGGGAAGGGUGCUUGCUACUGUAGUUGCCAAACACUCGAGGAAAUGUGUUAUGUGGGUUUCUAUCUUUUGGUUUAUAUGCGUCACAUAUAUUUGCUAACAAGUUCAAAAGCCAAUAUCGUUGUAGAAGUUUGUCAGAGAGAAGAAGACUAGAAAGAAAGAAAGAAAGCUAUUAGAACAAAAAUUUUCUUUUACAGGAGGGAUUUUAGAUUCUUGUAACAUAUACAAAAAUCAAAUUUUAUAUUUGAAUAGAAAUCAUGCGUCAUGUAUCAACAAAUGCUACUUUUGGAAAUUUUUUUAGAUGGCGCAGAAAAAAUUAAGGGAAAAUGGCUAAAUUCGUCCCUAAAUUUUUUAUUAAUGUCAAUUUAAUCCCUAACUUUUGUUUUCAGCCAAUUUGAUCCCUAAACUUAUAUUAUGAUUUCAAUUAAGGAUCUCUACGGCAGAAUCACCACGGAAAAUAGAUUAAACUCCACAUUGACCAAUUAAACAUGGGUAUUUUAGGAAUUUUUAGAUAUCCCCUUCCUCUAUUAUCAAUUCCUACGGCCUACCAGCCACCUCCCCCUUCUACUCCUACCUUUCUUCUCCAACCUCUCCAUUCCCUCCAUCUAUCAUGUCCAUCAUCUUUGUUGCAGCCCAAAACACAAUCCUUCUUACAUUGAAGAAGAGGCUUCCUUUGUCAAAAGAGAUAGCAGUAAAAGCUUCUCUCUUUCUUGCUUCUACACAACUAUAGCCAUGCCAAGUUCAAAGCAGGAAUCAAGGUUUAUCCCAAGCAGCCAUCAAAAUGACUUUUGUUGUGGUGGAUGAUGAGUGUUAGGCGAAGCCAUGAAAUCCUUGUUAGUUUCUUGGGAAAUUUUGGCCUUGCUGAACUUGUACACUGCAAAAAUAAUAUGGAUACAUUGAAAUAAAGUUUUUCGUAGCUUUGGGUAUAAGCGAUACAUCAAAUCUUGCCUCCAGUUUUUACAUAUAUCAUGUUGUCUUGUAAUUUGAUUUUUGAAUUUUGCCGGAAUGUUCUUGCUAUCUAUGAACAUGCCCUUUUUCUUCCAUGGACGGAGGAUAAAAAUGAAUUUAAAAAAAAAAGAGAAUUUACUCUUCACUCUCCAUCCAAUCCACCAUUUUUGGUACUGCUCCUAUAUUUGAUUUUGUUAAUAUAAUGCUUACAAAACUCAAAUUACUACUACUACUUGUCUGUAGAGAAUCACUGGAUUAGAUCCACCUUAAUCAACAAAAUCAUUACUAAUGAUUACCAAAAAAACAACAUACUUCAUCAUGUCUUGAUCUUCACUAGAACAGAUCCGAUACUUACCCAACAUCUAGAUUUGGGGCAUCAUAUGGUUUCGGCUUCACCCAAUUCAAGGGAGUCUCUUUGCUUAGUUUUUGGAAUAUCUUGGCCCUCAAAUCCCUCCCAAACUCUACCUUCUCUCCAUCAUUGGCUCCUCUUCGCACCCUUCUCCGUCCCAGAAGUCAAAGUAUCGCAUCUUGUUCCUGAUCGAUUCUUAGUUGCAAAAUUUAUAGAGAUGACUGACAUAACAGAGAGAGGAGCAAAAGAUGUGGGAGAAGAAGGGUGAGAGAAGGAGGAGGUAGGUGGCAGGUGGUGGAAAUUGAUGGUGCAAGGAGGACAUAUCAAAAGUUCCUAAAAUACCCCUGUUUAGUUGAUAAAUUAGGAGUUUGAUUUAUUUUUUGUGGUGGUGUGGCCGUAGAGAUCCUUAAUUGAAAUCAUAAUAUAAGUUUAGGGAUCAAAUUGGCCGAAAACAAAAGUCAGGGAUUAAAUCGACAUUAACAAAAAGUUUAGGAAUGAAUUUGGCCAUUUUCCCAAAAAUUAAUCCUAGAAAUCUUUUUUCUUCUUCUAACCUCUUAUUUGACACCCAAUUGUUGUUCUAUUGGGCCAGGUUGAUGUCACAUUGUGCAAAUUCAUAUCUCACCUUGUAGGCCCAUCGACCCAACUCUAAUACCAUUGUGGCAGCAAUAGCAUAGUGUAGAAAUACCCAAUUCACUCUCUCUCUCUCUCCCUCCCUCUCUCUCUUCUGGGUUUUUGAGUUUAGAGCCCAGAGGAAGGAAACCUUACAUGUACACCUAAUAGUGUGACAAGCACAUAUAUUGUUUUACAAAUGAUUAUACACUCGUGCGUAUAAAUACACAUAGGAUGUGUAUAAAGAUGCAUAAGUUAAGUAUUAUUUUCAGGAGUCACGGUCCUCGUCACCACCUUCUAUUACCAUUUGAUAAGAAUACACUUCUCAAUUCAAUGCAACGUUGCUUUUUUCGCUCACCCCAAAAAUCAUAUUUCUUUGCACGGAAAAGACAUUUAUGGAGUAUUUUAUACACAUAACCCAAGAUGCUAUUCUUUCUUGACUCGUACCAUGCCAAACAUGCCAAUUAGGAUAAACAAGUAGAGGCUGCAAAUCUAGGUAAUCAUUGUACGAUUAUGGGCAAAAGUUAAAAACUUGGAUAAAUUAGAUCUUGUAAACUUAGUGAUUCAAAUUUUAUCAAAUAUUUGAAUAUUUGAGCCGGAGAGAUCGUACAGCAAAUUUUAAACUACUAAAUUUACAUAGACCGGAUCUAUUCAAGUGUUUGUUCGGGCCAAAUGCGACCAAUAACAUGAAUUUAGCUUCAUUGUCUAUUUCUACAUCAGUUGGCAACAAUCAAAGCUCUAAAAGCGAAAUAAAUAUAUCAGGUUUUGGUUCGAUGGGAACGGAAUCAACAUCAAUUAUUGAAAAGUUUACAAAAAAACCGCAUCUUACCCUUUGUCCUUCCUCUUCCUUGGAAAUAACAUCCAUCACCCCACCCUCCCAUCCGCCUUGCCCCACUUGGAAAUAACCUUAAAAGGACCGAAAAUAGUAGUAGUCUCAGAAUAUUUCUUGCAGACUAAACCCUGAUUUCCAUCUUAGGGAGAGCUCCCAAGAAGCAUCUACUAUUUCGUAAAAUUUGUUCCGACCUCUAAAACUGUAAUGAAUACGAACGUGAUCUCAAGCUUCAUAGCCAUAGCAACUUCCAUCUCCUUCCUCCUCCUCUCACCCCCAUCAAAGUCCUUUUAUCAUUCCUUGUUCUUAUCUGAUUCCCUUUCAUGCAAUCAAUCAAUAGCAAACCACCUCUACAUCCUAACCAAGCGGCCUCAUGUUGCUGGGUCCGAAGCCAAUGCCGAAGCAGCGGCUUAUGUUCUAUCCACCCUCACUUCCUAUAAGGUUCGAUCACAUAUAACAACCUAUGAAGUUGCCUUAACUUAUCCCAUCUCACGUUCCUUGACCCUAAAACCUACUCCUCAAGACAGCCCCGUCAAGUUCGAUCUCCACCAAGAGAUUUACGACGGUGAUCCUUAUGCCGACGUGGCAGACGAAGUCCUACCGACGUUCCACGCAUAUGCCAAGUCUGGCACUGUAGCUGGACCCGUAGUAUAUGCCAAUUACGGGCGCGUACAGGACUAUGCUGUAUUGAAGCAAAUGAAAGUAAAUGUGUCAGGGAAUGUUGUAUUGGCAAAGUAUGGAAAGAUAUACAGGGGGGACAUUGUGGAAAAUGCUUAUGCAGAAGGUGCUAUAGGUGUAUUAAUUUACACAGAUAGGAAGGAUUACGGUGGAGUAGGUGAUGCAAAAUGGUUUCCUGAUGACAAGUGGAUGCCUUCAAGUGGAGUCCAGGUGGGAUCCGUGUACAAUGGGGCCGGUGAUCCCACUACACCUGGCUGGCCUAGUUCAGGGUUGUGCGAGAGACUAUCAGAUGAUGAUGCGGAGAAAGGAGGAGAAGUUCCAUUGAUACCUUCAUUACCUAUUUCAUGGGCUGAUGGUGACAGAAUCCUGAGGUCCAUAGAUGGACAAGUGGCAAAUGACGAUUGGCAGGGAGGGAAAGAUGCUCCUGUCUACAAGGUUGGGCCAGGACCAGCAAUUCUGAAUCUUAGUUAUACAGUAAGUCUCGAAAAACCAGCAAAAUGUCGAAUCUGUAGAGCUGAAACAGGCAUGCAGUAACUAAGAAAGCCCAUACCGUAAGUUUUGCAGGGAAAGCAAGUUAUAACCACAAUCCAAAAUGUUAUUGGAAUCAUUGAAGGUGUAGAAGAACCUGAUAGGUAAGUUUGAAUAAUUCAAACAUGCAAUGUACAGCAAAUUAAUACGCAUCUCUGAAACAAUUCUGCAUGAUGAAAUUGUCACGUAAGAAAAUGACAAGCAAAUUGUUAUAGCAAGCCCUACAAUAGAAAUGAUAGCCAAAAUGAAAUCAUAAUAUUAUUUUCCAAAAAACUGAGCCUGGAUAAACAAAAUCAAGCUUACCGAGUAACUUUCUAAUGCUAGAUUUUCCUCACACAGUUGAAAAUUUUCUAGAUAUGUCAUACUUGGGAAUCACCGGGAUGCAUGGACAUUUGGAGCUGUUGAUCCAAAUAGUGGCACAGCAGCCCUGCUUGAGGUAUGUAAAAUUUUGGUGCUUAAAUCGUCUUAACAUCCCUAGAUUCAAAUUCCAAGGAAAAUAGCAGUUCAACUGAUAUUUUUGAGAGAGACAGGUUGCACACAGGAUGUGGAAGCUCCAGGAAAAAGGUUGGAAACCUCGGCGAACAAUUAUAUUUUGUAAUUGGGAUGCUGAAGAAUAUGGCCUGGUUUGUCUUUCGCUCCUCUCACUGUAGCACAUUCACUCGUCCACAUGCACCCCUGGCUCCUUUCAAAUAACCAAAGCUAGAAAGAGGCUGUGUGAGCUCAUACAGGCAGAACAUAUUUGUUGUUUUAACUGAAUUAUAAGCAGUUCACCAUCUUCAGAUAGGAUCAACAGAAUGGGUUGAAGAGAACAGGGAAAUGCUAGCAUCAAGAGCUGUAGCCUAUAUGAAUGUUGAUAUUGCAGUUCAAGGAUUAGGAUUUUAUGCCUCUGCAACUCCACAGCUCGAUGAGCUACUAAUAAAAGCAACUAAGCAGGUACGAAACGAAUCUCAAGGGUUGGGGCAACAGGGUUUUACAACAUUGCCAUAUGCAUUAACAAUGAUUGCAUAUGGUUAAUCCACGUAGAAAGCAUCAAGUUUAAAAAUAUAUAUAUAGAGGUGCAAAUGUAGUUUAACAGCACAAGAAUACCAGUCUGUCAAACUUCAAAUGUCAAUUUAUGUUUUAUCUUUCUAUUCUCACUCAAAUUAGAUAAACUUCUGACUUAGGUCCAAGACCCGGAUAACUCCUCGCAAUCCAUCUACCAAUCCUGGAUUCGCUCCAGUGAAAAUCCUAAGGUAAGCAUCUUAAGAUAGUUUAAAUAAGAAAGAGAAUUGCGUAAGAGUUCUUAAAUGUGAACCUUGGGGUUGUGGGAGCAGGGUAAACAUUACAAGCACUGAAUAUAUGGCCACGUCCUAGACCAUUGUGCUACCACUUUGAUUUAUAAUUUAUCUUUACGAGAUAACUCAAUUGAUGCUUUUCAACUAAGGCAUUUAGCUACUUAGGUUUAAAAUCAAACUGCCCCUGAAUACCAAGAAUUACUAAAUCUAAAAGGUCAGCUUCUGGAUUUCUGUGGCCUUGAUAAGUGGCUUUUGGAUUUCAAUAUUGACAAACUGACCAAAAGGUCUUUAAGAUUGGAAGGUUAGGAGGAGGAGGAUCAGAUUAUUCUGCCUUCGUUCAGCAUGUUGGUGUUCCAGCUACUGAUAUCUCUUAUGGAGAAGGUAAAAGGAAUAUAUUCUGGCAAUCUUUUCACAAAGCAAGAGAUGCUUGCAUCAAUGGUUAUUACGCAGAUAUCCAAUUAAUUUCACCUUAAUGUAAUUUGCUCUGUCUUUUCAUUAAUUCCUUCACAUAGUAAGCUCCUAUGUCAUCUCCAAAACAACCCCCACCCCUCUUCCCAACCCCCCUGUCCUCUCCCCAGAAGGCAAAAUAAAUGAAAAAAAAAAAAAGCAGAAUCUAAUAAGACCACUGAGCAUUCAAAGCAAAACCUCGUACCAUAAAGCAUCCUAAAUAAAUAUAUCAGAGAAAUAAAUAGAAAAACAAUGUAAAAGCUCAAAACUUAAAGCAAUUUUUUUCUUUUUAAGCUAUUCAUGAUUCUUCAUGGUAAGAAUCAAUGAAGGGAUUUACGGACCAUGCAAGGAAAAUUAAUUUUUGUAUAGUAGGACUAAGAAAGCAGUAGCUUCGACAUACAUUAAGAACCAAAAAAAAACUUCUAAAAGCAAAAUAAUCUUACCAUCAUCUUUCCUCAUAACAAUUGGUCAGUGAGUGUGAUGAAAUUACAUCAGCCAGUUCUCUAGCAUCACUUAUCAUUUGUAUGUAUGUUCAUUCUCCAUAACGUUGUGUUAUACCACUUGACUUUCAUUACAAGAGAAAUAAUGACAUUAUACUCGUUAGGCUCUAAAGCAGUGUAGAAUGAUUACUUAAACAAAUCACAAAUUUAGAAAAGCACAAAAUCUCCAUUUCUCUAAAAGAACACCCAAGUAUCAUAGCUCUGGAGAUAUCGAGCAUGUUAGCAUAUCUAGGCAAAAAACUUUAUUUAGAUCUGGUGCAUAGUAUGUAUAACACGCUCAUAUCAAUCUAACCAGUAUAGUAACAGUGCUAGAUCAGGAUCAACUCAGUACAUUGAGUUUCUUACCUUGAACAAUAACCUAUAAAGAACAUCUUUUUUUAAAAAUGUCAUAAAAACAAGGGGAAGACAGCAAUAGAAAAAGAAAAUUACAGGAUGAGUUGAGAAUAAGAGUCGGAGUAAAUGGUACAGGGACAUCAACCACAAUGUAUCAAACAUUUAAGAGAAAACAAUGGUGUAAGAUCAAGUAGAAGAAGAAGAGACAGAUUUUUUAACAGCCUCAAAACAAGGUUUGCUUACCCAUUAAUUACAUACCUCCUGACUAAUACACAGGCCAUCCAUCCACUCUCUGCUGCUAAUUGGCUAGGCUUAAAAUUUUCAUCUACAAUCUGCACCAACUCUGAACAACAUCAAAUAGACACCACAGCCUAGAAAUUAAUCCAAAAGAAUAGAGGGACCUGAUGAAGAUACAGAUGCAAGAUUGAUAGGUCAAAUGAGUACAUUUUGCCAGAUGUCUAGGACAAACUCUAAUAUACACUAAGAUCAUCAUGAAUCAAGUUAGUUGUGAAGAUCAAUGUAUUUCCCCCACCCAAUUACACUUCUAACGUUGCACAAAAGUCAAAACCUUGCCUCUCCCAUGACACUCUUAGAGCAUAAGAAUCUCGACAAAAUAUAAUUUGCAGAAGAAAACAAAAUAAAAUCAGAAUCAGACCAAUACACUGAGAAUUCUAGCGAAUCAUCCAAGGCACAAUGUUCUAUUCAGUUGUCUUGACAGGCAUGCAUUCAGACAGAUUCUAGCCAACCCUUUAACAUCACUAGCAUACAAAGAACUGGUAAUGCCAGAUGCAUAAUUAUCAUGGACUUAACUAGUUGCAAUCGAGAAGCUUGUCUCCUUAAAAAUGUGCAUGACACAAGAAUUAACAUUUUUAUUGAGUACCAUCAUCUUUACUUACCACAUUACAAACACGUGUUGAGGCUGUGCAAUCAGAGUAGUUCAUAGUACAAGAAUUAAUUCGUAUAGACAUGACCCAGUUGACCUUAAAAGUACAUCAUGCAUAAAUUUUUUUUCCCUUAAGAAACAUAGACUUAUUAUUUCCAGCACUAGAGAUUCUCUUCCAGCACAAAAUAUAUCAUACUAAGCAAAAACGCUAGGCAUACUCCUUUUUAAGAAUCGGUCCAAUUCUUGAACUUUAUGACUUCUAACGGUUUUCAACUAUCACUUGACAAAAUUUGGUGCUUGUAGAUUAUCCAGUCUAUCACUCAAUGUAUGAUGACUUCAUCUGGAUGAAGAAAUUUGGCGACCCAAAGUUUCACAGGCAUGUAGCAGGUUAGUUAUAAUUUUCUGCUAGAUAGUAGAAUUUACUGCAAUUGCAUAGACAUCUCAAUGGCUUGUGAGAUUAAAAGUUUCAUCACAUAAUUGGGAUGAGCUAUCAAUUAAUCAUCAGAAAUGCCAAUCUUACAGAAUAGAAAGUCACAAAGAAACUCUUAUGUUCAGUUGAAAACAUAAAUUAAGUUGAUCCCGCUCAAAUAUUUCAUAAAUUCCCCACCAUCCCCUUAUUAGCAAAUCAGUUAACAUUUGGCAAUGAAAUCAAAAGUUGCAGGAAUCACAUGCAUAAUAAGACGGAUAGUGUGCAGAGAAGUGCAAAAAAUAUAUUAUUUAUUGGCCCUCUCCAAAUGAAAUUUCUUAGUUCAAGCGUCCAUUUGGCUAAAAGAGUUCCUAUAGAAGCAGGGUCUAAAAUCAACAUGGAAGAAAAACAACAAGACCAGGUUUCAUUUAUCAGGCAUUCAAAAAAUAAUGCAUAUUACAUGGAAACCCAACAAAAUACUGAAAAACAUUAAACAUAGCAAAACACAGAUUCAUUUAACAGACAGUAUUCAGCAUAACUGACAGAAAUACUAUGUUGGAGAGAUGUGUUAAAGGAGGAGGAAGAAAAAGAAAAUUGCAAAUAGGAAGAAUUAAGAUAAGGCGACGAAAAACUGACGGGCAUAAAGGUUUCGAGCAGCAAGAAACAACAAUAAUUUAUCCAAUAGAGCCAAGAAACAUCAUAAGAACCUAUGAUUGUUUAGUUAGAUGAACAAUGUCAGAAAUGACAACGAAAAUAUGACUUAAUUCAAAAACUAAAAAAAAAAAAUCAAAUACAGAAGCUUACUGCUUGUGUCAGACACUACAGACACUUUCAAGGCACUGAAGGGAACUCAAAAGUUUCAAAAGAAAUGAAAGAUUACCUUAGACAAGUCAUUGCAUACUCAAACACUUGCAGGACACAUCUCACCAAAUAUUAAAAUUGAGAUAAAUUUUCAUGUAUAAAGAAGAAACUUUUCAUAAAAAAUUUGGUAGCAUGAGUAGUACACAGUAAAAUUAGAAUACGAACCUGUAUCGAAUAUAUCAAGUAUCUGUUUCAGGCAUUUGACAAUUGACAUGGAUAGAUACUGAAUCAGACCCCUCUAAUAUGUUUUAAACCUAAAACAGACAUCUUCUAACUCCAUGUUAUAGUAGAUCAUGCAUAUAGUGCUCCAUGACACAUGACUGCUCCACAACAAGUACCAUUAUUGUAUGAUUAAAUCGUCACAUUUCCUAAUCUUCACGGAAGGAUAUAGGAGAAAUAAGAUGCUUUAAAUCAUGGUCUAUAUCGCAUCAAUGUCCAUGAAAGAUAUUAAAAUUUCAGUCAAACAAAUAUAGUCUCACAAAGAUUAGCUGCAUUACGUAUACAUAGUUAUUGCUCCAUCAUCACUAAAUAUACACAUAUUGUGAUGCAAGAGCAAAUUUAAUAUACAGAUGUUGCUAGAGACGGAUUUGUUAUUCUAUACCACUACUUCUAUAAAAAAAAUUCCUUCAAUUGUGUUUUCAUUCAUGUUGUUUCCUAUCAUCCAUUUUCACAAAAGAGACGAAAGUUCACUCAAACAACCUAAACCAUUAGAAACAUAGCUGCAUUAUGUACACAAAUAUUGCUUCAUCAUCAGUCACUGUUACAGUGGCUCGUGUGAUUCAACAGCAAACUUACAUUGUUAUAAUGCUACAGGUAGAUUUGUAGCUCCAGAUAUGUAAUACUUAAUAUAAAAAAAAUAUACCCUUUAGUUGUGUUUUCAAUCCUGUUGUUUUCUAUCAUCUAUUUUGUCCAACACAAUUCUACUUCAGCAGUUAAAUCUUUUCAUCAACUUGUUUCUUUUUGUGUACGAACAGUGACAAGUAUUUGGGGUUUAUUAGCACUUCAGCUUGCUGAUGAAGAAUUUUUACCUUUUGAUUAUCUGUCCUAUGCCAAUGAGCUGCAGGUAUGUUUCCUAUAGUGGAGAAAUGAGUAUAAUAUACCUGCUUCUACAAUUGAAAGUAAUCUAAUCUUUUGAUUGUUUGAUCCUGUAACUAGAGAAGUGUGGAAGAGUUGAAAAUUGAGUUGUCAGAAAAGGGCAUAAAACUAUUUCCCUUAUUUAACUCUAUCAAGGAACUGAGAAUGGCAGCAACUAAAAUUGCUAAUGAGAUAAAGGUACAUCUCCAGCUCUAUUAGUCAAAAACUUGGUAGAGAUCUCUAAGUGUGCUAAAUUUUAUUGAUGGAAGCACAAUUCAUUAGGUGCUACAAGACAGAAAUGUUUGGGCUUCUGUAUCAAAAAAUGACCACUACAAAGUAAGAGAAUUGAAUGACAGACUAAUGAUGGCAGAGCGAUCAUUCACAGACCGCGAAGGACUUCCUGGAAGGACAUGGUACAAGCAUUUGGUAAGCUUCUUUAAAUCACCUGCAAGUGACCUUGUUGUAGCUAAUUAAAAAUUCAGUUAAGUGCUUGUUAUUUCACCUUGAUUGAAGGUUCUUAUUUUCUUCCAUUACAAAGCACAAAAAUGACAUCAACUUAGACCAAAGAAUUUCAGGAAAGAAUAAUCACAAAAGCAUUUGGAACAUCUAGUAUACCAAAAUGCGUGCAGCUGAAAAUGACACUUUUGAUAACUGAAACCAAAUACUGACUGAUGCUUUAUAUCAUUCAGAUAUUUGCACCAUCAAAGCACAAUGAUUAUGGUUCUAAGUACUUCCCUGGAAUAGAUGAUGCCAUCGAAAAGGCCAAGAGCAUUAACACCACAGACUUGUGGCUUGCAGUACAGCAUGAAGUCUGGAGAGUAUCUAGAGUGAUUAAACAUGCUUCACUGGUCCUCAGUGGUCAGUUAACAUGACUACCGUCAUCUUAUACCCCUAAAUUCCACGUGUGUAUUCGCUAUUAAUAAUAAAACAAUUGGGUGACAUCUGGUGGACUUGCUUUAGUUCAAGACAGAAUCUGGGGAUUUUAUAUUGCAUUUUGUUUUUUUUCUUAGGUAUACUAUUGACUGUUCCUCAUUUGACUCACUAAUGGUUAGGAAAAAGAACUUGAUGGUCACAAAGGGAGAUAACCUGUAGUUAAGCUAAACAUGCAAACGCCCAACCUGAGACCAUUUCUAAUAACCAUGUAGUCUAAGUCCUAGCUGCAUGAUACAAAAUUCCAACAUAAUUUCUCAGGGAAAUGAUUGGCAACUAAAUAUUUUACAGUUUAUUCUUGAUUUCUCAAAUUUGGAAAAUCAGUCUAUUGGUUUGCAUCCAUCUGAAGUGAAAUUUUCAAGAUCAAUACCACAGACAGGCUUUCACAAUGCCUCAAAAAUUUCCAUCCAUCAUUAUGGCAGUUAUAUCAAACGGGAGAUAAAUCCAAUAUUUAAAGAACUUCAUAGUGGUUGAGCAAACAAAAUACUACCUAAUCCUUUUAACAGCACUAUAACAAAUUCUUUUAACAGUUUCACAGUUGAGCCAGUAAUGUGGCCUAGGCCAACAAAUAAGAAUUAAAGUUUCACAAUUAGAGGUCUAAAUGGAGUACAACAGUUUGACAUACUGCAGUACCAAGCUAAAGGAAAGUUGGAUGUCAACACAAAUGAAAGCAUUAUUUCCAUGCAAAAAGAAGAUAUACAUGUCACAAUAAGCUCAUAAGCUGUACAACUAAAGCUAGGUUAGAAAUGUAAAGCAGUUAGGAACACAAAAAUCUGUAUUUCAGAUUUGGUAAAUACUGUACAAUUAUUUCUACUGAACCUACAAUAUAUACAAUGAACAACAGUUAUUUCCGAGUCCUCUACUUCCAAACCUUAAUUGCACCAUCCCUACUGCUCGAAAUCAGAAGCCUCUGGUUCAGCUUCACAGAAGCCAAAGAGAGGACAGAAUCACGGUGACAUCCUGCAGAAUCAGUGGCAGCACCAGCAAGGAUAGUCUUUGUGGUCAAUCUCAUUGUCAAAGGUCGUCUUCUGCCCUCCUGUUUGUAAAAAAGAUCAAUAUAAAUUAGUAGGCCAUCAUCCCAGAACAUAAGUGAGGGGCUAUUGCUCGUCCAAAUGCAGCUAGGUAAGUUUACAAUCACAGGCAAAAAGAAGAAGCGAUAGAGAACCAUUGAACUAAAGAAAAUCUUCAGUUUGAAAAUGUACGACAUUUGAAUCCAACACUACCCCCCCCCCGGGGGGGAGCCCAACCAUCAGUCCAGUUUUCUCCUCCCAGGCAUGGCCCAGGAUUUUAAACUAGUACCUUUACAAUGAGAAGGGAAGAAACUUCUCAAGGAUUGCCAAAAAAAAUACAACUUAAGAGUCCCUAAUAAUUCUGAAUAGAAGCCUACCCAAAUUUUCAAGAACUUCAUUAGAAACAAUUCAUGUCCCAAGUAAAAAAGAGAAACAAAUCAUGAUGAUGCCAUUAACAUACCUGCACAACUUGCACACCAUAGUAAGACUUUGUCUCAAAACUAUCAUCAUUUCCAACUCCCUUUAUAGAUGGUCCACAUACGCAAUAACUUCGAUCAGGGCUGAAGCAUAGAUAUACAAGGGUCAAUAGAAUUGCAAUGACUGCCCAAAUGCAUAAAGAAAAUUGGAAAAUGUACCUGGAAUGGUCCCAGCGACGUAUUUUCAAGUCAGUACCCCCUGUCAAUAGAUCCCCACCUGGCAACGGAAGUAAAGCACGGAUGCCAGGAAGACGUGGAGGUGGUUCAUUCAACUCAUCGAUUCUAUAUUUCGAAUUAGCACUUACCCUGAUAUCCGAUUUGGCAUUGCCCUUGCUGGAUGCUCUGGCUAAUGCCCAAGGCGAGUCAGAAAUUUCAGCAUCGGUCUCAUUAUUUGCUACCCUCAACACCUGCAAAAAGCAGAAUAAGUAGCACAAAAAUCCACCAGUAUAAAAGCACGAAAUGUUAUUGCAGUGAUUGAACGACAGGUGCCAACUGCUCAUUCCAUUCAUCAGUCUAACUACAAUAUCGGGGUUUCGUAUAUCUUAUUCGAGUGAAUUUCACAUUUAAAAUCUAAUUGUCUGUAACUUCCAAAGUAUCCCAGCACAACAAGUAUAUUCUCUCAAAAUUACUCCUCAGACGUACAUUAUACUUCCCCCUCCAAUCCUUCUGUAUCUCCAUAACUAAUCAUCCCUCCCAAGCAUGCAUGGUUACCAGCAAGAAAAUCUAUAUGGAUCAUAUUCUUUCUAAAAUACAACAUCACAUCAAUCAAUUUAACCACAUUCAGUCAAAUUUCACUCUUUUGCUAGAUUCUUUACUAUUUUGUAAAAAGUACAAAGUGAUCCAACUGUACCUGAUGGCAGCUUCCAUUUUCUGCAUUCCAAAGAGAAACUUCAUUACACCCUGCUGCAACAUAAACAAGAGGUCUGGUAGAUAGGAAGAAGGAGGUACUAGGAGGAGGAACAAAAAGGCUCAUUUUCUCAAUUGGGCAUGCAAGAGAAUACUGCCAUGAAUUGACAGGUAUUCCAAACCUCAAAUCCCAAAGGGUAAGCACGCCUCUUGAUGACCCAGUGACAAACCAGUUCCCACAAGGAUCUGCAACCAGAGAAGAUACAUAACCCUCCUCAGGGACCACUUUUGAAUUCCAAACAUUUGAACUUGUUCUUGUAUCCCACAGAUGAAUUCCACAAUUCUGGGUACUGUACAAAAUCAUUUUGCAAGCACCACCAUCAGGGGAGUAGUUCAAAAGGUUUAAUAUAGCACCUUCUCCAACUCCGUUCUUUUUAACAUCAGCUAUGCCUGAAUAUUUCUCCACAACAUUGCCCAGACCCCCGGAUACGUAAUCAACAGAGAACAUGUGUAUAGCUCCAUCACAAGCUCCAACAACAACUUGAGCAGAACCCUGGAUCACAGCAACACACAGUGCUCGACUUCCAUCUAAAGAAUAAGUUAGGCGCGACCUGAAUGAGAUAUCUUUUUCUAACCUUUUAGAAUCCCAAAGUUUAACAGUAGAAUCUUCAGAUGCACUUACGAAAAAGCUAUGGUCAGUGGAAACAGCUAUGUCAUUAACAGCAGAGUGGUGAUCCUGGAGAUGCGCAACCAACACCCCACGAGGCCUCCACCCUGAAUCUGGAAUCGUCGAUGUUCGCCCAAAAGAUGGUACAUCUGCACCCUCACUUGAAGCAGAAUUACUUUCAAUUGAAAGGGAACUCCCUUUUGUUGUGCCAGACACUCCCAUUUCCAGAAACUUGUUAUUUACAAAGGCUGUUUGAUCCAUUUCCCUGUCUUCAACUUCAUGUACAACCCUUCGCAAUUGUGUGGAACCACCACCAAUGCUGAUUGAGCCUGAGAUAAACUUAGGAGCUGGAUCUGAAUUGGCCAAGCUAAAUGAUUUACUAACUGGAUCCAUCCAUGGCAAGGAUGCAGAACCAAAACCUAAAGAACCACAUGGUAAUGAUGAAUCAGAGACUGUUGGAGAGCCUGCAGCUCGUUUGUUAUCAACUUUAAAGUAAUACAAAGGAAUGCCUUGUGAUGAUUUCUCCAUUAAACUGUUCAUUCCACUAAGAGGUGGAGAGAUAAAACCGGGCAGCUGCAACUUUUCAGAAUCCAGGAAGUCGCCAGAAUCCAUAGCCAUAGGACUUUGCACUGAGUUGCCCACAACUUUUGAAUUCUGGUCAUUAUCAUUACAAUCUGCAAGAUCCAGAGGCAGAUUUGCACGUUCAACAACUUUAUUGCUCUGAAGAUCUCUUUGUCGGUCAGACCAGCACAUCAUUGGAUCCAGCUCCUUCACCCCUCUCUGAAGAAAAUCCACUGUUUCCCAAUUUUUAGCCUGUGAGUCACUGUUGUACCAUAUUUUUCGCUGUCUCUCCAGCAUGUCUGAGCUCCUGGCACUUUCUAAAACACGAUAGUAUCUCUCUCUUGACACUGGUGGCUCUAGGCAUGAAAAAAGAGCCUUUUCUGAAGCUAAAGAUGCUGGUUGUCUACGCAGGAAGGUGCGUAUAACAGGCACAAGGAAAACAUAUGAAUCUACUGCACCUAAACUCUCGCUGCUAGCUGCAAUGAAUGUGACAUCGGCCCUCCUGACCCAUUGACUAGGAUAACACAACAGUGGAAAAGCGUGUUCUAUCAUCUCAAGCAAGAUUCUCUUCCUUAGAAAUCCACUUUUGCAUAAAAUAGCUAGGCAUUCCAGAGCAUUCACAAUUACAGCCUCAGUUACAUCACUUAAAGCCUGCUCAAUGUAUGGCAAAAGAUAUUCCUCGACACUCCGUUGUCCCACGAAAAAGCAGACAUAUAUGAUCUGUCCAUAAAACACUGCCCUGAGUUGCUCAUCCCGGUCAUUUAGGAAAGCUGGGAGGAUGGGCAACAAGAAAUCAUUACUCUGCCUCUGGCCAAAAAACCAACAAAGAUUGCCAAUGUCAUGCAGGAGUGCUCUCCUGAUAUUUGGUGUUUGCUUUGGGCCCAUCACAAGUUCUUGAAUGACAUCCGCAAUAGACUUCCUUAAUUGCACAAGCUGUGCAUCACUAUUUGGACUGUAUCUCCUUCCAGAUGUAUCAGAGGAUGUAGAGAGUGACUUCUGUGGCGAACUUGAUUCACUGAGAACUCCUGCCUCACUCAAGCUUAUAGAGUGAAUCAAAAACCCAUAAGCAGUAAGUGCCAGCUUAGAUAUAUUGCUUGCAUAACAUAUCCUUACACUUUCCUCUGGAUCAUCAGGGAGCAUGGAGAGCAUUGGAAGAAUAUACUCGGGAAAAAUUUUAGCAUCACUGGGUGGAAAAUCUCUGACUAAGGGAAGAAUGUCACAUAAAGUCUCUAGGGCAGCACAACGCACAAUUGCAGCUGGAUCUGAGAGCAUUGCAAUGACAUAUGGAAGCACACGCUGCAAUCGAUCUUCAUCAUCAAUGUAUAAGGAACACGACUUCAAUAGAAGCACAGCCCCUCUCCUCAUGAAUGGCAGUUUGACAUUUCUUAUGCAGGAACAGAGCAAUGAGGCAAUCAGAACCAUACCUUCACAGCUCAUGAUAUCUUGAGGUAAUGGUAGAAAAGGCAUACCAAAAGUGUCUGACUGGUUGUCAUAAUCCGACAUUAAUGAGUUCAAAUCACUUGUUGUUAUCUUUUUUAAGAAGGGAUGGUGACUUCUGUUAAAUAUAUUAGAGAUACUCUGAAUCAGCUCAUCAGGAGAUUGCACAUCACACUGCUUUCUGUUUUGAGAAUAUGCAGAUCUAGCCACACCUUCCAGCAACGGUUUCAUGCUAUGAAAUCGAUUAUUUUCCUUUACAUCCCUGAGUAGAUUACCAACAUCACCAAGAAGAUCAAACCUAUCAUGAAUUGAGCCCUUAUCCACCUUUUCUCUUUUACUACUGGUGUCCUCCACAUUUGUAUUAUGUUGUGCAUCAGUCCCAUGGAGAGAUUGAUGCAUAGCAUCUAAAGAAAGCGCCUCCCCAGAAACAGUCUCCUUGACUACACUACUGCUCAUCAUUUGUCUAAGAAUCUCUUGAAAAGACGUCUGGCAUAUUAAAACCUACACCAAGGAGCUUUCUAAAUAAGCUUGAGCACAGCGUAAUUAUCACCAAGAUAAAGAUCAAGCACCAAAAAUACCUUACCCUUGCAUCAGAAUUAAGGGGAUUCAACAAGGAAUAGAAAUUGUGGAGAAAUGGAGAGAAGUAGCCAGGAAACACAAUGCCAGAGAAGUUCUGCAGAUAGCUUUCAGCAGAAAAACGUGCCUCCGGAUCCAAUUGAAUCAUAUGAAGAAUCAUCUUGCGGAUUCCUGAAUCUGGAAUCUUUAUGCAGACAAGAUAAAGACCAAAAAUAAAAGUUAAUUUAGAGAUUCAAUAAACACUCUAAGUGGACUAGUAGGCAAACACUUCAACCUAUAUAGUGAAGUCAAUGUUCCAUGAAAUUUCUUGAAAGAGAUUAAUUGGGAAAAUAUGAUGAUACAGGAAGAAGCAGAGAAAGGUCCUUUGGUUAGAGCCAAGUUAAAAUGGCAUUGACUAGAUCUUACUUUUUCUAGAUGUUGGCUAGGAUCAUAUUGUCCUCUACGAUAAGCAAGCAGUUGAGACAACUCAAACAAUGGCUGACCCUCGAGGAAUAGCUCAGCUAUUACACACCUGAAGCAAGAACAUGGAAUUGAAGAAAAGUGUAAAUCCAUUGUAUCACAAGGCAAGAGCUUAUUGCCAUAUAGAUAAAGACAUCCUCAUCAAAGAUUUGUGCCUCAACCAUAAAAGCAACCAUCCAAAGCCAAAAAAGUCAAGAAAAUUAGUUUGUGAACUGCUUUGUAUAACGUAAAAAGAGAACCUCUUGACCCAACCAAUAUGUAUAUACCAAUAAAAUGUAGCAACUAAAGCAAACAAAACUUAAAAUAAUAGACCACAACUGGAUUGCUUGGAUGAAAUAUGUAGAAAUGAUAGUAAUUAAUUUGAUUGUGCUCUAACAUGAACGCUCACUUGAAGGCUGUACAUGAUUAUGCAAGCCCAAUUAAUCUCCUAUACACUAGCAGUGUCUGUCAGGCCUGGAUGCAUGACAACUAAUUUUAAUUUCAAUUUGAAAUCCAAGUUUUACAUGGCAAGCACCCAAGGCCAACAGUGCAUUCAUUGUCGGUGCAUAUAAGAUUAAUCCAUAGACAAGAGCUAAAACAAAUGCUAUUGAUCUAGAACCCUAAUCUUUUUUUCAGAAAUACCAAUUUGAUUACCACAUGAUAUAGAAGUAUAAGUUAUUGCAAAGAACUUUGGUUGUUUAUGGACUCCUGCAAAAGCAACCGAUGUGAAGCGCAUCACAUUCCUUGAAUGGGUUUGGGGCAAUUUCAUUACUGUUGUUGAGGAAUAAAUCAUUGAUCUACUUGUAGGAUUUGAUACAAAAGGUAAAAGAAUCUUUACCCAAUUUUAUUAAAGAUCUAUUGUCACCAAUGCACUGUAUUAAACAAAGAAUCUCACAGACCAACAUAGUCCUACUACUUUCACAUACUUCAUCCAUGUGGGCCAAUUACAAGUCCCAACCACACUUUAGUCAGCCCCCACAAAAAAGAACACAUUUUUUUCUCCAUGUUUUGACUUAGUAAGGUGACAAUGUUAUUUGGCUAUUUGCACAACAGCAAGAUCGUCAAAACAAAAGAUGAACUUGCACAGCAAGCUAAAAGCUACAAGAUGUGAGUUCAAGGAAAUAACCUGUUCGAGCUUGCCAGAUCAAGUCAUUCAAAGUAACAGGCAGAAAGAGGGUAGAAAAUGAUACUGUUCAUAUAUAGUGCAAAGUCCAGGAUGCCAGAGAGAUACAAUCAUCUAUGUCCAAUAAGAAACAAUGAUUCCCACUCACACAAACGAUUUCAGACAAGUUUCUGACACAUAUCAAGCUCAGAUCCAGAAUUCCAUCAAAAGAUGAAAUGACUAUUGUUUUAAAAAUGUAAAGCAAGACACAAAAGUAGAAAUUUUAUCAUAUAAUAAAGAAAGACAAACAUGUGAUACGAACAUCUAUUUAAUAAAAUAUCAAUAAGACAAGCAAUGUUCCUUAGAUGGAAAAACAAAUCCUGGAUCAAGAAACAUCUUAUUGUUAAGUUAACAUAAUCAGAUACUUUACUUCCAAGUUCAGGUUCUUAUAAAACAAUGAGUGAUAUUUAUGCUCAAGCAGCAUAUGCAGGUAUAAGUAAAUUAAAAUUUCAGGACAAACAAAGACUUGCACAAGGAAAAAAUUAUUCUUUCAAAAUGGGAAAGAAGGUCUCAUCAUAUCUUCAAUUCAGUAAAUUGCAAUCUAGUGUGUGCAUUUGUGUAUUUCAAUUCGCAUAAAUAAUUUUAAAAGCAUGUAUAACUUUAGUUAAUGCCACUUCUCAUGUACUGGGAAAAGCGCAUUUACCACCUUUAGGCAUCACAUUAGAUUUCUCAAGCACCACUGCCCAUGCUUUUACAAGACAACAACCCUCUUGGCACUAAAACAAAAGCAGUGCAAGGGGCUAAUAUAGGACAAUUUGCAGCAGAAGGGGCACUAAACUUGUUAGUGAUAUAGGCUGAAGCCAAAGAGAAAAUCUAGAACUUAAACAAUAACUGGGAAGUAAAGGAUUCUGGGUCAAUUGAUAAAAAAUUAGCAUAGGCAGCAACAAUUGUCUUUUGAUAGUAUUGCAAAAGAAAAGACCCACAUUGACCAAAAUAUCAACUGUCACAAUACAUGUUGCCACUUUCAAAACAAUUUCCACUUAUCUGCACACUGACGUAAACAUGAUUCUACUACUAUGGAGCAUUUAAGAAGCAAAUGCUCCUUGAAUACCAAAACUUCAAGAACCAAAGAGAUAAAUUAUUUACAGUGUAUUUUUUAAUAAAGUAAUCUUCAAUUCCAAAUUAUCAGCUCAAAUGCCAGAAAACUCACCCUACAGCAAAGAUGUCCAUUGAUGGUUUUAAUGGUGCAUCUUGAGCAACUUGCGUUUCACCUCCAUGCCCAUAAAAUCUCUGAAAAAUGAAAGAACUUCUAUUAGCAAGUAUAGACAAAAGGCAACUGUCACAUUCAGUAAAUGCAAUUCUCUCUCUCUCUCUCUCUCUCUCUCUCUCUCUCUCUCUCUCUCUCAUUUUCUUUGUAGAAAGGAACUUCUAAUAUUUUACAGUCUAGUUAACCAUGCUAUAAAUAACCAAUUUUCCAUUUGAAAGAGGAAAAGAAUCAAUCAAUACUUGGUAACAAUUUGAUGAUCAUGCGUCAUGAAUGGUCAACAUAGGAUCAAAAUUAAUCUCCAGUCCGAAUUAGUCUUACAGGGGAUGAUAAUUUCGCUGAAUGUGACCAUUCAGGUGAUCCAUACUUCAGGUUUUGGAUUCUUCUACAAGACUUUUGUUUUUGCUUUUUAUUUUCUACACUUCCUAAUGCAUUUUGCUUCCCAUCAUCAUUAGCAUAAUGUUUAUGUCCUUUCUGCACUAUAAGAAACCUAAACAUAUGUUGUUGUACCUAACAGACAAGGAGAAAAGAAAGUCCAUUUAUUUGUCUUCUUAUAUCCAUCCAUAACCUUAUCACAACUGUGAUCAUGAAUCCAAUAAAGCUUACAAAGGCAGCUGCACAAACUAAACAUAAAUGGUCAGGGCUACCAAGAAAGUUGUGAAAAUUGAAAAACAAUAUUUAUGGACCAAAAAGUUGGAGAACAGUUUCCUUGUUUUACCUUAAUUGGACAAAGGGAGAACUCUGAAGUAAGAGAUCUAGAUGUCAAUAAAGCAAUUAAUAUGAAAUGUCUGUAGUAAUGAAUUUCAAUUUUGUCAAGGGGGCGAAAAAACACACAGUUACGUAAUUGCACAUAGAUUCAGCAAGGGUGUCAUUUAGUAAUUGUCAUGGUAAGUGCUGUUUCCUUAAACAUAAAUAAGCCGUCUGCCUUACACAAAUGGGGGAAAUUGUGAAUGUUUAGAAAGUUCAUCUUCAAAAGGACGAGGAGGAGGAAGCAAUAUUUGGUUGUUACUAGUUGUCAGGCAAAUUAAGAAAACCACUCCAUCGAACUAAAAGAAUCACCAAUAAAGCUGAUCAAGAUAGUCAAGUACUUUUAUUGUGAGUUAAGCUAGUGUCUUUGAAAAGAAAUACAACAAAAAACUCAUUCUAGCACUAUGUAUACAGACAACCAAAAUUAACUUUUCAUCUGAAAUUGGAUCUCACCAGCACAAACAAAUAGGAAGCAGACAACAUUCUCCAGAAUACACCAAAAAGGUCAUUCUUCUAGGGCACUUCUUACAGAAAAUAAGAAGUUACUUCCAUUAGUCACCAAAAGGAAAGAAGUUGACUCAUAUUAGAAAGGCCCUUUUAAAAAAUGAGAAAUAUGUGUUGUUAACUGCAUAGUGUUUCCCCCUAUCUUUAUGUUUUAUGACACCAGCCAACUGAAAGGUUGAAAAUCAGCCACUCUAAUCAAACAAGCAAUCCAUUAACAAUAUGAAAAAUCAUGACAAGAAGUUCAUAUAUCUAGCAAAACUUCUCUGCCAGGCAAUUUUAUACAUGUCCUCCCAGACCCGAAUAAUCAAAAGCAUUUGUUUGGAUUGAGAUGAUUUCAGAUAAAAUAAUUUGCUUCACAAAUUCCAAUUACCUUUUUAUCUCACAUACAUCACAUCAUAAAAAGUGCUACAGUAAUUAUCUCAAAUAAAUCAUCCAAAUAAACUCCUAUCCAAACAAACCCUCAUAACUAGAAUCCGAAUUUAUGUCAUUAAGCAAAAACCAGAAAGGUACAAUCAUAAAGCAAUGCGCCAAUGAAAAACUUAGCAAUUCAAAGUAACAGAAGAUCUAAGCAAUUUUAUGAUAAUCUCAACUGUAUCACAUUCUAGGCAGGAUAUUGCCAAAAUCCCAAGGCUUAUGGGAUGCUUUAAAUUUGUAUUAGCAUUAACCCCUAUAGUACUAGGACGAAAAGUUUAAUUUGAAGUCAAGAACUAGAAAAGCUCAAACUAAAAUAUUAUUUCCCAUCCUGCAUAUGUUAACAUAGAUUUUCACAUAAAUAUUAGAUGAAUUACAAAAUUAAAUUAAAUUAAGCUUAUCUUGCUAAAUUUCUGGUUGGGAAAAAAAAAAGAUUAACUAGAAUAAGAAACCAACCUCAGGAGCAAGGUAACACCGCCUUCUUCCACCAGUGUCAAAGAAAAACGAAAAAUCAGAAGGAUCAUCAUGUGGAAUAUACGUCGGUUUGAAUGAUGCAAAAUCAGCAAGAUAAAGCCAGUUCCAGGAAGUAACCAGAACAUUCUCACACUUAAUAUCACCUGCAUCAGAUUAAAUUAAGUUACUUCUUCCUAAGAAUCAAUAUAAUGUUGCUAACAGAGGAGAUUAAAUUUACACUUAUCUUACCAUGACAAACUCCAUUUUCAUGGCUCUGUUUUACAGCAUAAAGCAGCUGCAAGACGAAAAAUUUCAUUAAGCCCUAACUGCAACUAAAAGACUAACACUGCAAUGAGAAGAAAGAAAGAAACCUGAAAAGCCAGCCAUUUCUUCUCAACAAGACUGAGGAAAGGUCGAGUGCUCAGCCGAUCAUGAAGAUUAUUAAAAAAGUAUUGUCUCAACAAGUAGGCAGCUUUGUCAGUUUCAAGCCAAAACUGCAGCAUACAACAUUUGCAAAAUAAGACCAUUUUAAGCCACCAAAAAAGCAAGAAAACAAAACAAUCAUAAAGUCUUAAACUCCUUAAAGCGACUAAAAACCACAAUUAUUCAAUCAUUCAGAAGGAUUCAUCAGUCAAUGAGACAAUUAAACAUCUAAAUGUAGAUAAAGUAAAAGCCCUCCUUUUGGUGUCAACAAUUACUGUCAGUUUCUGUCACACCAAAACUGCCCUUUAGAGUUAGUAUAAAACUGCUCAAAUCUACCUUCAUUUUACAAUCAUGAUCUCAAAAACAAUAGCUUCAUUUAUUAAGAAAAAGAAAAGGGCAAUAUAACCAUAGACUUUCCAGCAAGCACAGGCAUAGGAUAUGCCAUAUACACUAGUCACCAGAAGUAUUUUUGCCUUUCUUCAUUUUCAGUCGAAACUUCAGGGAAUUCGAAACCUAAAUUCAUGGUCAUCACCUAAACACAUUCCUACCAAAUGUAAAAGGAAGAGAAAAAAAAAAAAGAAUGCAAAGUAUUUCCAUCAAAGUAUCAGCCUCGUGGUGCCCCCAACUUCCAAUGAAAAAAACAAUUUCAGACUGACAUGAAUGAUUUACAAAUUUGUCUUUAUAAACCUUCAAUUGGUAGCAUAAACUAAAAUUAUUUUAAAUAAAUACUACUUUACAAACACUAUUUUUCCCUGAGCUCCACUUUCUCCUAAUACCCAUAUUGGUAAACCAUAAUUCUACCUAGCUUGUAACAAAGUAACCGGGAGAAAUUCAAAUAGCAGCAUCACUUUGAUAAAGCAUUAAUCUGAUGCAACUCAUUUCCGCCACUGAUGUCCAUUGCUUUUGGCAAUCCCAAAAGGAACACUAGUUCCCAUAGCUCGACUAUGAACACGAGCUUAAUAUUUACUUCUGGCCCUUUGCUUACUACAUAUUACGCUCUCAUUUAACUGCUUUAUAAGAUGCUGCAACCAAAAAUUAAAAUGCAACCCUUUUAUUAAAUAUGCUUCACACUACAAUUUCUCUUCCACGUUCUUCUAAGGAAUGAAGUACUAAUCUCGGCAAGGGUGAUACCAAUUUUAGCCCUAUCCUCAAACUAAAAUACAAUUAAAAUCAAUUCACAAAUAUCAGUGCGAAGGUGCAUUUAUGUACAAAUAAAUGUACUUCAGAGUAAAAGUAGAGGCAGACCUGGAAGGGCCAGACAUGAGGGUGAUCGAGGCCAGUAAAUACACCGUGAAUUUGGGAGAGGCGGCGCUCGUAGUCGCGUAAGUCAAUGGAGUCCCCUCUUUUGAAAUAAACCUUGACUAGCACAAGUCCUUCGUCGUGCUUGCACAGGAUCGAUUUCAGGAAUCGUCCUCGGCCUAAGACUUCUUUCAAUACUAAAUUAUAAGAAGACGGUAAAUCGUGCAGGUAAUACUCCGUCGCCGAAGCUUGCGUUGUUCGCGCGAUUUUAUUCCCCAUUCUGAGCUUGUGUUGUUUUCCCUCUAAGCGUUUGAAUUAGCUAGGGUUUUGUUUUCUGUUUUGCUUUUAAUUGUUUCUUUCACAUUGGGCAGGUCGGGUUUAACGGUGACCGAAGCGCGGCAGAGAGGGGGAUCGGAGGCGGAGGUGGUGAUGGGAAGGGACGGAAUGGGGGGAGCUGCGGUUGCGUGGGACUGUGUGGCGGAAGCAAGGUAAUGCUACUGCAGCGGAUCGUUAAUUUUCCAGUGGUUUAUUGCCAUGUCAUCAACGAUUUGUUUUCACGUCUUGCACAAGAUUGUGAAAAAGCGUGGCCGUAAACCAUUCAAUGGAAAUUGCAUUUUCUCACGCUUUUCACCACUCCAUUUUUUUCUUUUUUCUUUUUUUGAAAAAACCAGUCAAUGCUCUUUGCGGAUAAAUUUUGGCUUUUCCUUUUGUUGUGAAAUCUGUUUUAUCGAGAAUGCUAGCCACCUUACAAAAAAAAAAAGGGCAAAAAAUCUCAGCGGCCAUUAAACUAUUGACGGAAUCAUAUUUUGGCCAUCGAACUAUUUUUUGUCAAUAAUUAGCCACUAAACAAUUUAAUCCGUAAAUCCAUGACCAUUUCGUCGUUAAUUGCUCUUAAGUUCUGAAAUUAGCAUUACACGUGUCAAAAUGGAAGGACAAUUUUGUCCAACAACUAUGCGACCUUCUUCUCCCCUGAAUUUCUUUCCUCAAACAAGCUCUGGACUUCAUACAUGAAAUUGGUUGGCUUCUCCGUAGAAGUAAGUUGAAGUUUAGAUUGGGUUUUCUAGAUCCCAACUUGGAUACAUUUCUCUUCUAGCGUUUCAGAUGGCUUAUAGAGUUCUCAGUCAAACAUGACUGGUGUGCAGUGGUCAAGAUGCUUUUGAAUGUUCUGGUCAUCAAACUCAUGGGUGAAGAAAAACGCUCUUCAAUUGAAGAUGCACUGCUGGAAAAUGGGUUGCUCCAUAAAGCUGUUCGACGAAAUUGUAGGUCCAUGGUUGAAGUCCUCCUAAGAUACCAUCUAGAUGCAGAUCUGAAAAAAUCAAGUCCAAUCUGCUAUGUAUUUAGACCGAUGUCAAAGGCCCUGGGGGCUUGACUCCUCUGCACAUAGCAGCCGGAUGCGACGGAGCUGAGCAAGUGCUGGAUGCAUUAACUGAUAAUCUUGGACUGGUACGGCUCUUCUUAAUAUGCAUACUGUUAUUAGCGGAACAUUACUUUUGGAAAUGGAAAAAUAGUGCUCAGAUCCCUCAGUGGAAAAAUACGGCCUUCCUAUUAUCUUUAAUUUGUGGUUGAAGAUUUGGGACUCCCAAUUGAGUCCAUAUUUUUUCCACCACAUAAUGUUCCAUUCGGUGAUUGUCUGAGGAAAGAAAUUCAGGGGAGAAGAAGGUCGCAUAGUUGCUGGACAAAAUUGCCCUCAGGCAUUGCCACGUGUAAUGCUAAUUUCAGAACUUAAGAGUAAUUAACGACGAAAUGGUCACGAUUUUACAGAUUAAAUUGUUUAGUGGCCAAUUAUUAACAAAAAAUAGUUCGAUGGCCAAAACAUGAUCCCGGCAAUAGUUUAAUGACCGCUGAGAUUUUUUGCCAAAAAAAAAAAGCAUUGACUUUAAAAAAAAAAGAGAGAGAGAAUGCUAGCCACCUUCAAAAGAACAAAAAAGGAUAUAAAUAUACACUUAGGCUAAGUUUGGGAGUUUAGGAUAGAAAAGUGAAGAAGGGAGAACUUAAGUUACGAGAGGACAGAAGAGAUUGUUAUGUUGUUUGGAAAUUUUGAGAAUUAAUUGAAUAAUUUUGGAUAUGAAAGUCAUUAUAUUUGUUCAAGACAUUUUUAAGGAUAAAAUAGAUAUUUUAAAAAAUUUUCAUAAGGUUCCUCCUAAUUUCUUUUUAUUUCUCUCCAAUUUGGGAGGAAAAAUUUUACCUACUAUUCAUGGCUAAUUUCUUAGAAUAUAUGUAUAAAAAAAAACAUCCGUCAAAUGUAGCUUUGACACAGGGUAUUUUUCAAUUUUAUACCUGCCGUGCUGAGUCAGCAUGGCAGCAAACUGAAUUUUCCCUUCCCAGCCAAAUGGUGUCGGCCGAUCAGAGCCUCUGCAAAAAUUUCAAUUCGAUCAGUGGCGGAAAUUUUUUCUUUUAAAUCAGCCUGUCCCCUACCGUGCUGACUGGGUAUGGCUAGGGACAGCCAGUCCAAAAAAAAAAAAGGGCCAUGCGCCUUUGUUAGGGUUUGACCAUUACUGAUUAUUGAACUUUCAAAAACACCCCAUAUUUCUACCGAUCUCCUUUGAUUUCAAAAUUGUUAGAUGCAACCACUUGAAAAAUUUACAUACUUUAUUUGUUUGUUAAAAAAAAAAUCAUGCAAUAGAAAUUCAAUAAUUAACACUAAAAAAAUAGUACCAAAAUUUGAACUAAACAAAAUUCAAGACAUUUUUCUAGUAUUUAGCCACUAAUUUGUUUAAAAAAAUGAAAAGACAUAGCUAACCAUGGUUGUCUCAAAAUUAUUUUGUCUCCAAAAGUUUUUUUUUUAGUACUUUACCCUUUUCGUCAGUCAAAAAUAAUGUUUGAUCAUGUUAUAAAUUACUUAACUUUGGGAGGUGUUCAUGUUUCUAUUAGUUGGAACUUUUGGACAAAAUUACCUAUCCGUUUGGAUUAGCUAUUUUUGGGGUUAUUUUUAAAAAAUAGCACUAUAGCAUUUCGUUUUUGAAAUACAAGUCCGUUUGGAUUAGUUGUUUUUGGGGUUAUUUUUUAAAAACAAUAUGAAAAACUUUUACUGUAGAUGUUUUUUGGAUUAUUUUUAGAGGUAUUUUUAAAACACAUUUUUGAGUAUUUUUAUAAUUUAUAAUUUAUAUACAUUUAUGCAUUUAUAAUACAUUUAUAAAUAUUUAUAAAUAAAUAUAUUUAUAUAUUUAUAUAAAAAUAUAUAAAUGUAUUAUAAAUGUAUUAUAUUAUAUAUAAUACAUAAUAUAAAUAUAUUUAUAAAUGUAUAUUAUUAUAAAUGUAUAAAUUAUAAAUGAAUAUUAUAUAAAUGUAUAAUUUAUAAUUUAUAAUUUUUAUAUAAAUAUACAUUUAUGCAUUUAUAAUACAUUUAUAAAUAUUUAUAAAUAAAUAUAUUUAUAUAAAAAUAUAUAAAUGUAUUAUAAAGGUAUUAUAUUAUAUAUAAUACAUAAUAUAAAUAUAUUUAUAAAUGUAUGAGUGUAUAUUAUUAUAAAUGUAUAAAUUAUAAAUAAAUAUUAUAUAAAUGUAUAAAUUAAUAUAUUAUAAAUAUAUAUUAAUAUUAUGUAUAAAUGUAUUAAUAUCAUUAAUAUAAAUGAAUAAAUGUAUUAAUAUUAUGUAUAAAUGUAAAAUUAAUAUUAUGUAUAUUAAUAUAAAUGUAUAAAUGUAUUAUAUUAUAUAUAAUACAUAAUAUAAAUGUAUAUUAUAAAUAUACAUUAAUAUAUAUAUUAUGUAUAAAUGUAAAUUUAUAUAAAUGUAUAAUAUAUAAAUAUUUAAUAUAUAUAAUAUACAUCAAUAUUAAUUAUAAAUAUUAUAAUAUUAUAAAUAUGGUGUUUAUAUAAUAUUUCAAUUUGUAAUAUUUAUUGUAUAUUUCAUUAUAUAAAUAUUUAUAAAAUAUAUAAUAUAUAUUUUUCAAUUUGUAUAAUAUACAUAAUAUUGUAUAUAUAAUAUAAUAUAAUAUAUUAUACAUAAUAUACAUUUAUACAUUAUUAACUAUUAUGUAUAUUAUAUAUUAUACAUAACAUUAUUAUACAUUAUUAUACACAAUAAUUUACAUAAUAAUAUUAUACAUUAAUAAUGUAUAUAUUAUAAUAUAAUGUACAUAAUAUAUUAUGUAUAAAUAUUUAUACAUUUAUGUAUACAAUAUUACAUAUUUUGUAUAUUAUAUUAUAUUAUGUAUAAUAUACAAUAUUAUGUAUAAUAUUAAUGUAUAUAAAUAUUUAUAUAAUAUAUAAAUAUAUAAAUAUAUAAUUUUCAAUUUGUAUAUUUCAAUUUAUAUUAAUAUAAUAUAUAUAUUAAUGGUGUUUUUGGAAUUAUUUUGGAAAUACACAUUUAAUGUAGCAUUUGGAAUGUGAAAAAUAGUUUUUCAAAAACAGAAGCAAAAACAAGGAAUCCAAACGGAUCCCACACUUUUUCUAACAAAUCCCUCUCAUAAACCUUACCAAAGCUUACCCUUUCUACUUUAAAGAAAGAACCAUGGUUUGCUAUGUCUUUUCAUUUUUUUAACAAAUUAGUGGCUAAAUACCAGAAAAAUAUCCUGAAUUUUGUUUAGUUCAAAUUUUGGUACUAUUUUUUUAGUGUUAAUUAUUGAAAUUCUAUUGCGUGAAUUUUUUUUCUAACAAACAAAUAAAGUAUGUAAAUUUUUCAAGUGGUUGCAUCUAACAAUUUUGAAGUCAAAGGAGAUCGGUAGAAAUAUGGGGUAUUUUUGAAAGUUCAAUAAUCAGUAAUGGUCAAAGCCUGACAAAUGCACAUGGCCCUUUUUUUUUUCAUGGACCGGCUGUCCCUAGCCGUGCCCAAUCAGCACGGCAGGGGAUAGGCUGAUUUUUUUAAAAAAAUUUUCGCCGCUGAUCGCACUGAAAUUUUUGCAAAUGCUCUGACCGGCUGACACCAUUUGCCUGGGAAGGGAAAGUUCAGUUUGCUGCCGUACUAAAUCAGCACAGCAGGUAUAGAUUGAAAAAUACCCUGUGUCAGAGCUACAUUUGACAGAUUUUUUUUAUAUACAUAUAUUCUAAGAAAUUAGCCUACUAUUCAUCCUCCCAUUUUUUUUCUUUUCUUUCUUACUAAAAACUCACAAACAAAAGAAAAUCAGACUUUAUCUUCUCUCCCUUUCUUUUCAGUCCAAGCCCUCAACUCCCAAAGGCACCCUUAUAUUAGUUCCGUUUGGAUUAGCUGUUUUUUGAGGUGUUUUUGAAAAAUUUUACUAUAAUAGUGUAUAUAAAUUUUUUUUUGAAAUAUUUAAUAUAUUGUAUGGAUGAGAUGUUUUUUUAGUUAUUGUGUAACACUGUAACAUUAUAUUUGAAAAACUUAGGGUUUGUUUGGAUUGCUUCAUAUUUUCCCAAUUUUAUUUGCUUACAUCAUCUUUACAAUUUCCAAUACACCUUUUUAUCUUCCCAAUAUCUUUUUAUCUCACAUACAUCACAUCACAAAAAGUGCUACAGUAAAAAUAUCUCAAAUAAUCCCAAAUAACUUACAAUCCAAACAGACCCUUAUUUUAGUAAAAAUACCCAAUACUAGGAUUUUGGAUGAUUUGUUAAUAUAUGGAAGGCAAUUUAUUGCUUAAUAGUAGGAUUUUGGUAUAAAUUAUGAAAAACAAUACGAUAUAUUGCACCAUUAAUGUUUAAUUUCUAACGAUUGACCAAAUUAUGACAUUUGAUUUUUAAUAACUUACUUAUAACACAAAGCACAAGAGAAGUUCUACGAUGCAAUUAGGAGGAGGUACUAGCAAAUAAAACAACAGCUACCCCCAAUCAAACUAUUAAAGUUCAAGCCAGGUCGUAUAAGCACAAUUAGCGCAAAUCUUCAACAUCACGUGUUAGAUACUUGGAUAUAUCUAUGAAAUGUACGGACCUGUUUGGCACCCUAGUUUUUUACCAAAUUUUUUACCUACUAAUUUUUUAAUAAUUUUUGCUACAGAAAUCCAAAAAAUUUCCCAAAAUUUUUUAUCUACACACUUCAAAAAUCUAUACACACAAAAUUCCUCAAAAACUUUUCUUUUUCCCUCACCCAACCCACCACACCAGCCACCACCUCCAUCAUCUCUCCCGGCGCCGGUAACCUCACAAAAAAUUUCUCUAAUUAAACCUCAAGUUUUGAUUUUGUCCGCUUCAAGCGCCGGAAGAUUCAGUCCGCUCUGAAACAACCAACAAAAAGUUCAUAUCUCACCAAUUCUGCUCACUCUCUUUGAGCCUUCUCUCCCUGCCGUCACAGCAUGAAUUUUAAUGAAAACCAUUUUAAUGAAAUGAAAAAUUAGCAGAGCUACCCAAAAAAAAGAAAAAAAACCCAAGAAAAUUAAUACUAGGAUUUUAGGAGGAGCAACAAAUACAAAAGAGAAAACAAAUCAUCAAGAAGAAGAAGAUGGAGGAGCCCAAAAGUACUUUUCCCAAGCAACGAAGGAACAAGACUCUGAUCAGCAGAAUGGGCAAAGCCGGGGGUGGUGGAGGGAUUGGAGUUGGAAUUAUUUUCUUGGGCGGAGCAGUAGCCAGUGCUACUGCAGCUUUCCUCAUCAAGAGGCGGCUCCAAAAGUCCACCAGAAAUAUCAAGAAUUGCAGCCAUGAUCCGUCAACUCCAUCCGCUGAGAUUCCUUACAAAUUGCUGGAGGACAAAAACACAAAUCAAGCCAAGGGCCUAAAGUUUAUUGCUCGCGAUUCAAAUUCUCCUGCAUGUACGGAUACGUAUCAAAACUUGAGGUUUGUAAUUGCCGAAAGAUCCUGGUGGGGGGAGGGAGAGGGAGGGGGGAGAGGAGAAAAGCAAAAAAGAAAAAAAAAGAAAAAGAGCAGAGGUAGUACUGACAGAGGUGCUGGAGGUGGGAGGCGAACGGGAAGUGGGAGGGGAAAGGAAGAAGAAGUAAAGGAGAGGAAAGAAAAGAAAAAGGAAAGAAAGAAAAAGAAAAAGAAAGAGAAAGAGAAAAAAAAAAGUUUUUCGCUUCAUAAAAAUUUCUACAAAAUUUUUCACAUUCUAAAAACUUUUGUAAAAUUUUUUUAAAAACUUAUACAAUACACUAUAGUAAAAUUUUAGACAAACUCUUAAAAAACUCAGGUUCAAACAGACCGUAGUUUCGUGGAAUUAAACUUCUGCAAAUAUGAAUCAAUUAUUAAAUAAAAGAAAUAAAUUGAUUUACUUUUUGUGCCCUUAUUGCUAUCAUACUUACCUAUUCCCUGUAAUUUGCUAGACUUGAUUAGAUUUAGAAGCAAGUAAAACAACGUUCUCAAUCGCGAGGAAGAAACCAUUCGAUCAUCAAAAAGAGCACGCCCAUAAGAAUUCCACACAAUAUGGAUUCAAAGAUCCGACAACUCAAGGAACAGAAGAACGCACUAGAAUUUAUUUAAUAUGGUAAAUCACAGAUCACCAUAGAUUCAUAUAUCUAGGUAUAAUCAAUCACAGAUCACCAUAGAUUCGUAUAUCUAGGUAUAAUCAAAGGCGUAUUUACAUCUCCAAGUUCAUAAAAAACAAAGAAAUCAGAAGAUCAACAUUUGAUAAUCACAGCCGAUGACGAUGACGAUGACGAUGAUAUUUAUGAUCUUCAGUCUUCGUUCUUAAUAGGAUCUUCAUAGUUGGGAUCAUUUACGUCGAGAGCUUCUUUGGGGAUCCGUCCUAGCUCAACAUCAGAGUAACCGUCACCGGACCACGUGAACUUGCCGCCAUGGCCACCUUUCUUCGGCGAUCCAUUCAUGCCUGUAGCCGAUUUCCUGUCUCUCCUGAUCUCCUGACCGUUGCCGGCCUUCACAUUUGUCUUGGAGCUUUUGCCGGAAUUCCUCAUCUGUCUCUCUCCACUCGUGGCUCUUCUGUAGCUACUCUAUCAAUUGAAGCGAGUGAGAACAGGAAACCCAGGUUGGCAGAAUUUAUAGGAAGCUGGGGUGGUUUGUACAUUGGGAGCGGUAUUUUAAUCGCGACCUUGUGGGCUGAUCAUGUAACGUGACAGCGACCGUAACAAAUGGAUAAGAACGGACUAUUCUUUCUUUUUUUUUUCUUUUUUUUUUUUUUUGGGGGGGGGGGGGGGGUAUGGGAACAAACUCGUCGGUUUUCUUUACUAGCCAAAUCAAUGAUCAUACACUCACAUUAGCACAUUUGAGCAUUGGGCAGUGGUUGUUGGAAUUUAACAUUUUUUUAAAAAAUUUGAAAUUCUCAUUACUUGAUUAAAAUUUGUAAAUUUUAAAAAGAAAAUGCUGUAUAUAGCUACACCUUGCCAUUGGUUUUUUUUUUGUUCAAUAGAAAGGGUUUUGACUCAUUUCUUUUGUAUUCCUGCACAUCAUUACUCAACUAUGGCAUUCUAGCUUUAAUGUAAACCCUUUGGCUUUGGUACAAAUAAACUAUAGGUCAAUUAGAACUCCACCAUAACCCAGAGAGAAGGGUCUUCACACGCUUUGACCAGGACAAGAAGCUGGAUAUACAAAACGGAAUUGAUGUAAAUUUGCAAUGAUUAUCGAUGAAUGUACCAGUGCCUAAAGAAUUUUUUACGAAUUUUUUUUGUGAAAAAAAAGAAUAACAAAAAACUUAUCCCACCAGUUUUUUUUUUUUUAGUUAUUAAUGUACAUAUUUAAUGCAUUUCCUUCAUGACAUUGAUGUUAGACCAAAUUGUUAUUCUUGACUUGUACCCAAAGACACUCACAAUAAGUCAAGUCCUGAUAUUGGAACUUCUUAUAUAUUUGAAAAAAUAAAAACUUUAGGAAAACAGUAAUUGUUUGCUUAACUUCUGCUAUGCAAAUGAAUCGUUUACUAUUUUCUACAAACAUUCCCUUAACUUCUUGUACCAGUUUGCUGGUUAAUUAUUUCACUCAAAGCCCUGCUCCAGAGAUUGUUAAACUCAAAAUGACUGAGGGCCUCGGGCAGCAUGGAAACCAAUGCCAGUAUAAUUAAUGGAGUUCAGAAAUAAUACCUAUUUAAUGGAGUUUGUUUGGAUAGGAAGAUUUGCAAAAAAAAUUAAAAUUAAAAUUUAUUCUAUUUACAUCAUAAAUAUAAUUUUCAAUUAUCUUUUUAUCUCGCAUGCAUUGCAUCACAAAAAAAGUGCUAUAAUAAUUAUUUUAAAUAACCUCAUAUCUCAAAUGCAUCACAUCUCAAAUGUAUCCCAGUCGCUUUCAAUUUGAUUCGCGAUUAUAGUAUUGAAAAAACAUGGCACGAAUCGAAUGGAAGAAAAUGAGAAUCGUCCUAUUGUCAAUAAUUAUUCACUCUCUUUUUCUUCCCCAUCACCCUUCAAUUUUUUCACGAGGAGCAGAGGCGGAGGCAAGUGUAACUGAGGGUAGGCAAUUACCCCAUCUUCCCCUCCCCCCUUCCCCGGGCAACAAACCUCCUCUUCAAUUUUGAGAUAUUUUCUUUUCAAGCUUAGAAUUUUUGAAAAAUUUUAAGUUGUUCCUUAUUUGAACCCCUUGAAAUUUUUCAAAAUUUCAUUUUUAUCUACUUUGCCCCGAUAUUUGUAUAAAAAUCUCUUUCUUAUCUAUAUUGUCUCCCUAAAGAACUUUUAAAUAUUUAUUUUUCAUUUACAUUGACUGCUCUUAAUAAAUUAAAAAUUUUUAAUUUUUACACUUCACAAGAAGUUGGAUAUAAUUAAAAUUAGUUAUUCAUGUAAAUUUAACAAUAAACUCUGUUAACGUUUCCAAACUACCACUACAUUGUAGUACAAUUUAGAUAUCAAAAUAUAAUUGACAUAAUGAUAAAAAUGUAUGCUUAACAUAAAUGCCUUUUAGUUAUAAAUUUACUAUAACUACAAUUGAUGUGGCGUCAAAAAUUGAAAUCUCAAAUCCUAGGGCCCUAAUUCUGAGCAAGGUGGGGCUUCAAAUCUUUUAUUCCCAAAGUAGUCUCUGUCCCAUCUGUCUCUUAUUUGUACAGCUGACACGUGUCUCUAGCAUUUUGUUAACCCAAACUUAAAUAAAUCGAUAAUAAUCAGUUUAUAAGUUUACUCAAAAUCAAUUAAAACCAUAGUUAUUAAACCCAAUCCGGGAAGGAACCCGGCGAAGGAGGUGGGUCAACGGGUUACUGGUUGAACCGGUGGGUGAGUGGUUGAACCGGUGGGUCACUACAUAUAUUUAAAUAUUAUAUUUCAUAAUUAUUUAUAUAAGAUAUAUGAUAUAAAUUGUAAUAAAUAAUGUCAUAACAAAAGCUCAUUUAAUUUAAUUUGUUAUAAAAUAAUUAAUUCAUAUAAGAAUCAAUCAAAUAUAAAGUUAUUUAUUAAUAUACCAAUCUUCAAGUGUAAAAUUUUAUCUAUAUUUAGUGUAAUUAUCUAGCUUAUUUAUGAAUUUUAAGUGUAAAAAUUUAUUAAAAAUAAUAUUUGUCUUUAAAUGAAUUAUGUAAUAUGUUAUUUUUGGAAUCCAUUUUAUAACUUAUAGAGUUUGGAGGGUAAUAAAUUUUUAUUAAAAGAUUCCAAAUAAAUUUGUUUUAGAGAAAAAAAGAUAGAAUUGAAAAAACAUUUAUAUAUCAUACUAAAGCUACUAUAUCAAUAUAUUUGGAAGUGGUUUGGUGGUAAGCAAGCGGUAGUGUGAGGGCAAAGGUCGGAAGUUCGAGUCCCAACAAUAGCAAUAUAAUUUUUCCACAAAAUCCGGUUAGUGACAAAACCGGCCAAAACCGGCCGGGUUUCCGGUUUAACCCAGUUCGACCGCCGGGUCGUUGACUAAGUCAACGGUCUGUGUGCACAAACGAUCUGAUUCCAAACCCGGCCCGGUCCAAUGACCGGUCCACCGGUUUGACCGGUUCGACCGCGCGGGCCGGGCCGGGUUUAAUAACAAUGAUUAAAACAGAUAACUCAAAACUUUUUUUAUUUUCUUUUUUAACAAAAAAGAGUCUUGUUGAUCAUAAACAUAGAAAUCAACUGAAACUCUUCUUUAUUUUUUACUCCAAAUCAACAAGACUCUUUAUUGUUAAAAAAAAAAUUUUAAAAAGUUUUGAGUUAUCUGUUUUAAUUGAUUUUGAGUAAACUUGUAAACCAAUUAUUAUCGAUUUAUUUGAGUUUGGGUUAGACACGUGACAGCUGUACAAAUAAGAGACAGAGGGGACAGAGGAUUUGAAGCCGCAAGGUGGCUUUCCCGUGAUCCUUCAAUUGUUCCAUAAGAAAUAGUUAUGCUCUUUGCAUGUUUUAUAAUAGCUAUACAAUAACUAUACAACAUAUAAUGCCUAAGUCACAGUUGUUGGUGUAAAAUGCCUUUGGUCAUCUUUUAAACUUUCUAUUUUAUCCUUAUAAAGAUUAAUCUAUACGAUACAAUAUAUAAUGCUUGAGUAAUGAUAACUGGCGAAAAUUUUUUGUUGUCUUUUAAACUUUCAAAUUUGUCCUUAUAAAAAUUAAAUUUUAUUAUAAUCACCUAAUUACAUUUUGCUAAUAUAACCCCUCAUAACCACCAUAAAAUAUUGUAACUACCAAAUUAUUGUAAUCGUAUAAGCCAAAACUUUUUUUCAUGAAAAUUUUAUGCAAAGUUUUUGUAUGCAACAAACAAAAAUUUAUACAAAUUUGAUCUAUUUUAAUUAUUCCCGAAUUCCGCACACAUGAGGUGUGCCCUUAAUGCGAGUUUAUGAUAAUUGCAACUCCACUGUCUAUCAUAUUUAUUACAUUUGCCAGAAAAUUCUUCUGGUGAUAAGAAAAAAGUUGUUUAAAAGUGGCAGCAACGAGUUAAGAGUGAUAUGUUUCACUAGGUGCCUAAUUAAACAGGGAAUAAAUAGAUUUUUGGAAGAUAAUUGGUUGACAUCAAUGAAUUCAAUAUCCAAGAAGCUUAUUCCUGAUAUGUGGGCUAGCAACUGUUAAUGUGGUCCUCAAUAUAUUCUGUUUAUUUUCGUUAUUUUUGGGUUGUUGGGAAAUAUUUAUUAUAUUGAUUUGCUUCUUAUCAUGGACUAAAGUUUUGGUUUAGAAUAGAUUUUCUUUUUCCUCAUUUAGAUCCAUGGACUAAAUUGAAACUAGUCAGAGCACCUAGUUAAACUGCAAAAUCAAGGACUAAAACUAAUUAAUUCUAUAUCCCUAUUUACCCAAAGCCAAUAAAAAAAAAACCCCAUUUACUUAAAUUUUUUUGGUAUAAUUUAACAAAAAUAAAAUUUUCUGGGUUAAUUAGUUAUUAUAACGACUUAACGUGCCAAAAUCCGGUCCAACGAUCCAAGACACCCGUAAACUACCGAACCCGGUUGAUUGGCUGACAUGGCCAAUCGUGAUUGGAGGUAACCCCCACGCAACAGCACCUCUCCCGACCACUCCCAAAACCCUACCGUUCGUCGAAUGGUAAAAGGGGGAAUAAAAAUAGAAAUUUCCAAAACCUCUCAACAAAUACAAAGGAGAAAGCCGAGGAAAGUAUAAUGACCGCUGCGUUGUAUGCCUACUUAUUUCCGACGGCGGCCUCUCCCUCCCAAUUUGCUCCUCCCAAGCUUCUCUUCUCUUCAAAAUUCUCUCAAAUCCCUCCUCAUUUCUCCCACCUUUCAACCCGUGAGUCUCUCUUCUUCUUCUCUCCAAACGUUUUGCAUCAGCUCUUACACUUAUUUUUAUCUCGUAUGACUAUUGUUUUAGUUGUUUAAUUAUCCUAAAAUAUAAGAUAAUUUAGUCAGUUACUUGUAAUUAUUGAAAUACCAAUGCUUUUUAUCUGCUAGGAAGACGUGCACUUUUUACUACUCCAAUUUAGUAGUUUAGAAAGAGCUGCUACUUUUAGUUUUAUGUUCGAUUAGAUUCAAGAGUUACUGAUGCAAAUUUGGGUAGCAUGGCGUGUGCAAUGUACUUGAUUUUCGCUACGUCAUACAGCUGCAAUUCUGUGGCUUAAUUAUUGGUGCUUUGGUGGGUGCAUUGGUUUGUUGGAGAGAGUUGUGUCUUUCUAAAAUGAGGUCGUGUGUUCUUGGGCAGCAGCUCUUUUUUAUUACGUUUAUGUUUCCUUUCUUUUUCAAUUAUCUUUGAAACUGAAACCUUUUAGACGUUUUUAGUUUUCAAGGGAAAAAUGAAAAUUAGCAUUGUUGAAGUGGUUUUAAAAUAAUGGUGGGGGGAUAAUAUGUUGAUGAAAUCAACAUAUAAUAGACGCUUGACAGGUUUGUGGUUAUUUGUCUGUCACUUGAAGAUAAUAUGUUGAUGAAUUGAGAAUUUUUGAGUCAUUGUAUUCUUUUUGAAUGAUUUAGAAAUUAAUUUUUAUGGGAUGUUUGAUAUCGUUACUUGUUCUUUGUGCUAACCUGUUAUUUUGGUGUGGUUAUUGUGAAACUAGACAGGUAUUCUGAGAACAGCUAGUAGGCCUUUCUCUGUGGCAAAACUGCAAUCUGUAUCAUCCAUGGCAGAGGUAAUUUUUCAUUAGUAUGUGCAACAUAAAUGACUACACAGUCACAGAAAAGACUGCAUAUAUUGAUAGGUGUUUGCUUUUGGAGAAUGUGACAUUUAAUAUGACAGUUCACUGAGCUGGGUAGGAAAAUUGGGGAUUUUUGAUCAACAAUUUGGAGAACUUAAGGUAGUGGUUGGUAGCCUGUAUGAUUUAGAUGUAAUCCAUAUGCACACUUACUGAAUGGAGGCUAGUGCAAAAAAGAUUGGCUUAUACCCAUCUCUGCACCUUGAUAUGUGUUUCCUUUGGAGGAUUUGACGUUCAGCAUUAUACUUCACUGUGCAGGUUAUGGAGAGAGUAGGGAGUGUUAAGCAACAAUUACAGAGACUAUUUGGAGAAGCCUUCAGAGAUAAAUUUCCUGAUGAGUUAGAUAUAGUUCCUAUUAUUACUCCUUGCAAAGAUCUAAGACACGGCGAUUAUCAAUGGUAUGCAAAAGCUUCUCAUAUUCACAAAUGGUGUAUUAGAUUGUCUAUGGAUGCUAAUUGAUUGGUUUUGCAUUGAAAUGUUGGUCUGUUGUGUGUGAAAUUACAACAUUUCCAUGCCUAGAAUCUUUUUGCAUAGCAUUUGUUCCCUGCAAUGCUGAUUGAGGAAACUAUUCUUUUGGUCCAGCAAUAAUGCAAUGAGCUUAUUUGCGAAAAUUAAAGGCAGAGUUCCUGAAUUCAAGAAACCGCAGGCUGUGGGACAGGUAUUCAUGGUUUCAUUUUAGUAUCACCCAAAUCUAGAAUGACUAUUGUGACAUAAAAGUUAGGUCCUUUUAUUAAAGCAUGAAGAUUCAGUUGUUCUCAUUCCAUUUGUAGGCAAUCAUGGACAGUCUUCCUGAUUCAGAAAUGAUUAGGGGGUGCACAAUAGCAGGACCUGGCUAUGUAAACGUUACAUUGUCAACAGAAUGGAUGGCAAAGGUAUUUAGCCUUUCUUAAUUUCACCAAGUGUUGUCAGUAGUUUUAUGUUUCAUAUGGAUACUAAAUGUUCCCAAAUUUGCAUUGCUGUGUAAUUAUUGCUGGAUGGGUAGAAACAAUAAUAAGUGAUAAUAUUGGCAAUGAUGAUAAUAAUGUUAUCAUUCUUCCUGCAGAGAAUUCAUAAUAUGCUUAUUGAUGGUGUUGAAACAUGGGCGCCAGAACCUCCAGUCCAAAGGGCAAUAGUUGAUUUUUCCUCACCUAACAUAGCAAAAGAGAUGCAUGUUGGGCACUUAAGAUCUACCAUUAUUGGAGACACACUGGCCCGUAUGCUGGAGUUUCAAAAUGUUGAAGUUUUUAGGAGAAACCAUGUUGGUGACUGGGGAACACAGGUUAUGGCAAUUUUGGCUACAUGUCUAAUUUUCCACUUGGUUCUUUUACUUUUGCCUUGUGGCCAAUGUGAUUUUCGGCAUUUUUUGAUUUGUUUACAUCUAUUAGUUUUGCUUCUUAUUUGCUCUACCUUCAAAGUAUUAAUUGUGGAAAAUCUAGAGAUCUGUUUUUUGGUUGUUCGGAUUGGAGAUGUCCAUGGAUCGUAGUCUCCUUGGUAUUAUUUGUUUGUCAUUUUGCUAUACCUUUUUAGAUGGUUUCCACCCAAUCUAUUUUCCCAUCUUUUACCUUAUAGGAACGGUGUAAAAGUAGGCAGAUUGCGCAAGGGGGUUUCACUUGUCACAAGCAGUCUGAUAGGCUUGGUUAUUUGUUUAUAUUAUCUGUUAUCCACGAACCUAACUUGUCACAUUAGUUUGUAUUAAUAUAGCUCUGUAAGCGACUUCACAAAUUAAGUUCCAUCUCCUGUCCUGCAUGAUGUAUUUCUACUGAUGUGACAAUCAUGUGUGAUCGAUUGUGACCAACUCUUUGGUUACCCCAUUUAUUUGAAUCCUAUUUUUUAUUAUUUGUUUUGCAGUUUGGCAUGCUGAUAGAAUAUCUAUUUGAAGAAAAUCCUAACUGGGAGGCUGCUCCAACUGAAGCCAUUGGAGAUCUACAAGUGAGUGCAAGAUAAAAUAUGACUAUUCAUGAUUUUUUACUUGUUUCAUAUUAUUCUGUUGAGAGGUGGUAAAUAUUUUCAAGGAAUGGCUUGCUUUUAUAAUGCAUUUGGGUACACAGGUCUUAUUGAAUUCAUUUUUUAAUAAAAGAAUUUAUCUGGGAAAAUAUUCAACUUCUACUAUUUAUGUUGUUUCCUCCUCAGGACAGUAGGUGGGUACUAUGAUGCAGAUGGAAAUUCACGUUAUUUUAAAUGCACUUGUUUAGCAGAUUCCUGUUGGUUCGUGAGUCUUUGUAGCUGUUCAAUUUUACAAAACACGAUCAUCUGAUGUCUAUUAAAUUGUUACCAUUUUCAGGAAUUUUAUAAAGAAUCAAAGAAGAAAUUUGAUGCCGAUUCUGAUUUUAAAGAGAGGGCCCAGAAAGCAGUAGUCAGUCUUCAGGUGAAUCACCUCAAUUUUGUAGUUGAAGCUUCAGUAGUGCGUGAUUUUGAUGUUCAUAAAUCCAUUCAUGCUAAAGGUUUUUGUAUUCCUUCGUUUGUUUGUUUGAGGAUUCAGGUUAUCAAUAUAUUGAAGUUGAUUUAGUGGUUGUCCUUGUUGGCAAUUCUAUUGUCAUGCUGUAAGUUAAUUUUUGUAACAGGGAGGAGAAGAGAAGUAUCGGAAGGCAUGGGCACAGAUCUGUGAAACUAGUCGAAGGGAAUUUGAUAAAGUUUAUCUGCGGCUAGGUAUUAAGUUGGAGGAGAAGGUAUGGAAUGGAAUGUUUGCAGUUUUGUAGCUUUACAUGAUGAAACGAACACUAAAUAAGCAAUGUAUGUCUUGCAUUCCAGUUGAGUGUUUGAGAAGUCUCUUUCCACUGGCCUUUGACUGCCUAGGUUUGAUCAUUUUCUAAUGCAAUUUGGUCUCUACAACUUAUGGGUCCUGUACUUUUUGUGAUUCAACUAGGUGUUUUUAAAUUGGGACACAUGUAUAAUAUAUUGACAAUGACAAAUGGUCGUCUAGGAUGAAUACACUUUGUGACCUGGUUUUCACAAAGGCCACUCUUUAUCUGUAUGUAUUGUUAAUCAUUUUUCUAUCUUCCAUCAUAAUGACAACAAACAUGAGGGAGUACUCGAGUCCUGGAAUAUACAGGAGGACAAAUAUGCAGUUUUAGUUAUAUUGGCUUGUAAAUGCCAAUGGAGAGGAAAGGGAGGAAAACUGUGGGUGCUUGUCUCGAAUAUGGGAGACAUCUCUGUCUCCCAUAUUUGAUCUUUUUAAAAAAAAAUUUUGUAUGCUUUAGUUAAUAGUUGAUGACUAAGCCAGAAUGCAUUAUACUUGGUAUUUUGUUUAAAUUCUAAUGAUUGUGCCUUCGGAAUUAUGUACACAAUAGCUUAAAAAUGCAUUAGUUUUUAAAUUGGGAAGUUUUGCAUAUGUCUUAGUUGACUUGGAGUGUGUAGGGACUAGUGUAGUCUUUGUUCUUGACUGUGCACAUGCCCAGGUUUAUUUAUCUCUUCUCUCUUCUUAUUAGGGGGAAAGCUUUUAUAAUCCAUAUAUCCCAACGGCUUUAGAGCUAUUGAGUAAAGAGAACUUAAUUGAAGAAAGUGAAGGUGCACGCGUUAUCUAUGUUGGCGGGAUCACAAGACCUCUUAUUGUUGUGAAGAAGGAUGGUGGUUACAACUAUGCUUCAACUGAUCUUGCUGCUUUGUGGUUUGUUUUCACUUUUUGGAUGUGUUUGUUAAUGGGAUUAACAUUCACUGUCUACUUUUCUUUUAAUAGUAUUGUAGAUCAACUGUUUUAUGCAUUGCAUGUGGCUGAACUUUUUUAAAAAAAAAGUGUGUUAUACAUAUAACUACUUAUAUAGAUUUUUUGACAGAGUAUAAUAUGGAUUAAAUUAUCUUGUAUGAUUAUUUUGUUAUUGAUUUGUGAGUUUGUCACAUUGCCCAUAUUAGAUGACUUUUGCUGCUCGUCAUUGUCUUGCAAUUUCGUCUGUGUUCUUAUAGGCAUAGACUUGAGAGGUUUAUUUUUCCAAAAAGUGAAAGAAGUAUGAGGGUCAAAUUUGAAAAACUAGUUAAUCAAUCCUGGAUACCUUAUUCUUGUAAGUUCUUGGAAUCUCUGUAGGUGAAUACAUGCUGGUCAAGCAUUAGUUUAAAACCACAGAUUAUUCAGUCUGUAGCUAAAUCUGGAAGUCUGGAAAGAGUAGCCGUGGCUACGAGCUCAAAAUACCUGCUUUACAUGACUGAAAUAUGCCACCAUUCUAUAUAUAUUUGUCACAUAAGAGAAUCUAGACAAGAUUACUUCGAAUGCAUUUUUAAUCAACCUUUGCGUGCACUGUUUGGUUGCUUCUGCCUCAAUUAUCAAGCAACUAUGUUAAACCAGACUCGAGUUAGCCCUGCUGUACCUGUGUCCUACUCUUCAUUUUGCACUAGAGUAGCUGUUUUUUGGGGGGGGCGCACCCAUACCCAAGUCCAGGAACAUAGUCAAGCUAGCUAACAUAUUUGAUAGUGGCUAGUAUGCGAUUUGCCUAAUAGUGCACUUAGUGUGAACAAUGAUUUUCGGCCUGUUCAUAAGAUGUUGCAAUUUAUUACCAUUGGUGCAUGAGAACGUGAUUAAGAAAGGACUGUUCUGUGUCAUCCUACCUAGCCCUAGACCCCUGAUGAGGAAAUUAUUAAGAUGAGGAGAAAGUUCAUAAGCUCCUAUUUAGUUGGCAUCUUUCAAACAAAUAAUGCACGUAUUAACUUCAAAGUUAAUCUCUUGUGAAAUGUUACCUUUACAAGGUUUUGUAUACUAAAUGUUAGGGGAUUCAUCCCUUUAUAACGGAAAUUUGCCUAAAAUUGCAUUGAUUCUUCUUCCUGCUAUCUUUCCUCUGUGAUUUGGCAUGCCAUGCUCCUAACCAGAGUUGCCACCUGCUUACAAUUUUAACUAAUGAUGUCAAGAGCAGUUCCAGAACUAUCAUUUGGGCAAGGUUGGGGUUUUGUCAGGGGUGGUGUAAGGAGGGGUGGAGGCCCAGGUGCUAGGUCCUGCUGCAUAUUUCUUAUGUGUCUUUUUAUGCUGUGAUGUUUCAUAGCCCAAGAGAAGCAGGUUAAAUGCAAAUUGUUUGCCAUUAUAAUGGCGUUAAGCUUUUGCUUCAAGUGUCAAAAGGCAUGAUAGUGAGGGUAGGUUAUUUGAGAGUAAAAAAAAAAAGAAUUUGGCUUGUACCAUGCCCUAUAGAUUAUAAUUCAGAAAGACUGUUUUCUCUAACAUUUAUUUGAUGACUACCUAUAAAGAGAUAGGCAUUGAAAUUUUAUAUUGGUGUCUUAAUUUACAUGUGACUUUUAGUAGUAGGAAUAUUUGUCUAAUUAUUGAGGUUUUCUGCCUGCAAUUUGUAGGUAUCGGCUCAAUGAAGAAAAAGCAGAAUGGAUCAUAUAUGUAACUGAUGUUGGCCAGAGGGAGCACUUUGAAAUGUUUUUUGCUGUAAGUAAUUCAUAUCCCGAUAGAUGCUGCAUCCCACCCCCUAACCCUGGAAAGGAAAAAAUUUAUUUGUUUGAUCGGUUGAUCUUUGUGCAAUUAUCUUCUAUUCUAGGCUGCCAGACGGGCAGGUUGGCUUCCAGCUGAAGAAGAUAAGUAUCCCAAAGUCAGCCAUGUGGGUUUUGGUCUUGUUUUAGGAGAAGAUGGAAAGAGAUUCCGUACGCGAGCUACUGAAGUUGUUAAACUAGUUGAUUUACUUGAUGAAGCUAAGAAUCGGUGUAAAGCAACUCUGAUUGAAAGAGGUAAGGAUGUUAUCGAUGAACUGUUUUUCUUAAUAUGUGACCUCUCAGGCUACUUUUGGCACAUAUCAUGCUCGAGUUUUGUCAAUGCCUCCUUUCUACUCCACUUUCACCCUGUAAGUAUCUGAAUAACCUUUAACUCCUUGAACCAUGAUAAAUGUUUGAAUAUUGAUCAGGCAAAGCUGAGAAAUGGACUGGGGAGGAGCUUGAGCAAACUGCUGAAGCUAUUGGAUAUGGGGCUGUAAAGUAAGUUCCUAUUGCUUGUCCACUUGUUUGUUCGCACUUUCUUGAAGUUUCCCCACUUCUAAGUUUUAUCUUAAUAGUGAUUUUGUUGGAUGUUAAUCAGGUAUGCUGACCUAAAGAACAACAGGUUAACCAACUACACGUUCAAUUUCGAUCAGAUGCUUAAUGACAAGGUGCGGCGCUUGAUUUCUUCUCUUAUGCAACCAGUAUUCAUGUUUUUCUUUAUAAUGCAUUUCUCCUUAUUCUUCCAAAGUUCUGCAUUCUUUGUUCAUUACAUCAAACAAGAAAUAGUUGGCUCCUCACCAAUAUAAUUUCUGAAUUGCAUAUUGUCACUUGAAGUCUUCAUGACUAUGCCUAUCAAUCUAAUUACCCAUCUUGUUUCUACAAGCCUCUGAUGCUUUUUUUUUUUUUUUAAAUAAAUCUUCUACCCUGUUACCAUACAUAUAGUAUUGCUUGUUUUUAUAUUGAACAGGGAAAUACUGCUGUCUAUUUGCUGUAUGCACAUGCUCGAAUUUGUUCAAUCAUCAGGAGAUCUGGUAGAGAUGUAGAGGAGUUGAAAAAGGUAGAGGUUCUUCUUCUUCUUCAUGCUUACAACAGUAGAGUAUUUGAAUUAUAAUGGUGAAUUUUCCAAUGUAUUCUUCUAUAUUCAAGAACCUUGAUCACGAAGUCAACUUUGGUGAUUAGCCAGUAUGAUUUUGUUGGAUUACAAAGUGGAAGAAGUGGUUUCCAAUGAUUUUACUCAAUAGUAAACACCCCAUCUGCAAUUCGUGUUUUGUGUGUUGUACACGUGUUCUGCACAUGUCUCUGCCUUGUCUGAUGAACGACUUGGUCUAAUGUACACAAAUUUUUUUGGAUUGAAGAGUAAAGUUCAGUCCUUAACUUAGAGGAAGAAGUCUAGAAGUUAAGAAUCAAGUAAUAAAUUCAGAGCCUUUGCUAACUCAGAGCCUUUGGAGUAGAAGUUUCAGAUUAGAGCUUUAUGGUGAUAAUCUGCGACUUAGAACUCAUAUGCUUUCUGCUCUUACUGUGCUAUCAGAUGAAUUGACUAUCCAUUUGGAUUUUUAUUUGUUGCUCUUUUUCUCUUCUUAUGAAAAAGUGCUUAUGAUGUAUUACAAGAAUGACAAUCUUUUUUGGAUUUAUUCAAAAGCCUAACCCUACUCUGUUUUGGAUAAAGCAAUGCAGCUUCUUUGAAAUUUUCAGUAUUUACUGAAAAUUGAACCUAGCCUUGGAUGACAGUCUUCUGUCUAUAAAAAAUCAACUAGGAGCCUGCCCGAGUAUUUUUUCAGGGAAUGGUGGCUCGAUGCUGAGAAAUAUGCUUUGCCUGGAAUGCUGGCUUCUUACAUCAUACUUCAUCUGUUUUGGGCAGGUUGGAACAGUUGAUUUGGCUCAUCCAGAUGAACGGGUUUUGGGGCUUCAUUUGCUACAGUUCCCAGAGGUAUGCCUCAAGACUGCAGAUUUUGCAAAAAUUUAUCUGAUUGAUAUAGCUUUUUUCACUUAAAAACAUGUUGCAUCUUGUUAAUGUGUUCCUUUUUCACAUUGCAGGUGGUUGAAGAGGCAUGUACAAAUAUGUUGCCAAACAUUUUGUGUGAAUACCUGUACAAUUUGUCUGAAGACUUCACAAAAUUUUAUACGAACUGUCAGGUAUGGAGCCCAUAUAAUGAUGAGAUGAAGAGGAUAAAAUUGGAAGAUAAUGCUUGUCUUAAUCUCAAAUGGCUUCAAUGAGUACCUUGCAUGUUUUAUGGUUUCGAAGUUGUUACAGGCGUUUGAUUUGAAUUUGUCCUGGUGAAAAAUCUGUAGGUGGUUGGGUCACCACAGGAGAUCAGUAGACUCUUGCUUUGUGAGGCAACUGCAGUUGUCAUGCGAAAGUGCUUUUUUCUGCUGGGAAUUACACCUGUCUAUAAAAUUUGAUACCUUGAGAGAUACAUUUGCCGACCUCUAAUUUGUGGAUUGUUAUACAAAGUUUGUACCUCACCGUGGCAUUUUUUUUUUUUACGUGAUGAUUAUAUUCUAGGAUAAGACGAGCCUUUUGCUCCUAUCUAAUGAAAGCAGUUUUAAAAUUUUUUGGAUUGAUUUCUACGAGUUACUGUCUGUAAAAUUUAUACCUUGUGUUCCAAUAAGCUUGUGCAAUUUGUCGCAUUGCUGUUUGUCACUGCGGUUGUUUAAUACGGAAGCGAGUUUGAGAUCCGGUACGUAAAUGUCGAAGUAAACUAGGGCUUCCCAUAUGGGGGUGGUCUAGGGGCUUCAUUAGCAUAUGUAGAUUGGAGUAAACCAAAGAAGGUAAAUAUAUCGAGCAUUAUGAGUAGGCAAUUUUGCAUAUGAUUCUGAAAAGCAUAAUAGUUAAGACUUAAGACUCUUGGUGGCCUUAGCUGCUGGGGUCUGAGGAUAUUGAACUCCCGGGAAUAAAUUCUCAAAAAGCAAAAAAAAGAAGAGGAGGUGGGGGGCCGGGGUAGGGGGAGUGGGUUUUGAUUAUUCUCCCUGAAGGCAACGGAGGCACGAGGUGGAAAACGGGUGGCGCGGUUUGAUACGAAACUGAUUGAGCAGCUGGCAAACGAAAAAAUUGAGAAGCUGUCCGGGCCCCCCUUGUCCGUUCUGGAGGGCCCCUAGGCCUGAGCUAUCUGUUCCAUCGCUGAAGUCCUUCUGAGCAGGGCAGUAAACAGAAUUAGCAAUUCCGUAGCAACUUUUGCUAUGGAUUUUCUGAAAGAUGAAUAAUUUCUCUUUUGUAAACCAGGCAGUAAAACAGAGUUAAUGAUAUCAUAGCAACGUUUGCUGUGGAUUUUAGAAUGUAAAGUUGGAGCGAUUUUUUCAUCCUGUGGAUCGAAUAUGCGCCACAGGGAACGAAUUGGGCAGGUACGCGAUCACCGUACUUGAUUCAAAAGGUGGUUUGUGUGGACGGGCAAAGUUAUUUUGAGUAGUUUCACAGUGCUCAAAUUUCACUUUUAUCAGGCCACACGCAGGCCGCUAGACUAUUGUACCUGUUUAUUUCUUUUUUUUUUUUCGUUUUUUUUGGGGGGGGGGGGGGGGUGUUGGAUCCACAUUUUAACGGCAGAGCAAGGGAAUACCUAGUUAAUGACUUCUUGACAGAAAAAAAAGGGAAUACCUAGUUAAAAAUGCUAGGGUUCAAAAUUUUUUGAUUAAAUUUUUAUGUUAACUUGUAUAGUACUUAGUUUAAAAUUUUAUAUUCUUAUUGUUUAAUUAUUAAAUAGUAUGUAAUUUUGUUACAUAGAGUAUGAAUAGAAAAAAAUUGAUAAUUAGACUUAUUGAACAUUAUAAGUAAAUAUUUAAAACUAAUGAUGGGUACAAAGAAUAGUAUAAAUUGAUAAUUUAGUUUGCAAAAAUGAAUCUAAAUGAGUUUAAAAAAGUUAAAAUAAAUGGAUAAUUGCAUUAUUCAAGUCAUUUUUUGACUUACCCAUAUAAUUAAAUAGGUACAAAUGAAUUGAGUCACUCGUACCAUUACCUAUUUUACUUAACCCAAACCCGUGUAAGUCACCCAUUUUGACACCUCUAAUCUCUAGAUUUCUGCUAUGUAUUGUUUACUAUUUCGAUGGUUCCUUGCAAAUUCUGCUUUCUUACUUCUGUAGUCCAUUUUACAUCUCUAGAUUUCUGCUAUUUAUGUAUUGUUUACUAUUUCGAUGGGGUUGAGAUAGAGAGGCGGAAAUAAAAACCUGUUUGCUUCAUUCUACACAUAUAUGACCUCGACUCGUUUAUCUUAUACGGUUUGAAAUUUGAAGAAAAUUUCAAUGGAGAAAUAUUAGAAAGCUUGCAAUAAAAAUACAUGCAAGCUUCUUAAAUUAAGUGAUUUACAGAUUAACAGUCUUUUUGCAGGGGAAUGGGAUGCCGACAACUGCCAACAAAACUCGCUCUACUGCCAAAAGAAGAUAGAAAUGAUGAUCCCAUUCCCCUGGAAGAAGACUUCUUGGCUAUGACAGCCUUUGGACCAAUCUUUCGACCAACUAAACCUGCAUAGCUCUUACAUGGCUUCAUCCUCUGACCAUAAGGACUAACUUUCUUUGCAAGAUCUUCGAGGCUCUUCACAUUUGCCAAAGAUGUAAAAGACUGAGACUUUCCUUGAUAAUGUUCUGAGAGACCUCUCCUGAACGAACAAAAUUCAUACACCAUUACUUGAAUGAAGAACCUAAAGAUUAAUAUAUUGAACAGUUGCAAGUCUAACUCUUCGUUCGGUACAUCACAAAUAUAUCGAAUGCUUACUUGAUAGGCAGCUGGUUCGUAAGCUCCGACAACUCGUACAACGGCCCAUCUGAAGGUGAUGUAGAAGAUGGUGACGAUGUUGGAGAAGAUGAUGCAUCCUCUGCUAAGUCUGAUGAAGAAGAUGAUGCUGCGGAGUUAUUCCCCGAGUCUUCACCGAUGGAUUCAGAAUCACAGGAAGUGUCAUCCUCAGCCUCCGUGAUCACCCACUGAACAUGCCUUGGAUCAGGGCCGGCGAAGGUAUUCUUGAAGGUCAUUUCUUGAUAAACCUGAUUUGCUCCACCCAUUGCAGAUCACAAUCUUGGAAUGAACGGAUCAGGAGAGCAGCAGAGCAAAUGGAUGAUGAAAACUUGAUGAUGUACUAUUUUGUUUCAGGCUUCAGCAGGGGUUGAAACUCGUAUGAGCUAGGCCUCUGGGGACUUAAUUAUGUAUAUAUACGUAUAUUAAUUUACAGGGUGGGUUAGUUAGCAAGAAGUUGAUUCUAACAAAUAGGAUGUUAUUGAAGCAAUAUUAACUUUUUAAGUUUUAUGACAGGGGCGUUACAAAUUACAUGCAUGAGCUACGCGUUUUUUUGUUUUUUUUUUUGUUUAAUUGAUGAUAUGUUGCUUUAUCCUCAGGCUUGUAGUCAUCUGUCAUUGUCAAAAUUCAUAUGGUUUGAAGAAUUUCUUCCUUUUUCCCAUUCUACAAGGAAAGGGGAUAAGGUUAUGGUCCAAAACGAAGACAUCCGUAUGAUCCGAGUCACCAAUGACCAACCCAUCAUAUUAUCCUCAAAUUUCUAUACAGGGAAAAAAAUAAAAUAAUAUAUAAUCUUUGGCAUCCUCUGCACUUUUUGCCCCAUAAAGUUACGACAUAACUGUUUUAUCCGUUUCUUUUUGACAUUUUAAGGCAUUGAUCCACAGUUUAGGGAUAACGCCAAAGAGGGAUCUCUAAAUUAAAGAAGAAACCUUCUUGGCGUAAUGACGAUAUAGAACAAUAAUUAUGAUAAUAAAAGACAACAAAUGGUGGAAAGUGGAGAAAGGAUAAGCCAUGAUUUUUGAGACCUGUUCUCGGUGAGCAUUUCAUCUAGCUGAAGACCCGAUUGCCUCUUACAAUUAUUAUAUUAUAUAUAUUUUUUCCAUUCUCAAUUUUGGUAGGAUCAACUUAUCUCUACGCUAAUCAUAAAAAAAAAAAAAGCUUUAUUGAGAUAUGUAAGUAAUUUGAGCAUAUAUAGUUGCAGCCAUAGAAACAAAUGCCUAUUUGAUUGUAGGCAUAGAAACAAAAUGCCUUGAUAUGUGCUGUUAUUAUUACACUCCUAAAGUCUAUUGUCAAUGUAACUCCCUCUGCAUGUGCAUGUGCAAUGAUCCUAAGUAUUAUUUUAUAGAGUAUUAUUUAGAAUAAUAACUAUAGUAUUUUUUGUAAUGUGACGUAUAUAAAAUAUAAAAAGAUGAAUUGAAAAAUAUGUUUAUCAUGCAAACGAAAGAUUAUUUGAGACAAUUUGCUAUCCAAACAAUACCAACUAUUGUUUAGUCAGCUUGCCCAUUCGUGACCAUUAAUUCCUCAUCCACCAAGUAAAACAAAGGCCAAUGGCCACUGCCCAUUUGGUCCAUGGUCAUCACCAUUUUUGGUGAUGCUGGAGGUUACGGGUUCAACCCCUGCCUUUCACAAACUUAUCACUUUACGUGGUUGGUCUUUUGCUAUCCGCUCCUCCUCCUUAAAGUAUGGCGACCUUCUUGACUUAUCCAUGGUUCGAGUCAAUGGGGCUUCCUCUCCCCGACAGCAGGCCCUGUGUUGACAAAAAAAAAAAAAAAAAAAAAGAGUAAAACAACGGCCAAUGGGGGAGGCCAAUAGCGUAACAGUAACAAUUUAAUGGCUUCUUUAAUGGAUGUUCAAUACGCAUUUGUUAACACAUUUAAAUCUUAACGCCUACAUUAUCUUUUCUUGAUGUGAUGCAACUUUUUUAAAAUAAGAUCUAACGCACGAUGAUAUUCAUAAUUUAAUUGAAGACGUCACGAUCGAGAAACAUCAUUAUUGUCAUUAAUAGAAUAUUGUGAAGCCUAAUUACAUCAUCCGGUGAGAUCCAAUCAAUCAAUAAUAAUUAAUGCCAAGCGAGUGACUGUUAUCAAAAGGAGAGAAAGAAGUCGGCAUCGAAAUGGUAGCUUUUGGAUCGAGGCUUCCGUGGCAUCAGAGGAUUGAAUUUAAGGGGGCUUGGGAGUUAAUGAGUGGGGAGAAAGGGAACAAGAUAAGGAAGCUGACUGUAGCAUUGGUCAUGAAAUGAAAGCUUGAGCUGCGUGGGAUUGGGUGCUUCUCUCUGGCACCACACAAGUCGCUGUUGUAUGGUUUCUGCCUCUUACCCAUGAUUAAAUUCCCUGUUCCACGGUCCGUAGCCCACAGCUUCAGCCUUUGCCAGCUCCCCCCCCCUCUUAAUGAUAUGAUCGUUUUGCAUUUCAAAAUAGGAAAAUCACUUAGAACAGAAAUAAAUUGAAAGAUGACGCAUUUUUUAAAAUUUAGGAAUUUUCGAAAUUUUUAAUUGCUUUUUAUAAAUGAACUCUUCAAUGAAGGAAAAUAUAUAGACCCUAAAAAGAGAAAAUGGUGGAUCAAGUUGAAGUUUUCAAGUGCUUCUCUAGUCUAAAUCACAUAAAUAAAUAAAGUUGAACAGAAAAUUGCGAAUUUGUUUAAGUCGUCUUUCUAACGCAUCAUUUUUAUUUGUAGCACCUUCUUCCCCACAAUUCCAACUAAACUCCUUAGCCAACUUGGAGCUACUGAAGCUGACUAAAUCCACCAGCAAAGUCCAAAAUUUCUAGCAGGGCCUCGAUCAUCCAAGAAGACAUCCCCGCUUCCACAUAUACGAGUAGCAAGGUCGCUCAGAAGACCUUCACCCCUCAAGAAGUUUCUUAUGUCAUAACAAAAUUUGUUAUUUAUUUCUGCCCAUUUCUUCCAGUGAGGGAUGAGGACUUCCUUUGCCUUAAUUUCACGAGGAUCCCAAGAAUCUGCAAUUAUCUUCACCUUUGAAAGUAAGAGAUCAAAAGCUAUUGCUUCAACCAAAGGUGGGCGUGACAAGUACUCCCCAUGAAGCUGAGCCACUUCCUCUAUUUUUCUCGCUACUCAAAGAUUUCCCUCAAUUUGGAUGCAAAAUGGUUACCGUCUUACUUUCCGUAGAAAUCUUAUUGUGUACUUUUAAAAAAGCCCCUGCCUCGCCAUUGGUUUCUGUACAGAAAUAUGUGUUUUAGGUGACAACACCUAGGUCCUAAAUUGGCACGAGAAUUUUAGUUAAGGGACUUAAUUCAUGCGAUAAAAUAUCGAGGGACCAAAUCGAUUUUAGUGAAAUAAUUUGAGGACUAAAUUGACAAUUUUCCCAAUAAAUAAAGUUGAAGUUUCAAAUGGUUUGACUGACACCGAAUGGUGGCUCUAUAACUGACUCAACUACAAGUCUGAUCCAACACAUCAAGUUGUGAGCAUAUGCUUCUUCUUCAUGUUUUAAUAUAAGCUAUAAUGCAUUUUCUUUUUUUUUUUUUUCUUUAUUUCACGUGUACUCUUAUGUAAGCACAAGCAGAACCAGAAUUUGAGAUUUUAAGAAAGCAAAAUUAGUAAGGAUGUAGACUCGGGAGGGCACAUGUACAAUUGUGUAAAAAAAAAAGAAAAAAUUGGAGGACAAAGUCCAAUAUUUACAAUCAAAUUGUUUGGUUUGCACCUUCUUUACAAUCAAAUGAUAUGAGUGAGACUUUUAAAUACUUUAUGGGGGGUCAAAAUAAUUUGUAAACUUUUGGAAGGGCAGAGUCUAAUUUUUAUGAAGGUAUAUUAGGACAAAAAAAUAAAAUAAAGAGAGAGAGAGAGAGAGAAAAAAUUCAACUAUUACGGGAACAUAGACCAAUUUCUAAAAUCCUGGGGGACAGCUGCUCCACUUACGUCCGCUGAUGUAAACAUCUGUCGUAAAUGCUCAUCCUUUAUUUGUGUCAUAGUACCGGAAGCAUUAGAAAAAGACAACAACGAUUUAACUCCACACGCUAUAAUGAAAGCCUCCAAGCUUCUUGACUUAGCAGAAGCAAAGAUGGUCUUACUUGACAGGAAUAUUCGGUCCACUUAUCCAAGAAAUCAAGCCGAGUUGUAACGUGCAAAACAAGUAUAUCCUGGAUCAAAUGGCUCCAUCACUUGAAACAAAUAGACAGAACGGGGGAAGGGAAAAAAAAAAUCAAGUUCUACGAUCUGAUGUUAAUUUAAUUUUACUGACGCAGUAAUUUAUUUCUCCCCAACUCCUUGAGAAAGAAUAGACAUACGGAUGGAGGAUUUAGGGCCAUAACGGUACAAGUGAAUGUGACUUAAAAACUUGUACAGCCUAGAUCAUGCAAUUUUUGAUGUAUGCUUUAUGCCCUCACUCCAAGGCCCAAACUAAAUCGCCCAUGGUGCAGUCUGUAUAUGAAAAACUUAAAAACCGGAUACACCUGUUUUUGCCUUCGACAGAACGCUGAAAGCUCCAAGCCAAGGCUAAGGGAUAUCGUGCAAACCACAAACCAAUAAGCAUUAAUGUCCUGCUGCUGUAAACCUACUGUGACAAGGCUAGUAUUAGCUACCCCAGAAGAGCAGCCUAAAAUUAAAUUUAUAAACUCGCACAAGUCCGCUGGCUGCUUAAAAGAAUUUUGGCUGCGGCUGCUAAACUAUGAAGUUUUAACCUGCACAGACUAAGUAGUGCUAAAGUUAUAGAAGCAACAUCAUCUGCUCUCAUUCCACUACAAGCUAAACGCCUUCAAAUGGUCUAUGAUCACCUAUAAAUGCCAUUCUGUCCGCGCUUGAGAAAACGUGUAGAGGUGUAUGACAAUAUCAGGCUUUUACAUAUCAUGUUUUAUCAGACUUUUACAAUAUCAGACUUCUACGUAUCAUGUCUGAUAAGUUUGCAACCAAUAAAAUUUUGGGAAAAUUUAGAAGAAUUAAACAAUGUGUAGUUGUAAUCUUCGAGCAUGACUUGCGGCUAAAGCAUAUGGGGAAAAAUAUUGUACUCUGAAGUCAUUACAAGCAAAUGAUCAUCUAGGAAAACUUAUGGGAGGUUCCAAGCUAGCUACCAGAAUGCCAAGAUCAAUGUCCUUGUCUUCAAACUUCUUAAGAAAAGGAUGGUUCUGGAAGCAAUGGAGCAAAUCAAGCAGUCAGCAUUUGCAUAUUGGAGCACGGUGACCAAAAGAAAGACUAAAAGAAGUGGGUAGUUAACUAACCAAAAGGUCCAGAGAUGAGGAUCUGUCCCUCGGAUCCUUCUGUAUGCUGAAAAAGCAAGCCACGAUAACAAAGCAGAGCAUCAUUAGGAGAGAAGGUAUGGGCAACAACAUGGAUACAUUGAGAAACCCACUGCUACGUCACUGAUCCAACAUAGAACUAUAAGAAAGUAUCCUCUAAUGCUAAAAACUCGCACUUUUUUUUAGAAUAAUUGCAGCAGGUUUCAACCAAAAGUCUUAAGAAUUUAAGGUCAACUUAAAGACAGAGUAAUGGAAUAGUCAAACGCAUUCAGUCGAAGGACCAUAAAGAAGUAGAUAAGAGUGUUUACUGCAUAUGUGCAACAACAUAAACGAAUCUUCUUAGACCUUACCAGGCAGAGAUAAAUGAACAAAACUCUGGGGAGAAUUGAUCUGGUGGAGCAGAAGGUGGAGAGCCUCCCACAAUUGCUUCUAAAAGCUCAUAAAAGCUUGGCCAACCCUGCUGGUCUUCAGAUUGUAUGUAAGGGAAACGUCCAAUAGCACACUCAAGGGUAACCAUGCCCAGACUCCAGAUAUCACUCUUGUAGUCAUAGGUGCUCCCACUAAUUCUUUCAGGCUAAAUAUGAGAUGAGAAAGGAGAAACAAGUCACCAAACCAGAAUUAGGCCUCUAGAUUUUCCACUCAAAACAUUUUGCUGUUGCACAUCAGAUGUUUAGUAUGUUCUACACAAUGUGUACCAAUAGCCACUGUAAAAAUUAAUGGAUCAAUUUUUCAUGAUCAUAUCUCCACUCACCGCCAUGUAAUUAUAGGUACCAACAAAUGUGUCUCUUUGACCCAUAGAGCUGGCCAGCAUUGCGCUCACACCAAAAUCUGUAAUUUUGACCUCCCCUUUGUGGUUCACUAGCAGAUUGGAUGGCUUUAUAUCUCUAUGGAUUACAUGUCUCUCAUGGUGCAAGUACACGAGACCUUGCAAAACCUGAACAUAUUAAAAUUUCACAUAUCCAUGGUGAGCAGAAGUUAAGCUUAUAUACUUUCGGAAGAAUCUCAUGUUUCAGUUUUUCCUACCUGCUUACACAGGACUGCAAGAUACGGUUCAAGAACUGUCUUCACUUGUCUGAGUACAUCAGCUAAAGAGCCACGGUCCAUAUACUCCAGUACAAGCGAGAUAGCCCCAUUGUGGUAGAAAGAAUGGUAGCAAACCACAACAUGGGGACACUGUGAGCCUUGAUUAAUUUUAAGCUCCUGCACAAUUUGUUUCCGAAUAUCUUCUUGUAUAUUCAUCUGGAUGACCUGUGCUUAGACAUGCACUCUGGAGUUAGAAUAUCUAAAGCAUCAUCAGUACAGAGCUAAUGUGUCAAGAGACGUGACAACAAAAAGCCAGUAGCUAAUGCCAGUCAUUUUAGGAAGAGCUCAAAGCUUCCAUGUUCAGUAUCAGGGUCCUUCAAAACUAUUCAAAUGUUAGAUAUCUUAAGUAUGAUUGACCAAAAUCACCUUUACACCUCCCUAAUAAAGCAACUCUAGUAAAAGUUUCUAAUCAUUGGUUUAUUCAAUUAGCAAAUAAUCCACUAAUUUCAUAAGAUCAGUAUCAAACACUGUGCUGUAACAUUCGAUAUGCAUAACAUGCAAGAAUAAUUAUUCAUUAAUUGCACAAGUGCGUAAAAACAUGACUAAAGUUGUGCACUUAGAGAAGUGAUCUACUGAAACAAUCAACGUGCUCAAGGAUAACAAAGUAGCAGGAAACUGAAGUUGUAUGCUGACCUUCAAGGCAAAUAACGUUCCAACCCAUUUAUGACGAACAAGUUGAACCACGCCACCACUUCCCUUUCCAAUCACUUUGAUGGUCUCAAGAUCUUCCAGUGAAAAUUGAAGAUCAAAUUCCUUACUUUCUGCAGGCUGCCCACACAAAUAUUCAAUUUGUCACAUCUUCGGCUUCCUUUUCCUUGUUCUUUUUCAUUCAAAAGAGAAGCAUACUAUCACGUGCAAACAAUAGGUUCCCUAUACAACCUAAAAUGUUUCAUGAGUUUUAAGUGAUGCAAAGUCAAGGAGAUGCUUGAGAGAAUGAUACAUCCUCCAUUAGUCAAGUUGCAAACCUUUUUGCUGUUCUAGUCUUCUUUUUUUCUCCGUUCUCUUUCUUGGAAGUUGUGUAGCAAAUAAUGGAAAUGGCACAAACUACUGAACUUUCAAAUGAAAGCAAAACAGAAGUCCUAAAACAGUUCGUAUCAUAUUCUGAGGGCAAUAGUCAUCUGAAAUCCACCAAAACAAGCUAUUUGAGAUGGAUUUGGGACAUGAAAACACGAAAAAACAAAAAUUAAUAUAAAAUAUAAAGCAAUGUAUGUGCUGCACCUAUAACUGAAAUAUUUGUGGAACGUGUUUGACUUGCCAAUGUAGUAUUAAUGAGUGUCAUAUUUGAUGUGAUUGUCCUAUUUCAUUUAUUUUUCGGUAGCUAUGGCCAAGCCUUUAUGUAAAAAGGCAAAAAUAGGUUCAAAUUUAAGAAUUCUACGUAUACAAACUUUUAAGUCUGUUUUGAGAUGUAAUCCACAUAUUCAAAAUUAUAAGAACUGAAGUGAAAUCAGAUACAUUAUACGAAAUCUAUAAUGCAUUGUUCUCUUUUAUAUCUUGUUUUCCAAUUCCGUUCCAUCUACCAACCGGACUGGAAACAGCGUCAUAAUGGAAUUCACAUCAAUUAAGCAUUUCUUCAGAUCUUCAAUUUUGGACUCAAUUGAAGCUUCUUCCCUCGCAAAAUAAAUGAGAGUGUUCAAUCCACGGAUAAAACAACCACGUGUGUAUCAGCCACGUCUUAAUUAGUACGCUUCUAAUUACGUCCAAUUUCAAUCUUCCAUUAAGUCCUCAAAACUAGAGCAUUUUAUCUAAAGCUCUAUGAUAUCCGAUCACACCAAAUCGAAAUCGAAAUGCCGAAAAAUUAUUACCUGAGGAGGAGAAUCAUUGUCAUCGGAGAUAAGGCGCAAACCUUUCUGGUUUAACAGUAAAUCGCCGUCGUGAAAGGUUCCGCUCGCGGUCCUACCAUGUUUAACAACACAUCAUUUGACAAAUUCCAUCACUUUCAUGAAUUUCCCCCCAAAAAAACUAGCGUAAUAAACGAGAAAAAUUUUAAUUAAUUUAGAUUUGUCAGCGUACAAAUAUUAAAGGGAGAGAUUAUGGAGCGUACAAGAAGCUGGAGACGGAUGUAUCUUGAACCGGAACAGAGAGCUUGAGUUCCUUCACUGGCUUCUUAAGCUUCAUGAUUCUUGCUUCUAUAAUUAAAGAUAGGGUUUGGACUGAAAAGUUUUUGGAGAGAAAGGAAAGUAGGGAAUGAAUGGGGGAGGAAUUGGGUGUGGAGCAGAGGGAAGGGGUGACAAAAUCCACCGACCGAAUUUGGGGAAGAGAGGAUUCAAACUGGGAAGAGCGCCAAAAGCCGUGUUGCUGUUACCAAUUUAUUGUGACGUACGAUAUAUUCUUGGGUUAAUUACAUUUACCUCCCUUGAGGUUUGACCAAAUAACGAAUCGAUCCCUGAGAUUUGGCCAAAUAACAGUCCACCACUUUGAAUAACCAGACAUUUAACAAUUACCCACCUACUGUUGAGAGACGUUAGAGAUUCUACUUGACAUCAGGAAAAAGAAAACUUGGGAUGACGAAAUUGCCUUUAUUGUGUCCAACUGUCAUUAAGAUUUGUUCAAGUUUUGAAAAUAUCCUUUUCAUUAAAAAAUAUAUAUAUAUAUAUGUAUAAUAUUAAGAUUAUAAUUCUUUAUCAUUCACAUCCGCGCACUUGCCUACCUUUAUAUGUACAAAAAGAAAGAACAAAAAGACUUCCUCAUUGCCUACCUUUAUCUGUACAAAAUGAGAGAAGAAAAAGACUUCCCUGUUUUUUCCCAAGUUUGCUGAAAAUUGCACUUCCUUCUGUGUUCCAAUCUUCUCAAGAUUCUCAGAAAUAGUCUUCAUACUUGGUUGAACUUCAGGUCUGCCUCCGUGCAUGCAAGCGCUAAAUGAAACACUGCAAGUACUUCUUUCUUCGCAUGUACUUAUUUAAGCAACAUUGGGUCUACCAUGUCUGAUAGAGGGUUCUCCUCUUCAAAUCCCUUCCUCACUCCACCUUACUAGGUCUGGGAUCUCCGUGGAAGUGGAUGUCGUAGGAGAUGAGAGCUCUGGAGACUUCCCUGUCAGCAACUCAAGCAAGACAACUCCAAAUGAGUAGACAUCCUACUUUUGUAGGGGUAUGCAUCGAAUUCGAAAUCGGUAAUUCGGAAGUUUGAAUUCGAAAUUUUUUGAAAUUUUGGUAUCUGACUCGAUUUCGAAUUCACAAAUUCCGAAUUCGAAUUCGAUUCGAAAUUUGGUAAAUUCCGAUUUCACCGAAUUCGAAAAAAUUUAUAUAUUAUUAUAUAAUAUAAAAUUUAUUAUAUUUAUGAUAUAAUAUAAAAUUUAUAAUAUUAUAUUAUAUUAUAUUAUAUUAUAUAAAUUUUAUAUAAUAUUAUAUAGUAUAAAUUUUAUAUUACAUGUAUAAAAAAUAUAUUUAUAUAUUAAAAACGAAUUUGAAUUCGAAAUCAGAAAUUCCGAUUUGUAAAACUCCAUUACCGAAUUCGAACCAAAUUCGAAAUAUAUGAAUUCGGAAAACCCAAAUUCGAUUCCGAUUUCCGAUUUACCAAUUUCGAAAAUUCCGAAUUCAAUUCGAAUUCGGUCGGUAAAUCGAAAUUUUUCGAUUUUGCACACCCCUACACUUUUGGGUAGGUCGGUUGCCAGGGAUCUGAGCUUUCGGUGAUUGAUAAUUGUUGGGUCGCUCGGGUUGAGCUGAUUUUAAAGAUGGAAGACCCCACCUAUGAAUACACCAGACGAUGAAGGAUUGUUGCUUGUGAUAUUGAUCAGGCGGUUCAGGCCGAAAUCAGAAAUGCAAGCUUGAAAAUCAUUGUCAAGGAGAAUAUUAAAGGGUUUUAUGUCUCCAUGGACAAAUUUUCUGGGGCUACAUUCAUGAAGAUAUGCUAAGCCCCUCGCUGUUCCUUUAGCAAUUUUCAGCCUGCUUCCCCAUGAUAAGCUAGAUGAUGCCUGACCUGUUCUCCCUGCAUCGAUGUUACACAUCUUCAAUCAAAUAAUCAACCAACUUAACUCAUAUGAUACGACAUGCUGAUGUUAAUACUAGAUCUUGACCCAAAUUAUUUUAUCAGAUUCAUCUCCUACCUUACAAUAGGCCAAUAGAAAUGGCUAUCUGUAUUGUUUCUCGCUUAAAGGCUAAAAUGGUAAGUACAUAUUUCUAUUUUUAUAUCUUUAAAAUUUGAUGGAAAUUAAUAAGGGUUGUUCAAACUUUUGGCUAAUUCCGGGCUUGUUUGGAAGUCCAAGUUUUUACCAAGUUUUUAUUAUACUAGUUUUUUAACAACUUGUGCUACAGGAACCCAAAAAACUUAUCAAAGUUUUUUAACCUACACACUUAAAAUAUCCGAAACAAAAAAAAAAAAAAACUCCCUUCCCUUUUUCUUCUUCCUCCUUCCCCACCACUACCUCUGUCAACUGCUUCGUCACCGGCCACCACUUCCGCCGCCGGUUCCGGCGCCGAUCACCUUUUCCAGUGCCGAUUUUUUUUUCCUUUUUCUCUCUCCCUUUUUUUUUUCCUUUUUUCCUCUUCCCCCGCAAGUUUUUUUUUUCUCUCUGCGUCUCCCCCCCUCCUCCCCCACCACCCUCAGAUCACAUCGAGUGAGGGUGAGGGUGGCGGGGAAAGGGGGGAUUUGCCAAAAAAAAAAAUUUGACGGGUGGCGGGAUUCAGGGUGGUAAACAAGAAGGGGAAUAGGGGAGGGGGAAGGGGCCAAGGGGUGACGGGGGGAGGGGGAAGGUGGCGAGGGGGUGGCGGGGCAGUGAGGAUGGUGGGGAUAGAGGGGGAAAGUGGGCUGCUUGGAAGUCGCGGGGGGGGGUGGCAGAGGAAGGGCAAAGGGAGGGCAGAGGAAAUGGGGUGAGGGGGUGGCGGGGCGGGCGGAGGGGGAGAAGCAAAGCAGGGGGAAGACCGGGGGAGGGGGUGGCGGGGGAAGAGGGGAUGGCGGAAAGCAGGGGGAAGCGGGGUGAGGGGAUGGCAGGGGAAGGGGGAAAGCGGGCAGCGUGGGUGGCGGAGGAAGGGGGUGGCGGGGCAGAGGGGGAGAAACAAAGCAGGGGUUGGGGGGAGGUGGCACUGCUGGAGGCAGAGGUAACGGGUAAGGGAGAAGAAGAAGAAGAAGAAGAAGAAGAAAGAAAGAAAAGAGAAAGGAAAGAAAAAAAAAAGAAAGAGAAAAAGAAAGAAAAAAAAAAGAAAAGAAAAAAAGUUUUUAACCCUACAAAAACUUCUACAAAAUUUUUCUUCUUACAAAAAACUCCUACAAAAUUUUUUCAACAACUUCUACAGUGCACUACAAUAAAGUUUUAGACAAACUCCAAAAAAACUAGGUUCCAAACAGGCCCUCAAUUCCAUAUAAUUGACAAACUUAGCGUGGGAGAGUAAUUUGUUAUUUGGCCAAAUCUCAGGGAUCAAUUCGUUAUUUGGUCAAAGCUCAAGAGAGGUAAAUGCAAUUAACCCUAUAUUCUAUUCGAGGUAGAAACUAAAAUAGACGGAAAUUAUACUAAAAUUAUUAAAUAUGUACUUAUUUUAAAAUUUUAAAAUAUAUAUUUAAAUUUGUUUUAACGAAGACAAAUAGAUAUAUAUAUAUAUAUUUUUUUUUUUUUUGCAAAAAGUGAGAUGCUUAAAAAUUAGUCAUCCUUCCAAUAGAUAGUCCAAAUCAAAUAAUAAAAGAUUAAUUGAAUUGGGCAAUGAAAUACUAACGCUUGGUUGUGGCCUUGUUUGGCAAGCAAAUUUUUGCCAAGUUUAUCUGUUACAAAUUUUUUUAACAACUUAAUUACAGUAAUUUUAAAAAAUUUCUCAAAAUUUUUAAACUAUACACUUCAAAAUAUUUAAAAAUUUACACACUUUAAAUAUUUUUCUAAAACUUCUACAAUAAACUAUAGUAAAGUUUUAAAUAAAUAUAAAAAAAACUCACUUGUCAAACGGACCACAAUUUGAAAGUUCUAAUGUCCAAGCAUUACAAGUUGUGUUUGGAACCAUGAAGUACCAUAAACUUCUUUGUUCUACAAUGCACAAUUUUCGUUAUGAGUUUUGACCAACUAGUACUUCAAUACUUUUUUUCCUUUUUUUAAGUAGUUUGAAUAUUUGGGUGCAAAGCAUACACAUGUUUCUUUAUCCUAUUUCCUUUUAUAGCAAAUUGCCUUGCAAUCCACCAAAUUUUUUGAAUAAUAGAGCCUUGGUCACUCAAAUUUUAAGAGUAUAUAUUUACCCACUAAACUAUCAAAUGUAUAAAUUUGAACUAUUUUAUUUAUUUCCAUCAUUAAGUUUGCCAGAACUAAAGACUUGCACAAUAGUUUAGUGGUUAAAUAUAUACUCACACUAUAGUUUACUCGGUUAAUACAUGCUCGCACUAUUUUUUGAUGGAUAAAUAUAUUAUGAGCUUUCUAAAUUGCUCCUUGAUUAUGUCUCGUAACUCGUGCGAUACUUUAUAUAUGGUAGAUUCGAUAGUGGAAAUAGACAAAAUGGCUCGAAAUUUAUAUUUUUAAUAGCUUAGUAGAUAACUAUAUACUUUUAAAAGUUGAAUGACCAAAACUCUGUCUUUUUUUUUUCAAAAAUAUAGUGGGUAGCCAGAUAAUUUGUACUCUUUCAAAAAUAUAGUCGGCUUCAUAACUCAUCAAUCUCAUCGUUGCUGAGGUAUGACACAUCUCAAAUAAAACUAUUCACCCUAAUACUUAAUAAACAUACAAAUCAAAACAAUUGAUCAUCGUUGUCGCAAACCCCAUUUCCAACCACCACAAAUCCAAACGCUGGCGACCUUCCCCUAUUUUUCAUCUUUUGCUAUCUUAUUCCUUUUAUCUACACUUUCACACAAAAACACCUAUGAAGAUACAGAAAAAUCUAGAUAUACAGUGAAUCUUGCCUUUUAGAAGUUUUUUUGAAGAAGAGGAACCUAGAACAUGUGAAUGAGAGGUUAAAGAAGAUUUUUUAGCAGAAGACUUUAUAAGCAUCAAUACUGAAGCACUAAUUUUCCAUACGACGGUCUAAUUAAUGACUGAAAUCACUGCCAAAACAAGUUUUAUGAGAUUUCAUCUUCUUGCCAAUAUUCAAUUGUAUGAUAUGCGAUUGGUUCAAGAGAUAUGAUGAGUUCUUGGUACUCUCUAAUUCAAUUUGAAUUAUAGGAAUCGAAAGAAUUUGGCUUGCAGAUUGAUUAUGAUAAAUGUGAUACCCCAAAUUUUAGGAUACUAUUUUUGUUUAAUCUCAAAGAAAGGAUUACGGUUUCUUUAUUUUAUUUUGUCUUAAAACAUUAUUUUAUUUUAAAAAAAGAUUAGAAACCUUACUUGUACUUUAAAAUCCUAGUUUACUUGUGACUAGCAGGUUAUGUUUAAAUCCCUCAUAUUUGACUCAAAACCCUAAUUUUAUUCUAUGAAAUUGUAAAAUUCAUCACACUUUUCUUAAAAUUCUUUUUAUUUGGAAAUUAUUCAUUUAAUAUAAUCCUACUACUCAAUCAUUCCUCAAUAAGUGCAAAUGAACCUAGAAAGUAGGGUUUCACUCUUCGUUUUCAAGAUUGGAGCAAAUUAGAGUUUUCGCGAUUUUUCGCCGGAUGAUUUUUCGGUACGGAGCAAGGAUCAAAUUUGGUGAUUAAAAGUGACUUUUGGGUGAAAAAUAAUAUGUGAUUAGAUACAAUAAUAAAAAGUUAGUGAAUAGGAAGAAAAAAACCCUAGUACGGGUGAUUUAAGGAAAAUCGGCUCGAACUGACAGGUAUCGUUUGUUACCGGGUAGACACACCAUUUGACCCAUACUUUAUUACCUUAAUUUUGUCAUUUUAUUUUAGAUAAUUGACCCUCAAAAUAUCUCAUACAUCAGCCACAAUAUUUGACCAAGAGAAAUGAGAGAAAAUGCUAAAAAGAAACAAGUGUCAAGGCAUCUAUGGAAGUUGGACUUUGACCAACUUGUCUUAACCUUCAUAAAACAGAAAUUUGACCAAAAUUUCCUCAUUUCUUCCCAUUUUCUUAGUCUUGGUCGAAAUUCUUGAGAGGAAAAACAAGAGAGGAAAAAACUUCACCUUGCACCUCAAUUUCAAGCCUCAAUCUUGAGUUUCAACCGAUAAUCUUGCAAAUUCCUCCACAAAAGUUAAUCUCCAAGGAAGUUUAAGGGUUUUGGUGGAGUGAUUUGGGAAGAGGAAGGUCUUGGCAGCUUCUUGAUAUAGGGAUUAAGGUGAAUUUGGUAAGAAACUUCCCUCUACUUCUUAUAUGUGUGAACUAAAAGCUUAAAGUUAUAGUUUUGAUGGAUUUAUAGGAAAAAUUUCAUGGGUUCAAUGGUAUGUUGGGAUGUUUAACUAGGGUUUAUAUUUUCAGCAUUGAUUAUGGUUAUCUACAUCUUAAUUGAUGUUAUUGAGAUAGUAAUUGGUGGGUUUGAUGAUAGAGCACUUGUUAGAUAUGAAUUUAUAGAGUAAAGGUGCAAAUUUCAGAAUUUGGAAACCAAGCUACCCUGUUCUGUCUGAUUUUAUUGCAUCAUGUUAGAGGCCGAAUUAGGUUUAGCAUAAAACAUGAAAGUUGUAGAGAAUGAUGUUUUAUAGUUGUUUACAAAAUUUCAGCUCAUUCGAAGCAACAUAGCCGGUGAAAAGACCAAAAUACCCUCACUGCCCUAGGAUAUUUUCAGUGAUCCGUUUUGGACAGUUCAUCAAAUUGAUUGUGUUUAUUCACUAUGAUCCGUGCUGAUUUAGUCAUUUGCCAAAAAUUAAAAGUUUUAGUACUCUGUCUUAGCUUUUUAACGCCACCAAGAACACCUUAAACGGAUCAGUGUAACCCAAGUUAUAGACAAAACACUCAUGCCUGUUUUGAACAUUGGUUUGUGCUGCGUUUUGAAGUCAGCCUCUGACCGUGCAUUUUUCUGUUUUGAUCCCGUAUGAUCUGGGUGUCAACUCCUUCAUAAGAAAUGUAGAUCUUGGUUUUGGUUUCGAAACGGUAUAAAGUGCGUCGAAAUCCGAGUUCCGUAGCUCCUGUUAUGACCAAAACAAGAUCAAUCGUCAGAACUGCCUUGAAUCUGGACAGUUCUAACGGGUGCUUUGACACUCAACUUUCGUUCUGUUCUGAAUGGAUUCAGGUCUUGGCCAAAACAUCAAAGUUUUAGCCUUAUAUCUCAGCUUUCUAAUGCCUCUGGAAUUUCUUGAUUUCUAUUUGUGAGUUGGGAGUUACAAUCCAGCAAACUUACCCUGUCCGUUACCUUAAAGUGCACAUUUCUGGCACUAUUUUCCAUACUUUCGACCCAUCUCUAUUCCGAUCCGGAUUUAUGUGUCUUCAUGAAAGUUAUAGGCUUUUCUCUUAGCUUCGUAACGGUAUCUCAUGUACCUUGAUCCGACACGCGUAGCCUCGAUUGUGCUCAAAACAGUUUUGACGGCAAAACGGCUAGGUCGCCUCCCAUUUCCGUAUGCCGUUUCCGCACUUGCAUGUGCCCAUUUUGUCGUUUUGCGUGUUUUAGGCAUAAUAGUAGCCGUUUGUGAUAUUAUGUGACGUAAUCUUCUAUUUCAGACGGUGGUGAGUUAGGUGGAGCCGGUGGGGCCUACUAGCUACUCUUCGCGACGCGAAUUUCGUCCUUUUGUUAUCCUUGUUCGUUGAGUAAGUAUUCACACCGCUCUUAUGUGUUAGUUGCUUAUGUGUUUCGAUAUGUAUGAAGAGAGUAUCUAGGCGAGGGUGUACUUUAUCGCACUCGACCUAAACCCUAAUUUACGCACAUAUUUGUACAUGGCAUAUGUAUAUGAAUCAUUUUGGAACUAAACCCCUUGAACUUGUGGCUCGGGGUGAUUUUUGAGUAAAUUUUGUGAAAUUUGUGAGUUUGGGGCCCGAUCUCAUGACCUAGAUGGACUAUUCAAGCCGGUUAGGGUUUGGUCGAAGUCAGUCCAAUCUGGUUUGAGGUCACCAAGUUUGUGAAUCCGGUUCACCGAUUAUGUGGACCAAGUUUGUGACCCGAGCUUGUGAACCAAGCUCAAUUUCGUUCGCUCGAGCAAGUUUAUGAGGUGUCUGGCCAGAGAGGGUGAUAAGGUGUAUGGUGGGAGUACAAGUGAAGUUCUACGAACCAUUAUUUGUGGUCGACGGAGUGUCGGCAGGAGAUCACGCAUGGCAAACGAUCUGGUUUUGGAGCCACCUGUAUCCUUAUCAUGUGAUGUUACUUUUCUGCUUUUGCUUUACUCUUACUGUGUAACUGUUGUUACGUGAAAUUUACGCUUUUGCCCCUGUUUACUUACUAAGCAUAUAGCUUACCCCUUUUCUUUUGUUUUCCUUAGCAGGGGCCGACGCGGGGACUUUUGGCACAUACACUGGGUAUAGUUAGGUGUGCUUGUUUAGCUAGACGUUUAAGUCGUUUCUUUUAUUUUGAUGGCCUGUAUAAGAACCUCUUUUUGGGUCUACUUUAUAUAUUGGGUGACUAACUUAUGGUGAUGUAGUAAACAGAAUACAUAUUUUGGAGAAUGUAAUUAUAACUCUUUUGGGAUUGUAUAUAGUAUGUAUAGUACUCUUUUGGAUUUUCUAGCUUUUAUUGUUUUAAAUUUUGAGUCCUGGCGCGAGCUAGACAGGGACCCGCCGAUAGCUUUGGAUUCGCCCUUGGGAGAAGUGGGAUCGUCACAAUAAAUCAGAUGUGAUAAAGAUGGAUUGAGUAUAGAUGCAGGUGGAUAGUGGAGUGGCUGCAGAGCGAAAUGAAAUACUAGUGGUAAUAUUCUUGGGAAAAAUUUUUAGUUUUGUAAAAUAUUUUCAGGAAAGCGUAUCAAACACCAAAAAAAAAAAAAGGUAAACUAAUUAUUUUCCAAAAAAAAAUUUUCAUUGGAACAACAUAAUGACACGAUAUAGGAUUCUCAUAUAGGAUUCUCCGCAUUUAGAUUCUUCUACCUUUUUCAAAAGAACAACAUAAUGACAUGAUACCAUACCAAUAAAGAAUAGUGUUCAGUUAGGUUUUCAUUUGAUUUUUAACUCAUAUUUCCUAGCCAUUUCAUUAGUAUCAUUAAUAAUUCUGUUUAAGAAUUCAUGGUGUAAUAUGAAUAAAUAUUUUAUAGAAAUGAUAAUAUGAUAUAAUGGAUAUAAAUUAAAAUUAACUUGUAAUGAAAUGAAUAUUUUGAGAGUAGAAAAAUAUUUGCAACAUAUCAACAAACAUAUCAGAAAAUAUUUUCAUUGACAAACCAAAUACCGAAAAAUUAUGAAAAAAGGAAUUUAGAAAAUAUUUUCACUUAAGAACCAAACAUCGAAAAAUUAUGGAGAAGGAAGUGAUUUUUCAGGAAAAUGACUUCGAUGGAAGGAAAAUAUUUUUGGUCUAACCAAAUGGACCCUAAGAGUAACUUAUAAUCAAUGCGACCCAUACGUGGGUCCUGUUUUCAAAUGAUUUUGAUUGUGUAAAAAUUGAUUAUAAAAAAAUCAGAAUAAAAAAUAAAAUAUAUAUAUUUAAUUUUCUUUAAGGUAAAAAACUAAAUUUUUUGAUAUAAAAAUAUAGUUGAGAUUUGAGAACAGCUGAAUUUUUUUUUUUUCAAAAUCAGGAUUUAGAGUCAAGUAUUGAGCCUGAGUUAAGAACUAGGUGGUAACAUAGAAAAGAUAAAGAGAACUAAAUUUGAGUUUUGGACAAUUUCAUUGGCGUUUGAAAUUAUUCAUUUGGAUAUAUCUAAGUUGUUAAAUAUUUGACGGGCAUUGCUGAUUUACAAAGAGUUUACAAAUGUGUUUAGAUAGGAGAUUUUUUGAAAUAUUAUCUGCAAUAAUUACUAUAAUAUCUUUUUAAGAUGUGAUGUAUGUGAGAUAGAAAUAUAAUUAAAAAUAUACAAAGUUGAUUGACAAUAUUGUAUUUAUGAUAUAAACAAAGUAUUAUUUGAAAUAAUUUUACUAUCCAAACACAUUUUUUGCUUGUUACAGGAAUUAAACUUGUGAUUUGAGCAGUCGGGCUCGCCGAGAAAAAGACAAAACUUCAGUGGGAGAUAAAUCAAUGAACGUUUGGCACAGCCUACUGGUUUCGAUAGCCCUUGUGAAAAUUUCAAAAAGGGAACGAGUUACAACCAAGCCCAUACGAUCCAACUCCGUCUGUUGUCCUUGGGCCCACUGUUGGAGUUAAGCCACUGUUGGAGUAAAUUCCUGCUCUGGCCUAAAUACUAAAAUCAUGGAUUUGUUAAACCUUCAGGAAGCGCUACUACAUGUCACAUAUGCAUGAAAUGACUCUGAUUGAGAUGUGGAAGCUUAAGGCGGCCUUGUUUCGAUUGAAGUUUUCGAAAGAAAAUAUUUUAUGUUUUUUGGGGAUAUUUCAUAAUUAUUUUUUAACCUCACAUACAUAAAAUUGAUAUAAUAUAUUAUAUUAUUCCAUAUAAACUCCAAAAAAUAACAAUUCAAAUGCAUAGAAACAUGUUUUCAAUUUUCAGAAAACAGGAUAAAAUGCAUCUUCUAAUUUUUUUUUAAUAUCACAUACAAGAUACACUCGUAUAUGUUUAUAGUAUAAUUUUGCUUAAAAACAUGUGAUGAUUUUAGAAAACCUCCUCUAAGAUCUUUAACAAUUACAUCUACCUUUUUCUAAAAAUUGAUAAAUUAUUUUUACUUCCCUUGAUGCUAUGAAAAAACUAGGAAAGCCUUCAAAAUAUGGCUUAACUUUUCCUGCAAAAAAAUGGACUUAAAAUGUUCACAUAAUAGAUAAUGGUGAUAGUUACCUUUUCAACAUUUAAUUUGUUUUACAUAUUAGAGAGGGUUAAUAUUGAAUAUUCAGUGAUUUUUUUCUUUUUUUUGCACUUACAUCAUUAAUGUUUUAUCAAGACAUACUUUUAGGGAAUGUUAUAUAAUUUUUCAAACAUUAGAAGAGGUCGUUGCAAUUGUCAAAAACCUCAAGGUGAUGUUUUUGAAAUUAUCCCUGAAAAUGUUAAGGAUCGUGAAUGGUGCUCAGCAGCUGCCGUAGUACCGCGGUAACUUCGCUUGGGUCAGUAACAAUUUAUGAAGAAGAGAAAAGCCGACCCAUAACUUCGCUUGGUGUCCUUCGGUAGCUUGCAGGGGGAUAUGGUUCCUGACCGUCGAUCCCACCAGCAGCUUGGAGUCAUAUGGUUCGCAGCGGUCGAUCCCACCAGUUCCAUCGGUGAUGAGGCUGAUGGAACAGGUGCUAAAAGUGGCGGGGACUAUUCUAAAUUCUAAAUCCAAGCCUGAAGGUGGAAACUGGGAACAGUUGUUGUACACUACUACACUCGCAGCGAAGUAGAGAAGAACAGGACAUCCCAUUUUGCCAAGAAAUAGAAACCUUGCUAACAGGGAGCACCUACUAGUAGCAUUAUUCAGCAUGGUUAUUAAACUCGGCUUAGUCCGACGGUUCAAUCGAUCAACCCGAUGAAUCGAUCAUAAAAUCGAGUUAAAUUCUUAAUAAGAUCGUUUCUGUAUUGAACCCGUUAACUUUUCAAUGGAUCGACAGUUAAAUUAAUCAAUUUUAUAAGGAACUCGAUCUACGAAAAAUUUUUAUAACAUUGCUAGAAUGAAAAUUUGAACGCGAUGACCUCAUGCAAAGAAGUAGACUACCAUUACCACUAGACCAGCCCAUCAUUUGUUAUUUAUUUUGUUCUUAUACUAUAUAUUAGAGUCUUAUUCUUAUUUUAUUUCUCUAAAACAAAAUUUAUUUGAAAUUUUGUAAUAAUAUUUUUAUUAUUCCAUGAACUCUAUAAAUUAUGAAAUUGAUUUAAAAAUAACAUAUUACACAAAUCAUUUUAAAGACAAAUAUUAUUCUUAAUAAACUUUUGUACUUAAAUUCAUAAAUAAAUUAGAUAAUUACACUUAGAUAAAAUUUUAUACUUGAAAUUUGGUGGAUUACUAAUUAAAUUUAGCUUAUUAAUUCUUAUAAAAAUUAAGGAAUCUAUAAUAAAUUAAACUAACUAAAUAUUUAUUAUGGUAUAAAAAUUAUAAAACAAAAUAUUUACAUAUAUGUAGUGACCUACCGAUUGGAUCACUCAUCCAUCGAUUGAAUCAAUGGGUUUGUUUGGAUUGUGUUUUAUUUGGAAUAUUUUUACUGUAGCAUUUUUUGUGAUGUGAUGUGUGUGAGAUAAAAAGAUAAUUGGGAAGAUAAAAAGGUGUAUUGAAAAUUAUAAUAAUGAUAUAAGCAGAUAAAAUUGAAGAAAUAAAAUACAAUCCAAACAAAUCCAAUAAUCCGCUGACCCAUCCCUUUCAUCGGAUUCCUCGCCAAAGCCAGGCCGGUUUAAUAGCUAUGCAAAGCAAAAUUAAAAAAAAUGAAGCUUUGGGAAAAUAGCUGCGGAAUCGAGGCAUUUUCCUAAAUUAUAUUCCAUAAGAUAUUCUGAGGUCCGCUUUACACUUACAGACAUUACUCCUAGUCCUACACUCUUACUGAGACAUUUGCUGACGCACACUGUCCAACACACACACACGCAGCCACCCAGUCAGCCAGUCCUCUCGCUUUCUCUCUCUUCACUCUCCUCUCUCUCUCUCUCUCUCUCUCUCUCUCUCUCUCUUUUUCUGUCCGUCUUCUUGCCGUUUUGUUGGUUUGUCACAGAGACACUCCACUCGCUGCUGCUCCAGAGAGAGAGCGCUCCCAAUGUCCUCUUUCUCGGGCCCGGCAAGAGAAACAAACAGAUAAUCGUUGUAGUCUCUUCUCUUGUCCAGGUGAACGCUGGUUGUCUUCCAGACAGACACCAUAACACAAAUAAGGCUUCCUUUCUCUUCUCCUCUCUUCUUUCUAAUAGACUGAAAAAGGUGAAGGAAAACCAAGAAAGAUAGUUGAUGGGGAGGAGCUUCAUACUCGUACUUGUUACUUCCCUUCUACUAAUGCUCAUUGGUAAUGUGCCUAUUUUUGUGUUCCGUCCUUUUUGAUGUUUUCAUUUCCCAUUUUUGGCUCAUUGUGCAGUCCUCCUCUUCUUUUGAUCAACUGCUACUAGUAGUAUUUGUUUCAGCACCGACAUCUUGAAUAGUUCUUUGGUCAAGGUGACUUGUUUUUUCGGGCUAUGCACCCAACCCACUUAAUCAUUUACUAAAACUUUUCCUGUGGGGUAUUUCUUUUUCUAUAGUUUUGGGGUUUUUUUAAACCAAUUUUGCACCAUCCCUAUUGUCUGUUUUAUGUGUAUUGUUUCUCAAUCACUUUGCACUGUCAGUUCUGCAUCUUUGUUAUAACGUGCGCAACAAUGCAGGGGAGAGGUGCUUGUUAUGCGUUUGAGCCUUGUCAUUUUUGCCUAUUUACUGUUAAUGGUUUUUUUUUUGAGCAAUGCAAAACUUUGCUUCAUUAGCUGCAUAAUUGGUGUAGAUAUAGCUUGAAGGAAUAUGAAGUGUGUUUGUUUGCCAAUUUUUGCUAAGCUAUGGUAAGUUCCAUUAGCAUUUAGACUAGAUAAUUGUUUAAGAUGAUUAUAUGUUGGAUCCGGCUCCAUCUAUACACAAGUACACAAGGAAGGCUUGAUGAAGCUACAAGUUCCUCAAUAUCUUUGUUAACACAAUGUCAGAAUGUGAGUCUUGGCGGUUUCUUGGACUUCAAAUGAACAAGGAAGUCAAAUGAAUAUUUUCCCCAUCCCUCCUUGCUUGCUAGUGGUUCGUGUCUUUCUAAUUCCAAUUGUAGAUUUAAGGAACAUUUUUCUGAUCUUUGGGCUAGAAUUAUGUUGUUGACAUGGUCCUGUCUGUGAUGUGAAUUUAUUAUCUAAAGCAAUAUGUAAUAACCUUGUGACAGAGUUGCAUGCAGUUAUUCUUUAGUACUGUUUUGCAUCUUGCAUAUGCGUGCGUCUUUUUGUAUACUCUUCCGUUGUUGCCAUAGAUAAACUAUUUUAGGUGGAAUUUGUCGUCUUCCAUCGUUUUAUUUUCUAUGACAAGAGCAAUAUAAAACACUUCUAUAGUUUCUUUUGGUGUUAUUUUAUUGCCUUAGCAGUCCUUUUGGGUGUGGCACCACCUGAAUUCCUGAAUUCUGUACUUUGAGUAGUUGAUGUGCCUCGAUGAUGGGCGAAACUAAUGUUCACCUUCGAACAAAUGCAGUGUAAGAGACUAUUCAGAUGCCAACAAUGAUUCUUGGAUAUUCGUGUAUGCAAUGUCUUGUAUCGGUCCAUGCAUUUGUCAGUAGAUCACAGUCACUACCUCAAUAACACUUAGGCUUAAAGCAGUUUACUGGAGCUUGGCUUCAAAGCACAUGCUGUGAUGCCGAUGCAAAUUUCUGAUUGUUAAGAUGCAUGGAAAGCACACGAAUGACUGUGGACUCCUUUUUUUACUUUUUCUUUCUUUGUCUGCUCCAAUAUUCUCCUCACUAUCUACUUCAAGAAGUUAGUCAGAUUAAAUGUUAUUUUUCUUUUUCUACUGAGACUUCACAAACAAAAUUUGACAGGAGUGUGCCAAGGGAGCAAAGUUGGAGUUUGCUAUGGAAGAAAUGCUGAUGAUCUUCCCACACCAGAUAAAGCUGUACAAUUGAUUCAAAAUCAUAACAUUAAGUAUGUGAGGAUUUAUGACUCUAACAUCCAAGUUCUGAAGGCCUUUGCAAAUAGUGGAAUUGAGCUGGUGAUUGGUAUUCCAAAUUCAGACUUGUUGCCAUUCUCACAAUUUCAAUCUAAUGCUGAUACUUGGUUAAGAAACAACAUUCUUCCAUAUUAUCCAGCCACAAAGAUCACAUACAUAACAGUUGGUGCUGAAGCCACUGAGGUUCCCAAUAAUGUCUCUGCGAUGGUAGUACCUGCUAUGCAGAAUGUUUUCACUGCUCUGAGAAAGGCUGGUCUUCACAAGAAAAUCAAAGUUUCCACUACUCAUUCUUUGGGUGUUUUGUCCCGGUCAUAUCCACCUUCAGCAGGGGCUUUCAAUAGUAGCUAUGCAUUCUUUCUGAGACCCUUGCUGGAAUUUCUUGCUGAGAAUCAGUCACCUUUCAUGGUUGAUACAUACCCUUACUAUGCCUACAGGGAUUCCUCUAGCAAUGUUUCCCUGGACUAUGCUCUAUUUGAGUCAUCGUCUGAAGUAAUCGACCCAAAUACUGGUUUACUUUACACAAAUAUGUUUGAUGCCCAGAUUGAUGCUAUUUACUUUGCUUUGAUGGCUCUCAAUUUCAGAACCAUUAAAAUAAUGGUGACCGAGACAGGCUGGCCUUCCAAAGGAUCUCCUAAAGAAACAGUUGCAACUGCAGACAAUGCCCAAACAUACAACACAAAUCUGAUUCGCCAUGUCAUCAAUGACACUGGCACUCCAGCAAAGCCAGGACAGGAGCUAGAUGUAUACAUCUUUUCCUUGUUCAAUGAGAACAGGAAACCAGGGUUAGAAUCUGAGAGAAACUGGGGCUUAUUUUUCCCGGACCAGACAAGUGUAUACAACCUUGACUUCACUGGCAGGGGUACAGUGGAUAUCACAACAGGUGCCAACAUCACCAGUUCAAAUGAAACAUGGUGUGUUGCAGCAUCUAAUGCUUCUGAUGCUGACCUUCAGAAUGCCCUCGAUUGGGCUUGUGGAUCUGGGAAUGUGGAUUGUUCUGCUAUUCAGCCAAGUCAGCCUUGUUUUGAGCCAGAUAACCUCAUAUCUCAUGCAUCAUAUGCUUUUAACGGUGUGAGUGCAGGCAAGUGGUCACCCACCCACCAUAAUGCCAUAUUCAUAUUUUGGAUUCGACUUGGGUAGCAAAAGUCCGGGCAAAUAGGCAAGUAACAGUCGAGAGGACGAUAUUUUUUUCAGAGCUGUUGGCAUCAUCUGAUUCUUGAACAGCGACAGGAGCCUCCGAAAGCACUGCUCUUGUGGUACCGUCAAAAUACUACUGCUCCGAAAGCACUGCAUCUACCCAAAGAUAAACGAGAGACAAAAGUUACAACAGUCAUGGGUCAUUAUCUCAGACGACUGAGAGAAGAGAAUUAAAACACAAGUUAUCUAAUGGAUACGAACAAAUGAUGACACAAAGCGAAUUUCAAUACCUCAUCCUCCUCGUUAAUAAUUGGCACAGGACAGGAGCCAGCAAAUUAUUAUUAUUAUUGUCAUCUACCCGUAGGCUUUGAAGCCUUCAGUGCAUCGUACGUACUCAAGCUCAGUGUAUACUGUGCUAGUACCAUUUCUGCGCUAGAGGGGAAAGCGAUCUCGAUGUACUACUGUCCAUCAUCCGUGCUCCUUGCACUGAACGCCGAGGGAUGCUAAUGCUAGAAAACUUGACUGCUGCUGUUUGCUUUUUCUUCUUCAAGAAAAUAAAUGAUAAUGGCGUGAUUUUUGCAAGCACUAAAAAUGACAAAGAAUAUCUUUUUGCAAACUGUUAUGCUACUACUACAUCUAUGGCGUAUAGAUAGAACGGUUGGAAAGAAAAAAGAGAGUAGUGUUAGGUGCAAAGUUCUUGACUUUUCAGCACUUCACCAAUUAAUCAUACAAUUAUAUUAUAUUACGGAGUGCACAGGAGAAUUCGAAUUUCGAAAUCUGGUAGUGGGUAAUCUGCUUCCUUCCCCCCCCCCGGGGUUUUCCCCAUAAAAUUCCCUUGCACUAUUUAAGUCUCUGUUCAUAUAUAUGACAACUCGAGAACGAAGCGGUGAAAUUGCAGAAUUUUGCCAAAGUGAAGUGAGUGGAACAAGUUGACGACUGAAGAAGAUUACCACCGAGGAAAAGAGAGACGAAGAGGAGAGAAUAUGGUUGGCUGAAGCAGGGAUUUUGCAAAGAAGGAAAGUUUGGAUUCCUAAGAGAUUUGCAUAUGUGCGUAAGCGGUCACGAGAUUGUCAGAGAUGCCUGCUCUGCUGUUCUGUGCUGUGCUGAGGAAGGAGAUGGACUCUGGGUGUGGUCUGCUUCUGGUUGUGGAGGGACUUUGGACGCGCUCUAAUGAAUAGUAACACCUUCCAUUCCAAUCCAAGCCUCAGGUUUCAGGUAUCAAUUCUAUUCUAUUCUAUCUUACGUACGUUGUUCGGUUGUUGCAUCGCAUCUCUCUCCCUCUCUCUCUUUCUUUCUUUCUUCAAUUCCUUCUUUAAGGACACGUCGCUCCACAAAGUAAUCUUUUGCUUUUCUCUUUUUCCAUUUUUACAUCUUUUCAGAAAAGAGCCCCAGCCAGUUGGACGAAUCUAAAUUCGAUCGAGACCCCUUCCUCCCUCCGCCCUUUUAUUUAUUUAUUUAUUUAUUUAAUAUAUACAUAUAUAUAUACAUAUAUAUCUUUGUUAGUUACUACUUUUGUAUACACUACUGGCUAUAUACACAUUACUUGUAUGCUUUUUAUACUAAAACUUUAUCGUCAUUCGAAUAUCUUAUUUUUUAAGUGACUAGAUCAAUAAUGAUUUUAAAGUUAAGGAUUGGUCUUGUCUUUUGGGUUUGCGUGUCUACAUACAUACAUACAUACAUACAUACGCAAUCCUCAGCCGCACCUUCUUGUCUGCUAUGCUUCUUCUACGUAGUUUUCUGGGGGAUCCUGUGUGGAUAUUUUCCCAUUUCUAGUAAUUGGUCAAUGUAUCUAUAUUCUACUAAUAACUAAUUAAUGAUGCUUGUCCAUUACAACAAUAAUAUUAUUUAAUUCUUAAGCACAGGCUACAACAAACUCUACCAUCUUUACUUUAUUUCCCAAGCUUGAUUAGUAUGGUGAAAAGCAAGGGAAGAGCUCAGCUUUCGUUAAUUUGGACUACAUUAGCCUGUAAUGAAACUAUGAACAAAUUAAUCUUAGGUUCCACUUUAAUUUUUUGCUUGAAAAUAUUUGUUACUAAUACCCAUGAAAAGAUUAUUGUCUUGUCUACGACACUGACUUAUAUAAGUUUUAGUUUAUAGAUCAAUGUAUAUGCAGAGGGGAUCGGCUUGUGUAACAAGAUACGAGCAUUGAACAAACAAAUUUUAUGAUACAUGAAAGAGUUCAAGGCUCCAAGCUCACACAUUUUUUCAACCUCUCGGAAUUUCGUCUAGUACAAGAUUUUCUCAGCCAGGGCAAAAAAAAAAAAAAACAAACAAACAGUACUGUAAAAGAAUGGCAGCAGUUAACCAAGAAUUAGAGAUUUCCCUCUUGUCUUUGUAACCAAGAAUUUUGAUUAUAAAUCAACUGACUUCCUUCCAAAUUUCCCUUUCAUUUUCCACGUUCGUAUGCACGAUUUAGAGAUGUUACUGUUGGACAACUUUCACAAAAAAGGAAGCACACCAGCUUUUUAGCUGUAAAUUCUCAAAUUAUAGUCCCUUAGCUUUUGACACCCCGUUUUCAAGUUCCCUUAAUCUCUCCUUCCUUCACAUCAUCACAUGUGCCUUCUUAACCCCAUCUCUAAAGUAGCAGUAGUAACUUCUCAGAAGCCUAGGCCCCCCUUUUCUCCCCCACCAUCUUCUUUAGAGCGUUUUUCCUUACCUUUUUCUCUUUGAAAAUUAUCAUCCCAGAUAAUGAGCUGCGAAGAUGGUGCUAUUUUCAGUUACAACUUCAGGCCUAAGGUUUCUCCAGACUUAAUUCUUUUGAAGGCUUGACAAGCUAAGCCACAUUUUCAAGAAAAUGGGCAGAGCAACAAGGUGGUUGAAGAGUUUGUUUGGGAUAAAGAGGGAUAAGGGCCAGAAGGAGAUUAAUCCAAAUUCCGGUAGCCAGAGAGAAAACAAAUGGACGGGAAUGGGCCAUUCGGGAAGAGACACUGCUGAUGGGCUGUGUUCAAAUCCAAACACCAUUCCACCCAAUAUUACCCCGGCUGAAGCUGCAUGGUUGAGAUCUUUUUACGCUGACUCUGGUGACAAGGAGCAAAGCAAGCAUGCCAUAGCAGUUGCUGCAGCCACCGCCGCUGCCGCUGACGCCGCCGUCGCCGCUGCACAGGCUGCGGUGGCCGUGGUUAGGCUCACCAGUCAGGGCAGAGGAGGGUCCAUGUUUGGUGGUGGUGGUGGUAGUCGUGAAAAGUGGGCCGUUACAAAAAUUCAAAGUGUUUUCCGCGGAUUCUUGGUAAUUAAUUACUACUACUACUACUUUUGCUUCGAAGGUGUAUAACGUAUAUUUGACUGACAGACACGGUUUCUCAGUAUCGUAGUCACAUCCGUUUCCUUGUCUUCUUUCUUUUUUUUUUUUGGCUGUCCCUUUUACCAUUAUAUGCAUUAAUUUUGGUUCGUUCUUACUAGAAAAAUGGAAAUUGCUAAACGGGUAUGGUGUGAAUUAAUCAGGCAAGGAAGGCACUGAGGGCUUUGAAAGGACUUGUGAAACUACAAGCACUAGUGAGAGGUUAUUUGGUGCGUAAACAGGCGUUCGCUACAUUUCACAGCAUGCAAGCUCUUAUAAGAGCACAGGCCAAUGUUCGUGCCCAAAAAACUCGAGGCCUCCUCGAUUCUACUGCUGCAAGUUCAAACCGGCAGUUUCAUGCUGCAAAUUCGGCGGUAAGAACUUGUCUCUGUGCAUCUAUUUUUGCAAGGAAUUACAUCUUAAUUUAAUUUGUGUCCAUCUUGGUUAAUUAGCAGGAAAAGUUUGAUGAGGGUAGAAGUAGGCAGAAUUCAUUUCAUAACAGAAGGCUCUCUGCAUCGUUUGAUAGCAUUAACUCAAAUGCAAUCGAUGAAAUCCCAAAGAUUGUGGAGAUAGAUACUGGAAGGCCUAAAUCAAGAUCCAGAAGAAGCAGCGCCUGGGUAUCAGAUUCCAUUUCCGGGGAUGCCCAGACUCUAUCCUCUUCGUGUCAAUGCCGACAUCCUCCGCCCCACCUAUCGAUCCCUGAUUGCAGAAACUCUCAAGACUCCGACUGGGGACUGACUGGGGACGAAUGCCGCUUCUCCACCCCUCAAAGCACUCCCAGAUUCUCCAAUUCUUGUGGGACAAAUCCACCUGUCACGCCAGCCAAGAGUGUUUGCGUGGAAAGCUUAUUCAGGAAUUGCCCAAAUUAUAUGGCUAAUACGCAGUCAUUUAAGGCCAAACUGAGGUCUUACAGCGCACCGAAGCAAAGGCCUGAACCGGGGUCCAAGAGGAGGCUAUCGCUCAAUGAAAUGAUGGAGUCCAGAAGUAGUCUAAGUGGGGUCCGAAUGCAGAGGUCAUGCUCUCAAGUCCAAGAAGUUUUGAGUUUCAGGAAUGCUGUUGUCGGUAGGCUUGCAAGGUCUUCAGAAUUCUCAAAAGAGCAAUUAUACAACAGGGAUUCUUACUCGGAAGAAUAUUUUGAGUAGCGAUCGAAAGAAUGUGCUGCAACUAUCAAUUCGCAAGCGCAAACAGAGCAUGUAAUUGUCUAGAAUCUAGAUCAUCCUAGAGACAUAGGGCAAGAUGUAAUCUUUACUCCCGUUUUCAUUGAAGAAGUGAUCAAGGUCGGUUAUACCAGUACUGACGAGGUUAAUAAUAAUUGUGUGUCUAAUUUUUCGUGUUGCUUAGGUGUGCCGUUAUUACAACAUUAACUCGACCUCUGCACAAAAAUGUACCGUACAUCCAGUACCACAAAUGCUGAGAGCCAACAAUUCCUUUCCUGGAAUCAUUUGAAAUGACAGGGCUUAGCUAGUUUGGACGGCAAUGCUAUGAUUCAUUAUUGCCUCCGUCCCCCUCUCUGUGUGGUUGCAUUCUAAGUAUUCAAAUUUUUUUUUUCUUUCACCUUUAGGGGCAGUACCGUCAUAAUUUGUUACGAGUGCUACAAUGUCAAUAGGAUGAUGACUUCUGUUGUCAUGUGCGGGUGUGAGGUUGAUGUGCUGCUGUAUCUAAUUUGAAAUGGAAGAGCUAUCUGGUUUUCUAAUCUGAAGAAAUAAUGGGAAUCUCAUAUGUGACCCACUUCUCCAUUAUGUAAACAAAAGAUCACCAUAACUUGGGCUAGUAGCAUCUGUAGUCUGGGACCUCUCUGAUUCAUUCCAUUGGCACAUUACUUGGGCACUCUCAACAAGCUUUGCAGCCUUUUCUUGUUUCUUGUUUUGGCAGAUAGAAAACAACUUGGCAGCCGAAGCUUUUAGGGUCGCUGGCUCAUUUCUGCUGCAGCAACAACAACAAACAGCUACUACGACUGGGUUUCUUGUUUCAUCAGCAGGAUGGUGGGUGGUUAAGCAGCAACAUUAUUGCUUCCUAUGGCUCCUCCCUAACACCAACAGCAAUAGGCCUUUUAUUGGGCGCAAGAUAGUACAAUUUUCCAUUCCGCCUACGUGCCGAAUUGUCAAUUGUUGUUUUCUUUUGAGUUUUAGUUUUGACAAUGGGCGUCGCAGAAGGCUUGAUUCCAGCCUUCCAUUUUUUGCGUCUUUAUCUUCUUCUUGUCUUGUUGGAUUAUAAUAUCUAGACUAUAGAUGCCAGGUAGACUGGUAGGCUUGGUCAAGGACUCGAGAUUCAGGAAGAAGGGGAAAAAGAGUAGGAAAAACUUUGUGCAACUUUAAGGUGUCGUAAUUGUAUAGCUAAAUUACACCCCCUUCAUCUAACGUGAAGGUUUGGAUUCAUGAUAAAGGAGUAUGAAUUUAGCCCUCACUUAAAAAGUAUAAUGUGUGUUUCUACAUUUAAAUUAAUUUAUAUGGUGAUUCGAUCAUAUUCUCAAGUCACGUUCAUCAUCGUUGGACGGGGAAAUAAGUGUUUCUUAGAUUAUUAUUGAAAGAAAUAAUUUCCUAAAAAGACCACAGAAUUUUGUUUAUCUUAUAUUCCCAUUAUAUAUCAGUAGCACGUGCUCUGCUGGUGAGUUAAAUUAUGGGGUGUUACUAUAACGUAAUGUUGUUACAGAAGUUGGUGGAAAGAUAGCUAGCAAGAAAUAUGCUAUAAGGAGAAAUCUUGUUUUUAUAUAAUCUUGUUUCACACUCAUGUGAUGUGAAACUUUGGGCCAAUUUGAGUGCAUAUUGGACACAUUUAUUUGUCGCCUCCGCCCAUGGACCCAAUUUAAGACUGAUGAGUGAAUGAGGGCAGGAUGUUUUCCACGCCAAACCUUUGACAUCUUGAACUCACGAUUUUUCUCUUGGAUAAAUAGAGCCCAACCCAAAGAUCUGAGCAACAAUGAAUGCAAUAUAUAGAUUUCGGAUUGGGACCUAAAAUGAGUUGUGUCCCUUCCAGCCGAAGAUUGUGCUGUUGUUGAAAUUGUGACUUUCUAGACUGUAAUUGUUCAGUGCGUGCGUUAGCAAAGAGCAACAGAUGUAAAUACCAAAAUAGUAAACUAGACACUAAAAGUAAUAGAGUAAAUCUUAUAUACACACUAUCACUGACUGACAGUAUACACACUAUCACCGUUGGAUUCAUGACACAUGUGUAAAAAUUGAAUUUCAAAUUCAAAUUUUGCAUAGUUAUCAUUCAUUCAACGCUGACAGUGUAUACAAUGUCAGUGUAGGAAAUAUUAAUUCAAAGUAAUAAUAUGAAAAAUAUAGCAAAUUAAGUUUUAUAGACGAGAUUGAUUGGGGUACACCACGAAAAAUUUAACGAGCAAUGUUUAAAAUUUUUGUGCCACAAUCAAUCUCAUCUAUCCAAAUUCAAUUUUCUACAAAUGCAGGCUAUAAACUUCAUCAUUCAAUUGCUCCGCUAUUUGCAUAAUAAUUGCAGUCCAGAACGUGAACUGCAACAUAACAAAGAUAACGUUUAAUUUCGCGAAAUGUUAUUUGACCUUCCAUUUUUGUUAAUCACAUUUCUACUAUCAUUUUAAUUAUAUAAUUUUUUAUUUAGUAGACUAUAUGAUAAAAUAAACGAUGAAAGUGCAAAUAACAAAAAAAUAGAGUGCAGACAACAUUUCCCUUUAAUUUCAGAUAAAUUUUCCUUUUUCCUGUGUGGGCCGGGUGGAUGCGCAAUUUUCAAGCAGGAUGGACAACAAGUGGGUUUGGUGCUUUGGAUUGUGGGCUUAGAAUAGAGGGAACGCUCGAGAGAGAUUGGACCGUCUUACUACUGCUUAAGCCUAGCUGUCCUCUUAAUCUUGGGUACACACAAUUAUAGGAUUUGCCAGAUAAUUAUCCCCUAAAAUAAUGGGAUUCAUUCAACCAUCUGAAUUAGAAUCAAAUUGUAAAUCUCAAUCUGAACUAUUGUUAAUCGUGUCUUGAUCACAAGAUUUCGAAAUGAUGCUUACCUUCCUUAAAACACCCUGAUUCUUUUUAUAUUGUGCCAAAAUUCUUUCUUAGACGCCGGGGCCCAAAAAUUUGCGAAAACUGAAGAAGCAUCUGCGGUGCAAGAAUGUCGAAUUCAUUUACUCAGUACUUAUUACUGAUUUACAAUGUCGGCCCAAAAAGGGAACAAAAAAAGAAAAGCAGAAAAAAAAGAAGCUCGUGUAUGUUUGUUAUCUUGAUCAUAUUUUGAUCCAUUCAGAACCAUCGAUGAAGGCAAGCGAAAUAAAAGGCUUUGCUUCCUCAUCUGUAAGUUCUCUGGACCAUGAAACUCUUCCUGCAAAACUUGCCCCUGCUCCGCUGCACUUGUAUUGUCCAUAAAACACCGUCCUGUGCAGAUAUAAGAAAGAGAAAAACAGCGUGAAAUUUUAAUGGCCUCAAAAUAGCUAUAUGACCCCCGCAGGUAGUCCGACGGGUUUUGUAGUCUGGUAGUUAUUAGCACGUUCUGUGAUUGACCCUUGUAUGCUAUCUCAUUGUGUAUUAUUGGAGUAAGAUUUUAUACAGGCUUAAGAGAUUAGUCUGGUUGAAAGGUUGGAAUACCUCCAAAUGAAAAAAAAAAUGGGCUCAUGGGCCGACUAUCAUAUGAUUUUGUUAAUUGGGCAAGCUACUAUAAUUAAAAUGGGUGAGCUAUUACAAUCUUUUUUUGUGGUAAAUAAAUGUACCGAGUUAAAUGUACACUAUCCCCAAAUUAACCAUUUGUACAGAUUUCUUAAUGACUGAUAUCCAGUAUAGUGCAAUACUUGUGGUUGUACACGUGCAUUAGAGACUUGUACAUUGUAAUCAGGUGCAAUAAACAGUAGCCACAAACUAAAAUUGUGUUCACAUCCAGGGCAUUCAAUAAUUUGGACUCUUCUACUUCUAGGACGUAUCCAAGUCUUCAAGUACAUGGCGCUUUCUGAAAGUUGAAUAUUCCUCCAUAUAGGAGCCUUGUGAAAGUUAGGUAAAGUUUGUUUAGGACACUUUAAUGGUUGAUUAUAAGUGGAUUAUAGUAGACAAGAAGAAUAGACACAAACUAAAUAAGGAGUGAGAGUAAGUCAAGGUUAUUGUCCUUGCUAGCUAGCUCUAUAUAUAUAGUGGCAAACAAACAACUGUCGCUGUGGAGAUGCUUGUAAAGUGGUUGUGAGUUGUGACUGAAUACUUUAAACAAAGUUGAUAAUCAUGGUGGAAGAACAGUGUGAUGCAUGCUGGUGCUAUAAUAAGGAAAAGAUAAGUUUGGAUAUACAUAUAUAGUUCGAAAUUGGGGUGGCACCGUCCCAAUACCACCAUCAAAUGCAAUGCUUUUGAUGUGAUACAAACUGACCUAUAAUUGGGCACCAAAUAGAUAGGCUAUAAUUGAGCACCAUAUAGAUACGGAUGGCCAUAUGUUAUGUAUAGUGGAGGAAGAUGAUAAAGAUUUUGUAAUUUUGCAGGGAGGUGAUGAUGAGGAAGAGCACUACUUACAUUUCUCGACUAGGGUCACCCCAGUUAUGCCAGCCUUUUGGAAUGAUAAUGUUGUCCAUAUAUGUGUAAGCGAAGAUUACCCUGGAAAAGGGUCCCCAUGCCCGUCCUAGGUACAGGGCUCCUGAACCCGUGACCUUACAGUUUACAAAGGAGAACCCUGUGUCCUCCAACAGGCUGCUUCUCCCUUGUGCUGUGACUGCCCCCGUUAACUGUGCUAUUGCAUGCACGUGACAACCCUGCGUUUACAUUUUAACCAUUAUGUAUUCUGCCAUCAUCAUUUCAUGAUUUGAGCAUAACUAGGUGCAUGCAGAUGCAGUACAUAAUUGGUUAUGUAAUGUACAUUCUUAAUAGUGUUUCUGUUUCACUAACAUACAAUAGUACCCAGAGGAUUCUUGAUUAGGAUCAAUGUACUUUCUCUAAAUGCAUAUAUAAUGGUAGAAAUUAGUGUUUCUAUUCUAAGUUUAAGUUCUAGAGUAAUAUAUAUAGUUCUCUGGAUCGAAGCAUAAAUUGAUAUAUACAGAAUGCUCCCUCCUAAUUAAUUUGGUUGCCAAUAUAAAAGCCAUAUGUUUCUUGCAACAAUUCUCUUGAACUAUCAGCUAUAACAGGCGAGCUCUAUGUUUAGUGCAGUAGGAUCAUUAGCUGGCAAAUUGAAAAAGGAAAACCAAACUGUAAAUAGAACGGAAACCGAACAAACUCUCCUGAUGUAAGUGAAGCAUGUCCACUUUCAUGUAACACAGUGUUGCUUUUAGAAAAGACACGACUUGUAUCUACCUCCACAUUUCACGUCAUCCCACAAUGAAUUCAAGAACAUACAAUUUUCAUAAAAGGACAUGCGAUCCAAAUUUCAUCAAGUUUUAGUACUUUUUUCUUUUUUAAGUUUUAGUACUUUGUUUGUCCAAUGUAUGUUUUUAGUCCACACAAAAGUGUUCAAUUGAACGAAUUCAAUUUCAACAGGUGAGACCAAAACCAUAUGAACAUGCUAACGUGGCUUUAUUAAGAACGAGGAACAUGAAACAAGAUGCAAGCACUGUAAAGUUUUAACUAACCACUGAUAUGCAAAGACAAUAAUAUUAUUGUUUGUCGAUUUCUCAAGGGAUCAGUGGAGAUAGUUACCUCAAACAAAGAGAGCCCGUUACCAAAGAUGAAAUCCACAGAGCCUUCGAUGUAACAAUCUUUGUAAUAAUGCCUGCCUACGUGGUCAUACAGCGUAUCCUGUGCACCCAAGAAUCUGCAACCCACAAAAACUGCUGUAUCUGCCGAUAUCCUAAAUGCAACAGCUUGCUUUCCAAUGGCUCCUGGGGGUGGUACUGGAGUUGUAUUCUGCAUGCAUUUUUUUUUUUUUUGGCAAAUAUUACGUGAUCAUGAGAUUAAAAUGUUAAUUAUGACUAGCCAAUAACAAAAGAAGGGGAAAAUGAUAUUACCUUGAAUGUGAUGUUCUUGGCUAUGAAAUAUGGAGAAUUCACAGCAAAUGUUGCAGAAGCAAAUGUGCCAAGAGGCUGGCCUUUUGCUCCGGGUGUUUGUGCUGUAUCUCCCCAUUGAACUAUAGUUUUAUCUGCUCCCGCUCCCUGUAUGGUUAUGUAUGACUUCAGCUGAGGUAUUGUAACCUUUUCCCUGGAAAACUCGCAUUUUUGGGGGGGUCAAAAAGAAAUGAUCAUUUGAUGGAGAGAGAGCAACAUGAAAAUAAUACCAACUGUGAAAAAUGAGGAAGGAUGAAAGAAAAGACGCAUUUCAAAAACCACAUGCAAAGUAGGUACCUGUAGUCAGGAAACCAGUUUGUAGCAUAUUGAUCAGAAGCUAAAGGACAACGUGCAACAAACCGACAUAUUUCUUUUUCAAUGGUGGCGAAAUAUAACAAAAACUUGAGCAUGACUACCUCUUAAAUGUACCAUAUUAUAUAGUAAUGCACUAUUUUCUCUCUUUCUCUCUUCUUGGUGGUAAAAUUAUGCAUUUACCAAGCCUUGACAGAAAAUACCACAAAGAACAGAGAAAUGUAUUGAGUAUAUCCUAAAACACUUACGUGUAAACACCCGCAUGAACCUUGAUCAACACUCUAACUAGAUUAACAGUAGGGAGAGAAUCAAUAGCCUGCUGAAUUGUAGUAAAGUCACCGUAGUUUGGAUUUUUGUCGACCGUAAGAGUGUAAGAAGGGAAGAGCUUAUUCUUGGCGGUCUUGAACACAGAGUGAUUGAGGCUGCCAACAAAGUUUACCCACUUCAUGAAUUGUUGUUCAGAGUAUUGGACUUGGGUCAUAUUCACUGCAAAUAGCUUCCCUGAAGCUGUUCUUUUUGGCCUAAUGCCUUUGGUGUGGCAUACUACUGUAUUGCUUCCAUAGCUCAGAAGAAUGAAAAUGAUAGAAUGUACAAGAAGUUUAGAAGUGGGCAUAUCGAUUGAUCUCUACAGAAUGAGAAUGAGAUCGAGAAGAGGAGAAAAGAAAAAGAAGGAAAAAAGCCGUACUAAGGAAUGUUGUUUUGGGGUUAGGAAGUGCAUUAAGCUGGCUCGUAAAUUGGUUGUGUAUAUAUAUAUAUAUAUAUCAGUACUACUUGGGAAUUAGUGCUUAGUAGUAACUGCUGCUGCCUUUUCAUUUUAGGUGGAAAAAGCGAUGCUAUAUUUAGAUGAUCUUGACAUGGAGUGAGAGGUCACGGGUGCCUCUAAUUGAAUCAUUGUGGAAUGUUGGGGAAGAACUAAGAAGGGGGAAUGGUUGGGUUGGGGAGGGGGAUCACAGGAAAACGAUCUCAGACCACAAAGCGAGUCCUAGGGAGGCAUGCACUUUUCGGCCUAACAAAAACGUUUCUUUCCGAGUUUUUAAAGCUCAUUCAGAGUUGGUGGUGCCCGUGACUAUCUCUAUGUUUCCGUAUGAAGCUGAACAUAUUCUGCUUUCAGAAAUGACGUGUUUUUUGUGCAGCAGGGGAAAUGUUUUUGGUACUCUAUUUUUUUUUUUUUGUUAUUUGCGCUCUUACCAUUUGUUUUAUCAUAUAAUCUAAUAAAUAAAAAAUUAUAUUAUUAAAAUGAUAAUGAGAGUGUGAUAAGCAAAAAAAAGAAGUGUAAAUAACAUUUUUUGCACAGUAAUUUCUAAUUAGUUCUAUUCAACAUAUAGUACAGGGAAGGGUGCUUGCUACUGUAGUUGCCAAACACUCGAGGAAAUGUGGGUUUCUAUCUUUGGUUUAUAUGCGUCACAUGAAUCACAUAUAUUUGCUAACAAGUUCCAAAAGCCAAUAUCGUUGUAGAAGUUUGUCAGAGAAGAGGACUAGAAAGAAAGCUAUUAGAACAAAAAUUUUCUUUUACAGGAGGGAUUUUAGAUUCAUGUAACAUAUACAAAAAUCAAAUUUUAUAUUUGAAUAGAAAUCAUGCGUCAUGUAUCAACAAAUGCUACUUUUGGAAAUUUUUUUUAGAUGGUGCAGAAAAAAUUAAUCUUAGAAAUCUUUUUUCUUCUUCUAACCUUAUUUGACACCCAAUUGUUGUUCUUUUGGGCCAGGUUGAUUUCACAUUGUGCAAAUUUAUAUCUCACCUUGUUGGCCCAUGGACCCAAUUCUAAAACCGUUGUGGCAAUAGCAGGGUGUAGAAAUACCUAAUUCACUCUCUCCCACCCUCUCUCUCUCUUCUGGGUUUUUGAGUUUAGAGCCCAGAGGAAGGAAACCUUACAUGUACACCUAAUAGUGUGCCAAGUACAUAUUGUAUUACAAAUGAUUAUACACUCGUGCGUAUAAAUACAUAUAGGAUGCGUAUAAAGAUGCAUAAGUUAAGUAUUAUUUUCAGGAGUCACGGUCCUCGUCACCACGUUCUAUUAACAUUUGAUAAGAAUACACUUAUCAAUGCAACGUUGGGUUUUACACUCCAAAUAUUUCUUUUUUCGCUCACCCCUAAAAUCAUAUUUCUUUGCACGGAAAAGACAUUUAUGGAGUAUUUUAUACACAUAACCCAAGAUGCUAUUCUUUCUUGACUCGUACCAUGCCAAACAUGCCAAUUAAUAAACAAGUAGAGGCUGCAAAUCUAGGUAAUAAUUGUACGAUUAUGGGCAAAAGUUAAAAACUUGGAUAAAUUCGAUCUUGUAAAUUUAGUGAUUCAAAUUUUAUCAACUAUUGAAUAUUUGAGCCGGAGAGAUCGUAUAGCAAAUUUUAAACUACUAAAUUUACAUAGACCGAAUCUAUUCAAGUGUUUGUUCGGGCAAAAUGCGACAAAUUAUAUGAAUUUAGCUUCAUUGUCUAUUUCUACAUCAGUUGGCAAACAAUCAAAGCUCUAAAAGCGACAUAAAUAUAUCAGGUUUUGGUUCGAUGGGAACGGAAUCAACAUCAAUUAUUGAAAAGUUUACAAAAAACCGCAUCUUACUCUUUGUCCUUCCUCUUCCUUGGAAAUAACAUCCAUCACCCCACCCUCCCAUCUGCCUUGCCCCACUUGGAAAUAACCUUAAAAGGACCGAAAAUAGUAGUAGUCUCAGAAUAUUUCUUGCAGACUAAACCCUGAUUUCCAUCUUAGGGAGAGCUCCCAAGAAGCAUCUACUAUUUCGUAAAAUUUGUUCCGACCUCUAAAACUGUCAUGAAUACGAACGUGAUCUCAAGCUUCAUAGCCAUAGCAACUUCCAUCUCCUUCCUCCUCCUCUCACCCCCGUCAAAGUCCUUUUAUCAUUCCUUGUUCUUAUCUGAUUCCCUUUCAUGCAAUGAAUCAAUAGCAAACCACCUCUACAUCCUAACCAAGCGGCCUCAUGUUGCUGGGUCCGAAGCCAAUGCCGAAGCAGCGGCUUAUGUUCUAUCCACCCUCACUUCCUAUAAGGUUCGAUCACAUAUAACAACCUAUGAAGUUGCCUUGACUUACCCCAUCUCACGUUCCUUGACCCUAAAACCUACUCCUCAAGACAGCCCCGUCAAGUUCGAUCUCCACCAAGACAUUUACGACGGUGAUCCUCAUGCCGACGUGGCAGACGAAGUCCUACCGACGUUCCACGCAUAUGCCAAGUCUGCCACUGUAGCUGGACCUGUAGUAUAUGCCAAUUACGGGCGCGUACAGGACUAUGCUGUAUUGAAGCAAAUGAAAGUAAAUGUGUCAGGGAAUGUUGUAUUGGCAAAGUAUGGAAAGAUAUACAGAGGGGACAUUGUGGAAAAUGCUUAUGCAGAAGGUGCUAUAGGUGUAUUAAUUUACACAGAUAGGAAGGAUUACGGUGGAGGAGGUGAUGCAAAAUGGUUUCCUGAUGACAAGUGGAUGCCUUCAAGUGGAGUCCAGGUGGGAUCCGUGUACAAUGGGGCCGGUGAUCCCACUACACCUGGCUGGCCUAGUUCAGGGUUGUGCGAGAGACUAUCAGAUGAUGAUGCGGAGAAAGGAGGAGAAGUUCCAUUGAUACCAUCAUUACCUAUUUCAUGGGCUGAUGGUGACAGAAUCCUGAGGUCCAUAGAUGGACAAGUGGCAAAUGACGAUUGGCAGGGAGGGAAAGAUGCUCCUGUCUACAAGGUUGGGCCAGGACCAGCAAUUCUGAAUCUUAGUUAUACUGUAAGUCUCGAAAAACCAGCAAAAUGUCGAAUCUGUAGAGCUGAAACAGGCAUGCAGUAACUAAGAAAGCCCAUACCGUGAGUUUUGCAGGGAAAGCAAGUUAUAACCACAAUCCAAAAUGUUAUUGGAAUCAUUGAAGGUGUAGAAGAACCUGAUAGGUAAGUUUGAAUAAUUCAAACAUGCAAUGUACAGCAAAUUAAUACGCAUCUCUGAAACAAUUCUGCAUGAUGAAAUUGUCACGUAAGAAAACGACAAGCAAAUUGUUAUAGCAAGCCCUACAAUAGAAAUGAUAGCCAAAAUGAAAUCAUAAUAUUAUUUUCCAAAAAACUGAGCCUGGAUAAACAAAAUCAAGCUUACCGAGUAACUUUCUAAUGCUAGAUUUUCCUCACACAGUUGAAAAUUUUCUAGAUAUGUCAUACUUGGGAAUCACCGGGAUGCAUGGACAUUUGGAGCUGUUGAUCCAAAUAGUGGUACAGCAGCCCUGCUUGAGGUAUGUAAAAUUUUGGUGCUUAAAUCGUCUUAACAUCCCUAGAUUCAAAUUCCAAGGAAAAUAGCAGUUCAACUGAUAUUUUUGAGAGAGACAGGUUGCACACAGGAUGUGGAAGCUCCAGGAAAAAGGUUGGAAACCUCGGCGAACAAUUAUAUUUUGUAAUUGGGAUGCUGAAGAAUAUGGCCUGGUUUGUCUUUCGCUCCUCUCACUGUAGCACAUUCACUCGUCCACAUGCAGCCCUGGCUCCUUUCAAAUAACCAAAGCCAGAAAGAGGCUGUGUGAGCUAAUACAGGCAGAACAUAUUUGUUGUUUUAACUGAAUUAUAAGCAGUUCACCAUCUUCAGAUAGGAUCAACAGAAUGGGUUGAAGAGAACAGGGAAAUGCUAGCAUCAAGAGCUGUAGCCUAUAUGAAUGUUGAUAUUGCAGUUCAAGGAUUAGGAUUUUAUGCCUCUGCAACUCCACAGCUCGAUGAGCUACUAAUAAAAGCAACUAAGCAGGUACGAAACGAAUCUCAAGGGUUGGGGCCACAGGGUUUUACAACAUUGCCAUAUGCAUUAACAAUGAUUGCAUAUGGUUAAUCCACGUAGAAAGCAACAAGUUCAAAAAUAUAUAUAUAUAGAGGUGCAAAUGUGGUUUAACAGCACAAGAAUACCAGUCUGUCAAACUUCAAAUGUCAAUUUAUGUUUUAUCUUUCUAUUCUCACUCAAAUUAGAUAAACUUCUGACUUAGGUCCAAGACCCGGAUAACUCCUCGCAAUCCAUCUACCAAUCCUGGAUUCGCUCCAGUGAAAAUCCUAAGGUAAGCAUCUUAAGACAAUUUAAAUAAGAAAGAGAGUUGCAUUAGAGUUCUUAAAUGUGAACCUUGGGGUUGUGGGAGCAGGGUAAACAUUACAAGCACUGAAUAAAUGGCCACGUCCUAGACCAUUGUGCUACCACUUUGAUUUAUAAUUUAUCUUUACGAGAUAACUCAAUUGAUGCUUUUCAACUAAGGCAUUUAGCUACUUAGGUUUAAAAUCAAACUGCCCCUGAAUACCAAGAAAUACUAAAUCUAAAAGGUCAGCUUCUGGAUUUCUGUGGCCUUGAUAAGUGGCUUUUGGAUUUCAAUAUUGACAAACUGACCAAAAGGUCUUUAAGAUUGGAAGGUUAGGAGGAGGAGGAUCAGAUUAUUCUGCCUUCGUUCAGCAUGUUGGUGUUCCAGCUACUGAUAUCUCUUAUGGAGAAGGUAAAAUGAAUAUAUUCUGGUAAUCUUUUUCACAAAGCAAGAGAUGCUUGCAUCAAUGGUUAUUAGGCAGAUAUCCAAUUAAUUUCACCUUAAUGUAAUUUGCUCUGUCUUUUCAUUAAUUCCUUCACAUAGUAAGCUCCUAUGUCAUCUCCAAAACAACCCCCGGCCCUCUUCCCAACCCCCCUGUCCUCUCCCCAGAAGGCAAAAUAAAUGAAAAAAAAAAGAGCAGAAUCUAAUAAGACCACUGAGCAUUCAAAGCAAAACCUCGUACCAUAAAGCAUCCUAAAUAAAUAUAUCAGAGAAAUAAAUAGAAAAACAAUGUAAAAGCUCAAAACUUAAAGCAAUUUUUUUCUUUUUAAGCUAUUCAUGAUUCUUCAUGGUAAGAAUCAAUGAAGGGAUUUACGGACCAUGCAAGGAAAAUUAAUUUUUGUAUAGUAGGACUAAGAAAGCAGUAGCUUCGACAUACAAGCAUUAAGAACCAAAAAAAAAAACUUCUAAAAGCAAAAUAAUCUUACCAUCGUCUUUCCUCAUAACAAUUGGUCAGUGAGUGUGAUGAAAUUACAUCAGCCAGUUCUCUAGCAUCACUUACCAUUUGUAUGUAUGUUCAUUCUCCAUAACGUUGUGUUAUACCACUUGACUUUCAUUACAAGAGAAAUAAUGACAUUAUACUCGUUAGGCUCUAAAGCAGUGUAGUAUGACAAAUCACAAAUUUAGAAAAGCACAAAAUCUCCAUUUCUCUAAAAGAACACCCUACUAAGUAUCAUAGCUCUGGAGAUAUCGAGCAUGUUAGCAUAUCUAGGCAAAAAACUUUAUUUAGAUCUGGUGCAUAUUAUGUAUAACACACUCGUAUCAAUCUAACCAGUAUAGAAACAGUGCUAGAUCAGGAUCAACUCAGUACAUUGAGUUUCUUACCUUGAACAAUAACCUAUAAAGAACAUCUUUUUUAAAAAAUGUCAUAAAAACAAGGGGAAGACAGCAAUAGAAAAAGAAAAUUACAGGAUGAGUUGAGAAUAAGAGUCGGAGUAAAUGGUACAGGGACAUCAACCACAAUGUAUCAAACAUUUAAGAGAAAACAAUGGUGUAAGAUCAAGUAGAAGAAGAAGAGACAGAUUUUUUAACAGCCUCAAAACAAGGUUUGCUUACCCAUUAAUUACAUACCUCCUGACUAAUACACAGGCCAUCCAUCCACUCUCUGCUGCUAAUUGACUAGGCUUAAAAUUUUCAUCUACAACCUGCACUAACUCUGAACAACAUCAAAUAGACACCACAGCCUAGAAAUUAAUCCAAAAGAAUAGAGGGACCUGAUGAAGAUACAGAUGCAAGAUUGAUAGGUCAAAUGAGUACAUUUUGCCAGAUGUCUAGGACAAACUCUAAUAGACACUAAGAUCACCAUGAAUCAAGUUAGUUGUGAAGAUCAAUGUAUUUCCCCACCCAAUUACACUUCUAACGUUGCACAAAAGUCAAAACCUUGCCUCUCCCAUGACACUCUUAGAGCAUAAGAAUCUUGAAAAAAUAUAAUUUGCAGAAGAAAACAAAAUAAAAUCAGAAUCAGACCAAUACACUGAGAAUUCUAGCGAAUCAUCCAAGGCACAAUGUUCUAUUCAGUUGUCUUGACAGGCAUGCAUUCAGACAGAUUCUAGCCAACCCUUUAACAUCACUAGCAUACAAAGAACUGGUAAUGACAGAUGCAUAAUUAUCAUGGACUUAACUAGUUGCAAUCGAGAAGCUUGUCUCCUUAAAAAUGUGCAUGAAACAAGAAUUAACAUUUUUAUUGAGUACCAUCAUCUUUACUUACCACAUUACAAACACGUGUUGAGGCUGUGCAAUCAGAGUAGUUCAUAGUACAAGAAUUAAUUCGUAUAGACAUGACCCAGUUGACCUUAAAAGUACAUCAUGUAUAAAUUUUUUUUUCCUUAAGAAACAUAGACUUAUUAUUUCCAGCACUAGAGAUUCUCUUCCAGCACAAAAUAUAUCAUACUAAGCAAAAACGCUAGGCAUACUCCUUUUUAAGAAUCGGUCCAAUUCUUGAACUUUAUGACUUCUAACGUUUUUCAACCAUCACUUGACAAAAUUUGGUGGCUUGUAGAUUAUCCAGUCUAUCACUCAAUGUAUGAUGACUUCAUCUGGAUGAAGAAAUUUGGUGACCCAAAGUUUCACAGGCAUGUAGCAGGUUAGUUAUAAUUUUCUGCUAGAUAGUAGAAUUUACUGCAAUUGCAUAGACAUCUCAAUGGCUUCUGAGAUUAAAAGUUUCAUCACAUAAUUGGGAUGAGCUAUUAAUUAAUCAUCAGAAAUGCCAAUCUUACAGAAUCGAAAGUCACAAAGCAACUCUUAUGUUCAGUUUAAAACAUAAAUUAAGUUGAUCCCGCUUUUGUAAAUUCCCCACCAUCCCCUUAUUAGUAAAUCAGUUAACAUUUGGCAAUGAAAUCAAAAGUUGCAGGAAUCACAUGCAUAAUAAGACGGAUAGUGUGCAGAGAAGUGCAAAAAAUAUAUUAUUUAUUGGCCCUCUCCAAAUGAAAUUUCUUAGUUCAAGCGUCCAUUUGGCUAAAAGAGUUCCUAUAGAAGCAGGGUCUAAAAUCAACAUGGAAGAAAAACAACAAGACCAGGUUUCACUUAUCAGGCAUUCAAAAAAUAAUGCAUAUUAAAUGGAAACACAACAAAAUACUGAAAAACAUUAAACAUAGCAAAACACAGAUUCAUUUAACAGACAGUAUUCAGCAUAACUGACAGAAAUACUAUGUUGGAGAGAUGUGUUAAAGGAGGAGGAAGAAAAAGAAAAUUGCAAAUAGGAAGAAUUAAGAUAAGGCGACGAAAAACUGACGGGCAUAAAGGUUUCGAGCAGCAAGAAACAACAAUAAUUUAUCCAAUAGAGCCAAGAAACAUCAUAAGAACCUAUGAUUGUUUAGUUAGAUGAACAAUGUCAGAAAUGACAACGAAAAUAUGACUUAAUUCAAAAAUUAAAAAAAAAAAAUCAAAUACAGAAGCUUACUGCUUGUGUCAGACACUACACACUUUCAAGGCACUGAAGGGAACUCAAAAGUUUCAAAAGAAACGAAAGAUUACCUUAGACAAGUCAUUGCAUGCUCAAACACUUGCAGGACACAUCUCACCAAAUAUUAAAAUUGAGAUAAAUUUUCAUGUAUAAAGAAGAAACUUUUCAUAAAAAAUUUGGUAGCAUGAGUAGUACACAGUAAAAUUAGAAUACGAACCUGUAUCGAAUAUAUCAAGUAUCUGUUUCAGGCAUUUGACAAUCGACAUGGAUAGAUACUGAAUCAGACCCCUCUAAUAUGUUUUAAACCUAAAACAGACAUCUUCUAACUCCAUGUUAUAGUAGAUCAUGCAUAUAGUGCUCCAUGACACAUGACUGCUCCACAACAAGUACCAUUAUUGUAUGAUUAAAUUGUCACAUUUCCUAAUCUUCACGGAAGGAUAUAGGAGAAAUAAGAUGCUUUAAAUCAUGGUCUAUAUCGCAUCAAUGUCCAUGAAAGAUAUUAAAAUUUCAGUCAAACAAAUAUAGUCUCACAAAGAUUAGCUGCAUUCCGUAUACAUAGUUAUUGCUCCAUCAUCACUAAAUAUACACAUAUUGUGAUGCAAGAGCAAAUUUAAUAUACAGAUGUUGCUAGAGACGGAUUUGUUAUUCUAUACCACUACUUGUAUAAAAAAAAUUCCUUCAAUUGUGUUUUCAUUCAUGUUGUUUCCUAUCAUCCAUUUUCACAAAAGAGACGAAAGUUCACUCAAACAAUCUAAACCAUUAGAAACAUAGCUGCAUUAUGUACACAAAUAUUGCUUCAUCAUCAGUCACUGUUACAGUGGCUCAUGUGAUUCAACAGCAAACUUACAUUGUUAUAAUGCUACAGGUAGAUUUGUAGCUCCAGAUAUGUUAUACUUAAUAUAAAAAAAAUAUACCCUUUAGUUGUGUUUUCAAUCCUGUUGUUUUCUAUCAUCUAUUUUGUCCAACACAAUUCUACUUCAGCAGUUAAAUCUUUUCAUCAACUUGUUUCUUUUUGUGUACGAACAGUGACAAGUAUUUGGGGUUUAGUAGCACUUCAGCUUGCUGAUGAAGAAUUUUUACCUUUUGAUUAUCUGUCCUAUGCCAAUGAGCUGCAGGUAUGUUUCCUAUAGUGGAGAAAUGAGUAUAAUAUACCUGCUUCUACAAUUGAAAGUAAUCUAAUCUUUUGAUUGUUUGAUCCUGUAACUAGAGAAGUGUGGAAGACUUGAAAAUUGAGUUGUCAGAAAAGGGCAUAAAACUAUUUCCCUUAUUUAACUCUAUCAAGGAACUGAGAAUGGCAGCGACUAAAAUUGCAAACGAGAUAAAGGUACAUCUCCAGCUCUAUUAGUCAAAAACUUGGUAGAGAUCUCUAAGUGUGCUAAAUUUUAUUGAUAGAAGCACAAUUCAUUAGGUGCUACAAGACAGAAAUGUUUGGGCUUCUGUAUCAAAAAAUGACCACUACAAAGUAAGAGAAUUGAAUGACAGACUAAUGAUGGCAGAGCGAGCAUUCACUGACCGCGAAGGACUUCCUGGAAGGACAUGGUACAAGCAUUUGGUAAGCUUCUUUAAAUCACCUGCAAGUGACCUUGUUGUAGCUAAUUAAAAAUUCAGUUAAGUGCUUGUUAUUUCACCUUGAUUGAAGGUUCUUAUUUUUCUUCCAUUACAAAGCACAAAAAUGACAUCUACUUAGACCAAAGAAUUUCAGGAAAGAAUAAUCACAAAAGCAUUUGGAACAUCUAGCAUACCAAAAUGCGUGCAGCUGAAAAUGACACUUUUGAUAACUGAAACCAAAUACUGACUGAUGCUUUAUAUCAUUCAGAUAUUUGCACCAUCAAAGCACAAUGAUUAUGGUUCUAAGUACUUCCCUGGAAUAGAUGAUGCCAUCGAAAAGGCCAAAAGCAUUAACACCACAGACUUGUGGCUUGCAGUACAGCAUGAAGUCUGGAGAGUAUCUAGAGUGAUUAAACAUGCUUCACUGGUCCUCAGUGGUCAGUUAACAUGACUACCGUCAUCUUAUACCCCUAAAUUCCACGUGUGUAUUUGCUAUUAAUACUAAAACAAUUGGGUGACAUCUGGUGGACUUGCUUUAGUUCAAGACUGAAUCUGGGGAUUUUAUAUUGCAUUUUGUUUUUUUUCUUAGGUAUACUAUUGACUGUUCCUCAUUUGACUCACUAAUGGUUAGGAAAAAGAACUUGAUGGUCACAAAGGGAGAUAACCUGUAGUUAAGCUAAACAUGCAAACGCCCAAUCUGAGACCAUUUCUAAUAACCAUGUAGUCCAAGUCCUAGCUGCAUGAUACAAAAUUCCAACAUAAUUUCUCAGGGAAAUGAUUGGCAACUAAAUAUUUUACAGUUUAUUCUUGAUUUCUCAAAUUUGGAAAAUCAGUCUAUUGGUGUGCUUCCAUCUGAAGUGAAAUUUUCAAGAUCAAUACCACAGACAGGCUCUCACAAUGCCUCAAAAAUUUCCAUCCAUCAUUAUUGCAGUUAUCUCAAACGGGAGAUAAAUCCAAUAUUUAAAGAACUUCAUAGUGGUUGAGCAAACAAAAUACUACCUAAUCCUGAGUCCAACAGCACUAUAACAAAUUCUUUUGACAGUUUCACAGUUGAGCCAGUAAUGUGGCCUAGGCCAACAAAUAAGAAUUAAAGUUUCAAAAUUAGAGGUCUAAAUGGAGUACAACAGUUUCUGACAUACUGCAGUACCAAGCUAAAGGAAAGUUGGAUGUCAACACAAAUGAAAGCAUCAUUUCCAUUGCAAAAAGAAGAUAUACAUGUCACAAUAUGCUCAUUAAGCUGUACAACUAAAGCUAGGUUAGAAAUGUAAAGCAGUUAGGAACACAAAAAUCUGUAUUUCAGAUUUGGUAAAUACUGUACAAUUAUUUCUACUGAACCUACAAUAUAUACAAUGAACAACAGUUAUUUCCGAGUCCUCUACUUCCAAACCUUAAUUGCACCAUCCCUACUGCUCGAAAUCAGAAGCCUCUGGUUCAGCUUCACAGAAGCCAAAGAGAGGACAGAAUCACGGUGACAUCCUGCAGAAUCAGUGGCAGCACCAGCAAGGAUAGUCUUUGUGGUCAAUCUCAUUGUCAAAGGUCGUCUUCUGCCCUCCUGUUUGUAAAAAAGAUCAAUAUAAAUUAGUAGGCCAUCAUCCCAGAACAUAAGUGAGGGGCUAUUUCUCGUCCAAAUGCAGCUAGGUAAGUUUACAAUCACAGGCAAAAAGAAGAAGCGAUAGAGAACCAUUGAACUAAAGAAAAUCUUCAGUUUGAAAACGUACGACAUUUGAAUCCAACACUACCCCCCCCCCCGGGGGGAAAAAAAAGCCCAACCAUCAGUCCAGUUUUCUCCUUCCAGGCAUGGCCCAGGAUUUUAAACUAGUACCUUUACAAUGAGAAGGGAAGAAACUUCUCAAGGAUUGCCAAAAAAACAUACAACUUAAGAGUCCCUAAUAAUUCUGAAUAGAAGCCUACCCAAAUUUUUGAGAACUUCAUUAGAAACAAUUCAUGUCCCAAGUAAAAAAGAGAAACAAAUCAUGAUGAUGCCAUUAACAUACCUGCACAACUUGCACACCGUAGUAAGACUUUGUCUCAAAACUAUCAUCAUUUCCAACUCCCUUUAUAGAUGGUCCACAUACACAAUAACUUCGAUCAGGGCUGAAGCAUAGAUAUGCAAGGGUCAAUAGAAUUGCAAUGACUGCCCAAAUGCAUAAAGAAAAUUAGAAAAUGUACCUGGAAUGGUCCCAGCGACGUAUUUUCAAGUCAGUACCCCCUGUCAAUAGAUCCCCGCCUGGCAACGGAAGUAAAGCACGGAUGCCAGGAAGACGUGGAGGUGGUUCAUUCAACUCAUCGAUUCUAUAUUUCGAAUUAGCACUUAGCCUGAUAUCUGAUUUGGCAUUCCCCUUGCUGGAUGCUCUGGCUAAUGCCCAAGGCGAGUCAGAAAUUUCAGCAUCCGUCUCAUUAUUUGCUACCCUCAACACCUGCAAAAAGCAGAAUAAGUAGCACAAAAAUCCACCAGUAUAAAAGCACGAAAUGUUAUUGCAGUGAUUGAACGACAGGUGCCAACUGCUCAUUCCAUUCAUCAGUCUAACUACAAUAUCGGGGUUUCGUAUAUCUUAUUCGAGUGAAUUUCACAUUUAAAAUCUAAUUGUCUGUGACUUCCAAAGUAUCCCAGCACAACAAGUAUAUUCUCUCAAAAAUUACUCCCCAGAUGUACAUUAUACUUCCCCCUCCAAUCCUUCUGUAUCUCCAUAACUAAUCAUCCCUCCCAAGCAUGCAUGUUUACCAGCAAGAACAUCUAUAUGGAUCAUAUUCUUUCUAAAAUACAACAUCACAUCAAUCAAUUUAAUCACAUUCAGUCAAAUUUCACUCUUUUGCUAGAUUCUUUACUAUUUUGUAAAAAGUACAAAGUGAUCCAACUGUACCUGAUGGCAGCUUCCAUUUUCUGCAUUCCAAAGAGAAACUUCAUUACACCCUGCUGCAACAUAAACAAGAGGUCUGGUAGAUAGGGAGAAGGAGGUACUAGGAGGAGGAACAAAAAGGCUCAUUUUCUCAAUUGGGCAUGCAAGAGAAUACUGCCAUGAAUUGACAGGUAUUCCAAACCUCAAAUCCCAAAGGGUAAGCACGCCUCUUGAUGACCCAGUGACAAACCAGUUCCCACAAGGAUCUGCAACCAGAGAAGAUACAUAACCCUCCUCAGGGACCACUUUUGAAUUCCAAACAUUUGAACUUGUUCUUGUAUCCCACAGAUGAAUUCCACAAUUCUGGGUACUGUACAAAAUCAUUUUGCAAGCACCACCAUCAGGGGAGUAGUUCAAAAGGUUUAAUAUAGCACCUUCUCCAACUCCGUUCUUUUUAACAUCAGCUAUGCCUGAAUAUUUCUCCACAACAUUGCCCAGUCCCCCGGAUAUGUAAUCAACAGAGAACAUGUGUAUAGCUCCAUCACAAGCUCCAACAACAACUUGAGCAGAACCCUGGAUCACAGCAACACACAGUGCUCGACUUCCAUCUAAAGAAUAAGUUAGGCGCGACCUGAAUGAGAUAUCUUUUUCUAACCUUUUAGAAUCCCAAAUUUUAACAGUAGAAUCUUCAGAUGCACUUACGAAAAAGCUAUGGUCAGUGGAAACAGCUAUGUCAUUAACAGCAGAGUGGUGAUCCUGGAGAUGCGCAACCAACACCCCACGAGGCCUCCACCCUGAAUCUGGAAUCGUCGAUGUUCGCCCAAAAGAUGGUACAUCUGCACCCUCACUUGAAGCAGAAUUACUUUCAAUUGAAAGGGAACUCCCUUUUGUUGUACCAGACACUCCCAUUUCCAGAAACUUGUUAUUUACAAAGGCUGUUUGAUCCAUUUCCCUGUCUUCAACUUCAUGUACAACCCUUCGCAAUUGUGUGGAACCACCACCAAUGCUGAUUGAGCCUGAGAUAAACUUAGGAGCUGGAUCUGAAUUGGCCAAGCUAAAUGAUUUACUAACUGGAUCCAUCCAUGGCAAGGAUGCAGAACCAAAACCUAAAGAACCACAUGGUAAUGAUGAAUCAGAGACUGUUGGAGAGCCUGCAGCUCGUUUGUUAUCAACUUUAAAGUAAUACAAAGGAAUGCCUUGUGAUGAUUUCUCCAUUAAACUGUUCAUUCCACUAAGAGGUGGAGAGAUAAAACCGGGCAACUGCAACUUUUCAGAAUCCAGGAAGUCGCCAGAAUCCAUAGCCAUAGGACUUUGCACUGAGUUGCCCACAACUUUUGAAUUCUGGUCAUUAUCAUUACAAUCUGCAAGAUCCAGAGGCAGAUUUGCACGUUCAACAACUUUAUUGCUCUGAAGAUCUCUUUGUCGGUCAGACCAGCACAUCAUUGGAUCCAGCUCCUUCACCCCUCUCUGAAGAAAAUCCACUGUUUCCCAAUUUUUAGCCUGUGAGUCACUGUUGUACCAUAUUUUUCGCUGUCUCUCCAGCAUGUCUGAGCUCCUGGCACUUUCUAAAACACGAUAGUAUCUCUCUCUUGACACUGGCGGCUCUAGGCAUGAAAAAAGAGCCUUUUCUGAAGCUAAAGAUGCUGGUUGUCUACGCAGGAAGGUGCGUAUAACAGGCACAAGGAAAACAUAUGAAUCUACUGCACCUAAACUCUCACUGCUAGCUGCAAUGAAUGUGACAUCGGCCCUCCUGACCCAUUGACUAGGAUAACACAACAGUGGAAAAGCGUGUUCUAUCAUCUCAAGCAAGAUUCUCUUCCUUAGAAAUCCACUUUUGCAUAAAAUAGCUAGGCAUUCCAGUGCAUUCACAAUUACAGCCUCAGUUACAUCGCUUAAAGCCUGCUCAAUGUAUGGCAAAAGAUAUUCCUCGACACUCCUUUGUCCCACGAAAAAGCAGACAUAUAUGAUCUGUCCAUAAAACACUGCCCUGAGUUGCUCAUCUCGGUCAUUUAGGAAAGCAGGGAGGAUGGGCAACAAGAAAUCAUUACUCUGCCUCUGGCCAAAAAACCAGCAAAGAUUGCCAAUGUCAUGCAGGAGUGCUCUCCUGAUAUUUGGUGUUUGCUUUGGGCCCAUCACAAGUUCUUGAAUGACAUCCGCAAUAGACUUCCUUAAUUGCACAAGCUGUGCAUCACUAUUUGGACUGUAUCUCCUUCCAGAUGUAUCAGAGGAUGUAGAGAGUGACUUCUGUGGCGAACUUGAUUCACUGAGAACUCCUGCCUCACUCAAACUUAUAGAGUGAAUCAAAAACCCAUAAGCAGUAAGUGCCAGCUUAGAUAUAUUGCUUGCAUAACAUAUCCUUACACUUUCCUCUGGAUCAUCAGGGAGCAUGGAGAGCAUUGGAAGAAUAUACUCGGGAAAAAUUUUAGCAUCACUGGGUGGAAAAUCUCUGACUAAGGGAAGAAUGUCACAUAAAGUCUCUAGGGCAGCACAACGCACAAUUGCAGCUGGAUCUGAGAGCAUUGCAAUAACAUAUGGAAGCACACGCUGCAAUCGAUCUUCAUCAUCAAUGUAUAAGGAACACGACUUCAAUAGAAGCACAGCUCCUCUCCUCAUGAAUGGCAGUUUGACAUUUCUUAUGCAAGAACAGAGCAAUGAGGCAAUCAGAACCAUACCUUCACAGCUCAUGAUAUCUUGAGGUAAUGGUAGAAAAGGCAUACCAAAAGUGUCUGACUGGUUGUCAUAAUCCGACAUUAAUGAGUUCAAAUCACUUGUUGUUAUCUUUCUUAAGAAGGGAUGGUGACUUCUGUUAAAUAUAUUAGAGAUACUCUGAAUCAGCUCAUCAGGAGAUUGCACAUCACACUGCUUUCUGUUUUGAGAAUAUGCAGAUCUAGCCACACCUUCCAGCAACGGUUUCAUGCUAUGAAAUCGAUUAUUUUCCUUCACAUCCCUGAGUAGAUUACCAACAUCACCAAGAAGAUCAAACCUAUCAUGAAUCGAGCCCUUAUCCACCUUUUCUCUUUUGCUACUGGUGUCCUUCUCCACAUUUGUAUUAUGUUGUGCAUCUGUCCCAUGCAGAGAUUGAUGCAUAGCAUCUAAAGAAAGCGCCUCCCCAGAAACAGUCUCCUUGACUACACUACUGCUCAUCAUUUGUCUAAGAAUCUCUUGAAAAGACGUCUGGCAUAUUAAAACCUACACCAAGGAACUUUCUAAAUAAGCUUGAGCACAGCGUAAUUAUCACCAAGAUAAAGAUCAAGCACCAAAAAUGCCUUACCCUUGCAUCAGAAUUAAGGGGAUUCAACAAGGAAUAGAAAUUGUGGAGAAAUGGAGAGAAGUAGCCAGGAAACACAAUGCCAGAGAAGUUCUGCAGAUAGCUUUCAGCAGAAAAACGUGCCUCCGGAUCCAAUUGAAUCAUAUGAAGAAUCAUCUUGCGGAUUCCUGAAUCUGGAAUCUUUAUGCAAACAAGAUAAAGACCAAAAAUAAAAGUUAAUUUAGAGAUUCAAUAAACACUCUAAGUGGACUAGUAGGCAAACACUUCAACCUAUAUAGUGAAGUCAAUGUUCCAUGAAAUUUCUUGAAAGAGAUUAAUUGGGAAAAUAUGAUGACACAAGAAGAAGCAGAGAAAGGUCCUUUGGUUAGAGCCAAGUUAAAAUGGCAUUGACUAGAUCUUACUUUUUCUAGAUGUUGGCUAGGAUCAUAUUGUCCUCUACGAUAAGCAAGCAGUUGAGACAACUCAAACAAUGGCUGACCCUCGAGGAAUAGCUCAGCUAUUACACACCUGAAGCAAGAACAUGAAAUUGAAGAAAAGUGUAAAUCCAUUGUAUCACAAGGCAAGAGCUUAUUGCCAUAUAGAUAAAGACAUCCUCAUCAAAGAUUUGUGCCUCAACCAUAAAAGCAACCAUCCAAAGCCAAAAAAGUCAAGAAAAUUAGUUUGUGAACUGCUUUGUAUAACGUAAAAAGAGAACCUCUUGACCCAACCAAUAUGUAUAUACCAAUAAAAUGUAGCAACUAAAGCAAACAAAACUUAAAAUGAUAGACCACAACUGGAUUGCUUGGAUGAAAUAUGUAGAAAUGAUAGUAAUUAAUUUGAUUGUGCUCUAACAUGAACGCUCACUUGAGGGCUGUACAUGAUUAUGCAAGCCCAAUUAAUCUCCUAUACACUAGCAGUGUCUGUCAGGCCUGGAUGCAUGACAACUAAUUUUAAUUUCAAUUUGAAAUCCAAGUUUUACAUGGCAAGCACCCAAGGCCAACAGUGCAUUCAUUGUCGGUGCAUAUAAGAUUAAUCCAUAGACAAGAGCUAAAACAAAUGCUGUUGAUCUAGAACCCUAAUCUCUUUUUCAGAAAUACCAAUUUGAUUACCACAUGAUAUAGAAGUAUAAGUUAUUGCAAAGAACUUUGGUUGUUUAUGGACUCCUGCAAAAGCAACUGAUGUGAAGCGCAUCACAUUCCUUGAAUGGGUUUGGGGCAAUUUCAUUGCUGUUGUUGAGGAAUAAAUCAUUGAUCUACUUGUAGGAUUUGAUACAAAAGGUAAAAGAAUCUUUACCCAAUUUUAUUAAAGAUCUAUUGUCACCAAUGUACUGUAUUAAACAAAGAAUCUCACAGAUCAACAUAGUCCUACUACUUUCACAUACUUCAUCCAUGUGGGCCAAUUAUAAGUCCCAACCACACUUUAGUCAGCCCCCACAAAAAAGAACACAUUUUUUUCUCCAUGUUUUGACUUACUUAGUAAGGUGACAAUGUUAUUUGGCUAUUUGCACAACAGCAAGAUCGUCAAAACAAAAGAUGAACUUGCACAGCAAGCUAAAAGCUACAAGAUGUGAGUUCAAGGAAAUAACCUGUUCGAGCUUGCCAGAUCAAGUCAUUCAAAGUAACAGGCAGAAAGAGGGUAGAAAAUGAUACUGUUCAUAUAUAGCGCAAAGUCCAGGAUGCCAGAGAGAUACUAUCAUCUAUGUCCAAUAAGAAACAAUGAUUCCCACUCACACAAACGAUUUCAGACAAGUUUCUGACACAUAUCAAGCUCAGAUCCAGAAUUCCAUCAAAAGAUGAAAUGACUAUUGUUUUAAAAAUGUAAAGCAAGACACAAAAGUAGAAAUUUUAUCAUAUAAUAAAGAAAGACAAACAUGUGAUACUAUCAUCUAUUUAAUAAAAUAUCAAUAAGACAAGCAAUGUUCCUUAGAUGGAAAAACAAAUCCUGGAUCAAGAAACAUCUUAUUGUUAAGUUAACAUAAUCAGAUACUUUACUUCCAAGUUCAGGUUCUUAUAAAACAUCAGUGAUAUUUAUGCUCAAGCAGCAUAUGCAGGUAUAAGUAAAUUAAAAUUUCAGGGCAAACAAAGACUUGCACAAGGAAAAAAUUAUUCUUUCAAAAUGGGAAAGAAGGUCUCAUCAUAUCUUCAAUUCAGUAAAUUGCAAUCUAGUGUGUGCAUUUGUGUAUUUCAAUUCGCAUAAAUAAUUUUAAAAGCAUGUAUAAGUUUAGUUAAUGCCACUUCUCAUGUACUGGGAAAAGCAUAUUUACCACCUUUAGGCAUCACAUUAGAUUUCUCAAGCACCACUGCCCAUGCUUUUACAAGACAACAACCCUCUUGGCAAUAAAACAAAAGCAGUGCAAGGGGCUAAUAUAGAACAAUUUGCAGCAGAAGGGGCACUAAACUUGUUAGUGAUAUAGGCUGAAGCCAAAGAGAAAAUCUGGAACUUAAACAAUAACCGGGAAGUAAAGGAUUCUGGGUCAAUUGAUAAAAAAUUAGCAUAGGCAGCAACAAUUGUCUUUUGAUAGUAUUGCAAAAGAAAAGACCCACAUUGACCAAAAAAUCAACUGUCACAAUACAUGUUGCCACUUUCAACACAAUUUCCACUUAUCUGCACACUGACGUAAACAUGAUUCUACUACUAUGGAGCAUUUAAGAAGCAAAUGCUCCUUGAAUACCAAAACUUCAAGAACCAAAGCGAUAAAUUAUUUCCAGUGUAUUUUUUAAUAAAGUAAUCUUCAAUUCCAAAUUAUCAGCUCAAAUGCAGAAAACUUACCCUACAGCAAAGAUGUCCAUUGAUGGUUUUAAUGGUGCAUCUUGAGCAACUUGCGUUUCACCUCCAUGCCCAUAAAAUCUCUGAAAAAUGAAAGCAACUUCUAUUAGUGAGUAUAGACAAAAGGCAACUGUCACAUUCACUAAAUGCAAUUCUCUCUCUCUCUCUCUCUCUCUCUCUCUCUUCAUUCAUUUUCUUUGUAGAAAAGAACUUCUAAUAUUUCACAGUCUAGUUAACCAUGCUAUAAAUAACCAAUUUUCCAUUUGAAAGAGGAAAAGAAUCAAUCAAUACUUGGUAACAAUUUGAUGAUCAUGUGUCAUGAAUGGUCAACAUAGGAUCAAAAUUAAUCUCCAGUCCGAAUUAGUCUUACAGGGGAUGAUAAUUUCGCUGAUUGUGACCAUUCAGGUGAUCCAUACUUCAGGUAUUGGAUUCUUCUACAAGACUUUUGUUUUUGCCUUUUAUUUUCUACACUUCCUAAUGCAUUUUGCUUCCCAUCAUCAUUAGCAUAAUGUUUAUGUCCUUUCUGCACUAGAAGAAACCUAAACAUAUGUUGUUGUACCUAACAGACAAGGAGAAAAGAAAGUCCAUUUAUUUGUCUUCUUAUAUCCAUCCAUAACCUUAUCACAACUGUGAUCAUGAAUCCAAUAAAGCUUACAAAGGCAGCUGCACAAACUAAACAUAAAUGGUCAGGGCUACCAAGAAAGUUGUGAAAAUUGAAAAACAAUAUUUAUCGACCAAAAAGUUCGAGAAGAGUUUCCUUGUUUUACCUUAAUUGGACAAAGGGAGAACUCUGAAGUAAGAGAUCUAGAUGUCAAAAAAGCAAUUAAUAUGAAAUGUCUGUAGUAAUGAAUUUCAAUUUUGUCAAGGGGGCGAAAAAACACACAGUUACGUAAUUGCACAUAGAUUCAGCAAGGGUGUCAUUUAGUAAUUGUCAUGGUAAGUGCUGUUUCCUUAAACAUAAAUAAGCCGUCUGCCUUGCACUAAUAGGGGAAAUUACGAAUGUUUAGAAAGUUCAUCUUCAAAAGGACAAGGAGGAGGAAGCAAUAUUUGGUUGUUACUAGUUGUCAGGCAAAUUAAGAAAACCACUCCAUCGAACUAAAAGAAUCACCAAUAAAGCUGAUCAAGAUAGUCAAGUACUUUUAUUGUGAGUUAAGCUAGUGUCUUUGAAAAGAAAUACAACCAAAAACUCAUUCUAGCACUAUGUAUACAGACAACCAAAAUUAACUUUUCAUCUGAAAUUGGAUCUCACCAGCACAAACGAAUAGGAAGCAGACAACAUUCUCCAGAAUACACCAAAAAGGUCAUUCUUCUAGGGCACUUCUUACAGAAAAUAAGAAGUUACUUCCAUUAGUCACCAAAAGGAAAGAAGUUGACUCAUAUUAGGCAGGCCCUUUUAAAAAAUGAGAAAUAUAUGUUGUUAACUGCAUAGUGUUUCCCCCUAUCUUUAUGUUUUAUGACACCAGCCAACUGAAAGGUUGAAAGUCAGCCACUCUAAUCAAACAAGCAAUCCAUUAACAAUAUGAAAAAUCAUGACAAGAAGUUCAUAUAUCUAGCAAAACUUCUCUGCCAAGCAAUUUUAUACGUCCUCCCAGACCUGAAUAAUGAAAAGCAUUGUUUGGAUUGAGAUGAUUUCAGAUAAAAUAAUUUGCUUCACAAAUUCCAAUUACCUUUUUAUCUUCCCAGUCACCUUUUUAUCUCACAUACAUCACAUCAUAAAAAGCGCUACAGUAAUUAUCUCAAAUAAAUCAUCCAAAUAAACUCCUAUCCAAACAAACCCUCAUAACUAGAAUCCAAAUUUAUUUCAUUAAGCAAAAACCAGAAAGGUACAAUCAUAAAGCAAUGCGCCAAUGAAAAAAUUAGCAAUUCAAAGUAACAGAAGAUCUAAGCAAUUUUAUGAUCAUCUCAACUGUAUCACAUUCUAGGCAGGAUAUUGCCAAAAUCCCAAGGCUUAUGAGAUGCUUUAAAUUUGUAUUAGCAUUAACCCCUAUAGUACUAGGACGAAAAGUUUAAUUUGAAGUCAAGAACUAGAAAAGCUCAAACUAAAAUAUUAUUUCCCAUCCUGCAUAUGUUAACAUAGAUUUUCACAUAAAUAUUAGAUGAAUUACAAAAUUAAAUUAAAUUAAGCUUAUCUUGCUAAAUCUCUGGUUGGGAAAAAAAAAAGAUUAACUAGAAUAAGAAACCAACCUCAGGAGCAAGGUAACACCGCCUUCUUCCACCAGUGUCAAAGAAAAACGAAAAAUCAGAAGGAUCAUCAUGUGGAAUAUACGUCGGUUUGAAUGAUGCAAAAUCAGCAAGAUAAAGCCAGUUCCAGGAAGUAACCAGAACAUUCUCACACUUAAUAUCACCUGCAUCAGAUUAAAUUAAGUUACUUCUUCCUAAGAAUCAAUAUAAUGUUGCUAACAGAGGAGAUUAAAUUUACACUUAUCUUACCAUGACAAACUCCAUUUUCAUGGCUCUGUUUUGCAGCAUAAAGCAGCUGCAAGACCAAAAAUUUCAUUAAGCCCUAACUGCAACUAAAAGACUAACACUGCAAUGAGAAGAAAGAAAGAAACCUGAAAAGCCAGCCAUUUCUUCUCAACAAGACUGAGGAAAGGUCGAGUGCUCAACCGAUCAUGAAGAUUAUUAAAAAAGUAUUGCCUCAACAAGUAGGCAGCUUUGUCAGUUUCAAGCCAAAACUGCAGCAUACAACAUUUGCAAAAUAAGACCAUUUUAAGCCACCAAAAAAGCAAGAAAACAAAACAAUCAUAAAGUCUUAAACUCCUUAAAGCGACUAAAAACCACAAUUAUUCAAUCAUUCAGAAGGAUUCAUCAGUCAAUGAGACAAUUAAACAUCUAAAUGUAGAUAAAGUAAAAGCCCUCCUUUUGGUGUCAAAAAUUACUGUCAGUUUAUGUCACACCAAAACUGCCCUUUAGAGUUAGUAUUAAAACUACUCAAAUCUACUUUCAUUUUACAUCAUGAUCUCAAAAACAGUAGCUUCAUUUAUUAAGAAAAAGAAAAGGGCAAUAUAACCAUCUUUCCAGCAAGCACAGGCAUAGGAUAUGCCAUAUACACUAGUCUCCAGAAGUUAUUUCUGCCUUUCUUCAUUUUCAGUCGAAACUUCAGGGAAUUCGAAACCUAAAUUUAUGGUCAUCACCUAAACACAUUCCUACCAAAUGUAAAAGGAAGAGAAAAAAAAAAGAAUGCAAAGUAUUUCCAUCAAAGUAUCAGCCUCGUGGUGCCCCCAAAUUCCAAUGAAAAAAACAAUUUCAGACUGACAUGAAUGAUUUACAAAUUUGUCUUUAUAAACCUUCAAUUGGUAGCAUAAACUAAAUUAUUUUAAAUAAAUACUACUUUACAAACACUAUUUUUCCCUGAGCUCCACUUUCUCCUAAUACCCAUAUUGGUAAACCAUAAUUCUACCUAGCUUGUAACAAAGUAACCGGGAGAAAUUCAAAUAGCAGCAUCACUUUGAUAAAGCAUUAAUCUGAUGCAACUCAUUUCCGCCACUGAUGUCCAUUGCUUUUGGCAAUCCCAAAAGGAACACUAGUUCCCAGAGCUCGACUAUGAACACGAGCUUAAUAUUUACUUCUGGCCCUUUGCUUACUACAUAUUACGCUCUCAUUUAACUGCUUUAUAAGAUGCUGCAACCAAAAAUUAAAAUGCAUCCCUUUUAUUAAAUAUGCUUCACACUACAAUUUCUCUUCCACGUUCUUCUAAGGAAUGAAGUACUAAUCUCGGCAAGGGUGAUACCAAUUUUAGCCCUAUCCUCAAACUAAAAUACAAUUAAAAUCAAUUCACAAAUAUCAGUGCGAAGGUGCAUUUAUGUACAAAUAAAUGUACUUCAGAGUAAAAGUAGAGGCAGACCUGGAAGGGCCAGACAUGAGGGUGAUCGAGGCCAGUGAAUACACCGCGAAUUUGGGAGAGGCGGCGCUCGUAGUCGCGUAAGUCAAUGGAGUCCCCUCUUUUGAAAUAAACCUUGACUAGCACAAGUCCUUCGUCGUGCUUGCACAGGAUCGAUUUCAGGAAUCGUCCUCGGCCCAAGACUUCUUUCAAUACUAAAUUAUAAGAAGACGGUAAAUCGUGCAGGUAAUACUCCGUCGCCGAAGCUUGCGUUGUUCGCGCGAUUUUAUUCCCCAUUCUGAGCUUGUGUUGUUUUCCCUCCAAGCGUUUGAAUUAGCUAGGGUUUUGUUUUCUGUUUUGCUUUUAAUUGUUUCUUUCACAUUGCGCAGGUCCGGUUUAACGGUGACCGAAGCGCGGCAGAGAGGGGGAUCGGAGGCGGAGGUGGUGAUGGGAAGGGACGGAAAAGGGGGGAGCUGCGGUUGCGUGGGACUGUGUGGCGGAAGCAAGGUAAUGCUACUGCAGCGGAUCGUUAAUUUUCCAGUGGUUUAUUGCCAUGUCAUCAACGAUUUGUUUUCACGUCUUGCACAAGAUUGUGAAAAAGCGUGGACGUAAACUAUUCAAUGGAAAUUGCAUUUUCUCACGCUUUUCACCACUCCACUUUUUUUCUUUUUUUUUUAUAAAAAAAAAACCAGUCAAUGCUCUUUGCGGAUAAAUUUUGGCUUCUCCUUUUGUUGUGAAUUCUUGUGCUUUGUGUUAUAAGUAAGUUAUUAAAAAUCAAAUGUCAUAAUUCGGUCAAUCAUUAGAAAUUAAACAUUAAUGGUGUAAUAUAUCGUAUUGUUUUUCAUAAUUUAUACCAAAAUCCUACUAUUAAGCAAUAAAUUGCCUUCCAUAUAUUAACAAAUCAUCCAAAAUCCUAGUAUCGGGUAUUUCUACUAAAACAAGUUUUUUAAAUAUAAUGUUACAGUAUUACACAAUAACUCAAAAAAUAUUUUAUCCAUACAAUAUAUCAAAUAUUUCAAAAAAAAAUUAUAUACACUGUUACAGUAACAUUUUUCAAAAACAUUCCAAAAAACAACUAAUCCAAACGGAACUAAUAAGGGUGCCUUUGGGAGUUGAGGGUUUGGACUGAAAAGAAAGGGAGAGAAGAGAAAAUCUGAUUUUCCUUUGUUUGUGAGUUUUUAGUAAGAAGGAAAAGAAAAAAAUGGGAGGAUGAAUAGUAGAUAAAAUUUUUCCUCCCAAAUUGAAAAGAAAUGAAGAGAAAGUUAGAGGAACCUUAUAAAAUUUUUUUAAAAUACUUAUUUUAUCCUUAAAAAUGUCUUGAACAAAUAUAAUGACUUUCAUAUCCAAAAUCAUUCCACUAAUUCUCAAAACUCCCAAAUAACAUAACAAUCCCUUCUCUCCUCUCGUAACUUAAGUUCUCCCUUCUUCACUUUUCUAUCCUAAACUCCCAAACUUAGCCUAAGUGUGUAUUUAUAUCCUUUUUUGUUCUUUUGAAGGUGGCUAGCAUUCUCGAUAAAACAUAAGAAGUUCUCCGAUGCAAUUAGGAGGAGGUACUUGCAAAUAAAACAAUAGCUUCCCCCAAUCAAACUAUUAAAGUUCAAGCCAAGUCGUGCAAGCACAAUUAGCGCAAAUCUUCAACGUUACGUGUUAGAUACUUGGAUAUAUCUGUGAAAUGUUUUUUCGUGGAAUUAAACUUCUGCAAAUAUGAAUCAAUUAUUAAAUAAAAGAAAUAAAUUGAUUUCCUUUUUGUGCCCUUAUCGCCAUCAUAUUUACCUAUUCCCUGUAAUUUGCUAGGCUUGAUUAGAUUUAGAAGCAAGUAAAACAACGUUCUCAAUCGCGAGGAAGAAACCAUUCGAUCAUCAAAAAGAGUACGCCCAUAAGAAUUCCACACAGUAUGGAUUCACAGAUCGGACAACUCAAGGAACAGAAGAACGCACAAGAAUUUAUUUAAUAUGGUAAAUCACAGAUCACCAUAGAUUCAUAUAUCUAGGUAUAAUCAAAGGCGUAUUUACAUUUCCAAGUUCAUAAAAAACAAAGAAAUCAGAAGAUCAACAUUUGAUAAUCACAGCCGAUGACGAUGACGAUGAUAUUUAUGAUCUUCAGUCUUCGUUCUUAAUAGGAUCUUCAUAGUUGGGAUCAUUUACGUCGAGAGCUUCUUUGUGGAUCCGUCCUAGCUCAGCAUCGGAGUAACCGUCACCGGACCACGUGAACUUGCCGCCAUGGCCACCUUUCUUCGGCGAUCCAUUCAUGCCUGUAGCCGAUUUCCUGUCUCUCCUGAUCUCCUGACCGUUGCCGGCCUUCACAUUUGUCUUGGAGCUUUUGCCGGAAUUCUUCAUCUGUCUCUCUCCACUCGUGGCUCUUCUGUAUCUACUCUAUCAAUUGAAGCGAGUGAGAACAGGAAACCCAGGUUGGCAGAAUUUAUAGGAAGCUCGGGGGUUUGUACAUUGGGAGCGGUAUUUUAAUCGCGACCUUGUGGGCUGAUCAUGUAACAUGACAGCGACUGUAACAAAUGGAUAAGAACGGACUAUUCUGUCAUUUUUUUAUUUUAUUUUUUUGGGUAUGGGAACAAACUCCGGUUUUCUUUACCAGCCAAAUCAAUGAUCAUACACUCAC